CCGAAAGGUUCUGUUAACUCUCGAUUUAGUGGAGACGAGACACAAAUCGAUCCGGCUUCCGAACAACACGAAGGCAAACCCUGCAAUUUUUUUAUUUUUUUAUGUUUUUCUUUUACUUAGGUGCACUAAAGAAGUAACCACAGAAAAUUUGAGCUUAAACAAGUGAAAGACGUGGCUUGCAGAAUUUUCUAUAGAUUGUGAAAAAUGUGAAAAAAACUUCACGAGGUGAAAACUUAAACUUCGGAGGUGUAUUUGGAAGUUCUAAAUUUUUCAAACCCGCUUGUGGUAGGGACAGGCAAACCCGAAAUUUUUUCUGAUUGAUUUUGAUAUAUGGAACGUUGAAAUCGGAGUUCGUACGCGAAUGUUAUGGCUAUUUUACAAACGAACUGCGAAUUAGAGUACAAAACGGUCCGAAAGUGGGAAAAAUUUGCGGCGGUGCCCAGAAAUUGAUGGAAACGGUGGGGAAAAACAUACUAACUGGACUCUAACAAGACCUAACCAGCAACAACCUCGACCAGGACACAAACUCAAAACAACGGACUCUGAAUCUGAAAUAUGGAAAAGCUAUGGCGCGGAAGGGUUGUAGAACAGGAAAACAAUAUGGCACUGGACUCAUGGGACGAACAUAAGAACACAAGAAACUAAGGGUAGAUGUGAACCUAACGGUACACCUAAAGCUUUGAUUACCACUUGAUGAGAACAAGGGUGGCCCGAUCUUCCGAAAGGUUUUGGUAACUCUCGAUUUGGUGGAGAUGAGACACAAAUCGAUACGGCUUAUGAACAACACGAUCCGAAACCCUACAUUUUUUUUAUUUUUUUGAUAUUUUUAUUUUACUUAGGAGCACUAAAGGAGUAACCACAGAAAAUUUGAGCUUAAACAAGUGAAAGACAUGGCCUGUUGAAUUUCUCAAGAUUGUGAAAAAUGUGAAAAGAACUUCACGUAUUGGAAACUCAAACUUCGGAGGCGAAUUUCAAGAUUCUAAAAUUGUCAAACACGCAAAAGUGAGGGACAAACAUAUCUCAAAUUUUUUCUUAUCGAUUUUGAUAUAUGGAACGUUGAAAUCGGAGUUCGUAUGCGAAAGUUAUGGCUGUUUUACGAACAGACUCCGAAUUAGAGGACAAAACGAUCCGAAAGUGGGAAUAAUUCGCGGUGGUGGCUAGAAAUUGAUGGAAAUGGUGGGGAAAAACAUACGAACUAGACUCUAACAAGACCUAACCAGCAACAUCCUCGACCAAGACACAAACUCAAAAUUGCGGACUCUGAAACUGAAAUAUGCAAAGGCUAUUGCGCGGAAGGGUUGUAGAACAAGAAAACGAUAUGGCACUGGACUUAUGGGACGAAUACAAGAACACUCGAAACUAAGUGUAGAUGUGAACCUAACGGUAUACCUGAAGCUUUAUUACCACUUGAUGAGAUCAAGGGUGGCCCGAUCUUUCGACAGGUUCUGGUAACUCUCGAUUUGGUGGAGACGAGACACAAAUCAAUGCGGCUUCCAAACAACGCGAUCUGAAACCCUGCAAUUUUUUUAUUUUAUUGAUAUUUUUAUUUUACUUAGGAGCAUUAAAGAAGUAACCAUAAAAAAUUUGAGCUUAAACAAGUAAAAGACGUUUCCUGCAGAAUUUUCUGAAGAUCGCAAAAAAUGUGAAAAAAACAUCACAAGGUGAAAACUGAAACUUCGGAGGUGAAUUUGGAGAUUCUAAAACUUUCAAACCCGUAAAUAGCAGUAACAGACAGAUCCGAAUUUUUUUGAUCGAUUUUGAUAUAUGGAACAUUAAAAUCGGAGUUUGUAUGUGCAAGUUAUAGCUGUUUUACGAACGGACUCUGAAUCAGAGGACAAAACGGUCCGAAAGUGGGAAAAAGUUGCAGCGAUGGCUAGAAAUUGAUGGAAACGUUCGGAAAAAAACACGAACUAGACUCUAACAAGACCUAACCAGCAACAAGUCCUCGACCAGGACACAAACUCAAAACUGCAGACUCGGAAACUGAUAUAAAAAGGCUAUGGCGCGGAAGGGUUGUAGGACACAAAAACGAUAUGGCACUGGACUUAUGGGACGAACACAAGAACACUCGAAACUAAGGGUAGAUGUGAACCUAACGGUAUACCUGAAGCUUCGAUUACCACUUGAUGAGAACAAGGGUGGCCGGAUCUUCUGAAAGGUUCUGUUAACUCUCGAUUUGGUGGAGACGAGACACAAAUCGAUCCGGCUUCCGAACAACACGAAGGCAAACCCUGCAAUUUUUUUUAUUUUUUUGAUAUUUUUCUUUUACUUAGGUGCACUAAAGAAGUAACCACAGAAAAUUUGAGCUUAAUCAAGUGAAAGACGUGGCCUGCAGAAUUUUGUAAAGAUUGUGAAAAAUGUGAAAAAAAACUUCACAAGGUGAUAACUUAAACUUCGGAGGUGUAUUUGGAAAUUUUAAAAUUUUCAAUCCCGCUAGUGGUAGGGACAGGCAAACCCGAAAUUUUUUCUGAUUGAUUUUGAUAUAUGGAACAUUGAAAUCGGAGUUCGUACGCGAAUGUUAUGGCUAUUUUACGAACAGACUCCGAAUUAGAGAACAAAACGGUCCGAAAGUGGGAAAAAUUUGCGGCGGUGGCUAGAAAUUGAUGGAAACCUGCGGACUUUGAAUGUGAAAUAUGCAAAAGCUAUGGCGCGGAAGGGUUGUAGAAUAGGAAAAUAAUAUGGCACUGGACUUAUGGGACGAACACAAGAACACUCGAAACUAAGGGUAGAUGUGAACCUAACGGUAUACCUAAAGCUUUGAUUACCACUUGAUGAGAACAAGGAUGGCCCGAUCUUCCGAAAGGUUCUGGUAACUCUCGAUUUGGUGGAGACGAGACACAAAUCGAUACGGCUUCUGAACAACACAAUCUGAAACCCUUCAUUUUUUUAUUUUUUUGAUAUUUUUAUUUUACUUAGGAGCACUAAAGGAGUAACCACAUAAAAUUUGAGCUUAAACAAGUGAAAGACAUGGCCUGUGGAAUUUCUGAAGAUUGUGAAAAAUGUGAAAAGAACUUCACGUAUUGGAAACUCAAACUUCGGAGGCGAAUUUCAGGAUUCUAAAGUGGUCAAACCCGCGAAAGUUAGGGACAAACAGACCUGAAAUUUUUUUCUGAUCGAUUUUGAUAUAUGGAACGUUGAAAUCGGAGUUCGUAUGCAAAAGUUAUGGCUGUUUUACGAACAGACUCCGAAUUAGAGGACAAAACGGUCCGAAAGUGGGAAAAAUUUGCGGCGGUGGCUAGAAAUUGAUGGAAACGGUGGGGAAAACACAUGAACUGGACUCUAACAAGACCUAACCAGCAACAAGACCUCGACCAGGACACAAACUCAACACUGCGGACUCUGAAACUGAAAUAUGCAAAGGCUAUGGCGUGGAAGGGUUGUAGGAUGGAAAAACGAUAUGGCACUGGACUUAUGGGACGAACACAACACUCAAAACUAAGGGUAGAUGUGAACCUAAUGGUAUACCUGAAGCUUUGAUUACCACUUGAUGAGAACAAGGGUGGCCCGAUCUUCUGAAUGGUUCUGGUAACUCUCGAUUUGGUGAAGACGAGACACAAAUCGAUCUGGCUUCCGAACAACACGAUCCGAAAUCCCGCAUUUUUUUAUUUUUUUAAUAUUUUCCUUUUACUUAGGAGCACUAAAGAAGUAACCAUAGAAAAAUUGAGCUUAAACAAGUAAAAGACGUGGCCUGCGGAAUUUUGUGAAGAUUACAAAAAAUGUGAAAAAAACUUCACAAGGUGAAAACUCAAACUUCGAAGACGAAUUUGGAGAUUCUAAAAUUUUCAAACCCCCUAAAACCGAGGACACACAGACAGACACUAAAUUUUUUUCUGAUCGAUUUUGAUAUAUGGAACAUUGAAAUCGGAGUUUGUAUGUGAAAGUUAUGGCUGUUUUACGAACGGGCUCCGAAUUAGAGGACAAAAUGGUGCGAAAGUGGGAAAAAGUUGCGGCGAUGGCUAGAACUUGAUGGAAACGGUGGGGAAAAAAACACGAACUGGACUCUAACAAGACCUAACCAGCAACAAGAGCUCGACCAGGACACAAACUCAAAACUGCGGACUCAGAAACUGAAAUAUGCGGCUGUGGCGCGGAAGGGUUGUAGGACACAAAAACGAUAUGGCACUGGACUUAUGGUACGAACACAGGAACACUCGAAACUAAGGGUAGAUUUGAACCUAUCGGUAUACCCGAAGCUUUGAUUACCACUUGAUGAGAACAAUGGUGGCCCGAUCUUCCGAAAGGUUUUGUUAACUCUCGAUUUGGUGGAGACGAGAGACAAAUCGAUCCGGCUUCCGAACAAUACGAUCCGAAACCCUUCAAUUUUUUUUAUUUUUCUGAUAUUUUUCUUUUACUUAGGUGCGCUAAAGAAGUAACCACAGAAAAUUUGAGCUUAAACAAGUGAAAGACGUGGCCUGUGGAAUUCUCUAAAGAUUGUGAAAAAUGUGAAAAAAAAUUCACGAGGUGAAAACUUAAAAUUCGGAGGUGAAUUUCAAAAUUCUAAAGUUUUCAAGCCCGCUAGUGGCAGGGACAGGCAGAUCCGAAAUUUUUUUCUGAUUGAUUUUGAUAUAUGGAACGUUGAAAUCGGAGUUCGUACGCGAAUAUUAUGACUAUUUUAUGAACAAACUCCGAAUGAGAGAACAAAACGGUCCGAAAGUGGAAAAAAAUUACGGUGGUGGCUAGAAAUUGAUGAAAACGGUGGGGAAAAACAUACUAAUUGGACUCUAACAAGACCUAACCAGCAACAACCUCGAUCAGGACACAAACUCAAAACUGCGGACUCUGAAUCUGAACUAUGCAAAAGCUAUGGCGCGGAAGGGUUGUAGAACAGAAAAACGAUAUGGCACUGGACUUAUGGGACGAACACAACAACACUCGAAACUAAGGUUAGAUGUGAAUCGGUAUACCUAAAGCUUUGAUUACCACUUGAUGAGAACAAGGGUGGCCCGAUCUUUCGAAAGGUUCUGGUAACUCUCGAUUUGGUGGAGACGAGACACAAAUCGAUACGGCUUCUGAACAACACGAUCCGAAACCCUGAAUUUUUUUAUUUUUUUGAUAUUUUUAUUUUACUUAGGAGCACUAAAGGAGUAACCACAGAAAAUUUGAGCUUAAAUAAUUGAAAGACAUGGCCUGUGGAAUUUUGUGAAGAUUACAAAAAAUGUGAAAAAAACUUCACGUAUUGGAAACUCAAACUUCGUAGGCGAAUUUCAGGAUUAUAAAUUGUCAAACCCGCGAAAGUUAGGGACAAACAGAUCUAAAAUUUUUUUCUGAUCGAUUUUGAUAGAUGGAACGUUGAAAUCGGAGUUCGUAUGCAAAAGUUAUGACUGUUUUACGAACAGACUCCGAAUUAGAGGACAAAACGGUGCGACACUGGAAAAAAUUUGCGACGGUGGCUAGAAAUUGAUGGAAACGGUGGUUAAAACAUAUGAACUGGACUCUAACAAGACCUAACCAGCAACAAGACCUUGACCAGGACACAAACUCAACACUGCGGACUCUGAAAGUGAAAUAUGCAAAGGCUAUGGCGCGGAAGGGUUGUAGGAUAGGAAAACGAUAUGGCACUGGACUUAUGGGACGAACACAAGAACACUCAAAACUAAGGGUAGAUGUGAACCUAACGGUAUACCUGAAGCUUUGAUUACCACUUGAUGAGAACAAGGGUGGCACGAUCUUCUGAAAGGUUCUGGUAACUCUCGAUUUGGUGAAGACGAGACAAAUCGAUCUGGCUUCCGAACAACACGAUGCGAAACCCCGCAUUUUUUUUAUUUUUUCAAUAUUUUCCUUUUACUUAGGUGCACUAAAGAAGUAACCAUAGAAAAUUUGAGCUUAAACAAGUAAAAGACGUGGCCUGCGGAAUUUUGUGAAGAUUACAAAAAAUGUGAAAAAAACUUCACAAAGUGAAAACUCAAACUUCGAAGACGAAUUUGGAGAUUCUAAAAUUUUCAAACCCCCUAAAACCGAGGACACACAGACAGACACUAAAUUUUUUUCUGAUCGAUUUUGACAUAUGGAACAUUGAAAUCGGAGUUUGUAUGUGAAAGUUAUGGCUGUUUUACGAACGGACUCCGAAUUAGAGGACAAAAUGGUGCGAAAGUGGGAAAAAGUUGCGGCGAUGGCUAGAACUUUAUGGAAACGGUGGGGAAAAAAACACGAACCAGACUCUAACAAGACCUAACCAGCAACAAGAGCUCGACCAGGACACAAACUGUGGGGGUAUAAACCCCUAUACCCUUACGGCUAGACUUCAGCCAGGAAGCUUGGCCCAUUACGAGACGAGUUCAAGGCUUGAUUCGACAGCUUGGAGUUUUGCGCAAGGAAACAAGAUGUGGAGAUCAAGCAGGAUUCUAGUCGGUUAGAAUAGGAAUUGAUAUCGAAUUAUCCAUGGCAAUUGUAACCGACUAGGAUUAGUUUCUAGAUCUGUAACCCUGCCCUCCAGACUAUAUAAGGAGGGGCAAGGGACCCCCUAGGACAGAUUAUAUCUCAACACAAUCCAAUACAACCAGACGCAGGACGUAGGUAUUACGCCAACUCGGCGGCCGAACCUGGAUAAAAAGCUUGUCCGUGUCUUGCGUCACCAUCGAGUUCGUAGUUUGCGCACCGUCUACCGAUAAACUACUACCGUGGGUAUACCCCAAGGUAGACUGCCGACCAGCUUUCGUCGACACAAACUCAAAACUGCGGACUCGGAAACUGAAAUAUGCAAAGGCUAUGGCACGGAAGGGUUGUAGGACACAAAAACGAUAUGGCACUGGACUUAUGGUACAAACACAGGAACACUCGAAACUAAGGGUAGAUUUGAACCUAACAGUAUACCCGAAGCUUUGAUUACCACUUGAUGAGAACAAGGGUGGCCUGAUCUUCCGAAAGGUUUUGUUAACUCUCGAUUUGGUGGAGACGAGACACAAAUCGAUCCGGCUUCCGAACAAUACGAUCCGAAACCCUGCAAUUUUCUUUAUUUUUCUGAUAUUUUUCUUUUACUUAGGUGCACUAAAGAAGUAACCACAGAAAAUUUGAGCUUAAACAAGUGAAAGACGUGGCCUGUGGAAUUCUCUAAAGAUUCUGAAAAAUGUGAAAAAAAAUUCACGAGGUGAAAACUUAAAAUUCGGAGGUGAAUUUGGAAAUUCUCAAAUUUUCAAGCCCGCUAGUGGCAGGGACAGGCAGAUCCGAAAUUUUUUUCUGAUUGAUUUUGAUAUAUGGAACAUUGAAAUCGGAGUUCGUACGCGAAUGUUAUGACUAUUUUAUGAACAGACUCCGAAUUAGAGAACAAAACGGUCCGAAAAUGGAAAAAAAUUGCGGUGGUGGCUAGAAAUUGAUGAAAACGGUGGGGAAAAACAUACUAACUGGACUCUAAGAAGACCUAACCAGCAACAACCUCGACUAGGACACAAACUCAAAACUGCGGACUCUGAAUCUGAAAUAUGCAAAAGCUAUGGCGCGGAAGGGUUGUAGAACAGAAAAACGAUAUGGCACUGGACUUAUGGGACGAACACAAGAACACUCGAAACUAAGGUUAGAUGUGAACCUAACGGUAUACCUAAAGCUUUGAUUACCACUUGAUGAGAACAAGGGUGGCCCGAUCUUGCGAAAGGUUCUGAUAACUCUCGAUUUGGUGGAGACGAGACACAAAUCGAUACGGCUUCUGAACAACACGAUCCGAAACCCUAUAUUUUUUUAUUUUUUUGAUAUUUUCAUUUUACUUAGGAUCACUAAAGGAGUAACCACAGAAAAUUUGAGCUUAAAUAAGUGAAAGACAUGGCCUGUGGAAUUUUGUGAAGAUUACAAAAAAUGUGAAAAAAACUUCACGUAUUGGAAACCCAAACUUCGGAGGCGAAUUUCAGGAUUAUAAAAUUGUCAAACCCGUGAAAGUUAGGGACAAACAGAUCCAAAAUUUUUUUCUGAUCAAUUUUGAUAUAUGGAACAUUGAAAUCGGAGUUUAUAUGCGAAAGUUAUGGUUGUUUUACGAACAGACUCCGAAUUAGAGGACAAAACGGUCCGAAAGUGGGAAAAAUUUGCGGCGGUGGCUAGAAAUUGAUGGAAACGGUGGGGAAAACACAUGAACAGGACUCUAACAAGACCUAACCAGCAACAAGACCUCGACCAGGACACAAACUCAACACUGCGGACUCUGAAACUGAAAUAUGCAAAGGCUAUGGCGCGGAAGGGAUGUAGGACAGGAAAACAAUAUGGCACUGGACUUAUGGGACGAACACAAGAACACUCAAAACUAAGGAUAGAUGUGAACCUAACGGUAUACCUGAAGCUUUGAUUACCACUUGAUGAGAACAAGGGUGGCCCGAUCUUCUGAAAGGUUCUAGUAACUCUUGAUUUGGUGAAGACGAGACACAAAUCGAUCUGGCUUCCGAACAACACGAUCCGAAACCCUGCAUUUUUUUAUUUGUUUAAUAUUUUCCUUUUACUUAGGAGCACUAAAGAAGUAACCAUAGAAAAUUUGAGCUUAAACAAGUAAAAGACGUGGCCUGCGCAAUUUUGUGAAGAUUACAAAAAAUAUGAAAAAAACUUCACAAGGUGAAAACACAAACUUCGGAGACGAAUUUGGAGAUUCUAAAAUUUUCAAACCCCCUAAAACCAAGGACAGACAGACAGACACUAAAUUUUUUCUGAUCGAUUUUGAUAUAUGGAACAUUGAAAUCGGAGUUUGUAUGCGAAAGUUAUGGCUGUUUUACGAACGGACUCCAAAUUUGAGAACAAAACGGUCCGAAAGUGGGAAAAAGUUGCGACGAUGGCUAGAAAUUGAUAGAAACGGUGGGGAAAAAACACGAACUGGACUCUUACAAGACCUAACCAGCAACAAGACCUCGACCAGGACACAAACUCAAAACUGCAGACUCGAAAACUUGAAUAUGCAAAGGCUAUGGCGCGGAAGGGUUGUAGGACACAAAAACGAUAUGGCAGUGGACUUAUGGGACGAACACAAGAACACUCAAAACUAAGGGUAGAUGUCAACCUAACGGUAUACCAAAAGCUUUGAUUACCACUCGAUGACCCGAUCUUCCGAAAGGUUCCGGUAACUCUCGGUUUGGUGGAGACGAGACACAAAUCGAUCCGGCUUCCAAACAACACGAUCUGAAACCCUACAAUUUUUUUUAUUUUUUUGAUAUUUUUCUUUUACUUGGGUGCACUAAAGAUGUAACCACAGAAAAUUUGAGCUUAAACAAGUGAAAGACGUGGCCUGCGGAAUCUUUGGAAGAUUGCGAAAAAUGAGAAAAAAACUUCACGAGGUGAAAGCUCAAUCUUUGGAGGCGAAUUUGGAGAUUAUAAAGUUUUCAAACCCACCAAUAGCAAGGGCACACAGAUCUGAAAUUUUUUUCUGAUCGAUUUUGAUAUAUGGAACGUUGAAAUCGGAGUUCGUAUGUGAAAGUUGUGGCUGUUUUACGAACGGACUCCAAAUUAGUGGACAAAACGGUGCGAAAGUGGGAAACAUUUGCUGCGGUGGCUAGAAAUUGAUGGAAACGGUGGGGAAAGCACAUGAUUUGUACUCUAACAAGACCUAACCAGCAACAAGAGCUCGACCUUGACACAAACUCAACACUACGGACUCUGAAACUGAAAUAUGCAAAGGCUAUGGCGUGUAAGGGUUGUAGGAUAGGAAAACUAUAUGGCACUCGACUUAUUGGACGAACAUAAGAACACUCAAAAGUAAGGGUAGAUGUCAACCUAACGGUAUACCUGAAGCUUUGAUUACCACUUGAUGAGAACAAGGGUGGCCCGAUCUUCCGAAAGGUUCGGGUAACUCUUGAUUUGGUGGAGACGAGACACAAAUCGGUCCGGCUUUCGAACAACACGAUCCGAAACCCUGCAAUUUUUUUUAUUUUUUUCAUAUUUUUCUUCUACUUAGGUGCACUAAGGAAGUAACCACAGAAAAUUUGAGCUUAAACAAGUGAAAGACUUGGCCUGCGGAAUUUUUCGAAGAUUACAAAAAUGUGAAAAAAACUUCACAAGGUGAAAACUCAAAUUUCGAAGGCGAAUUUGGAGAUUCCAAAAUUUUCAAACCACCAAAAAGUGGGGACAGACAGACCCAAAAUUUUUUUCUGAUCGAUUUUGAUAUAUGGAACAUUGAAAUCGGAGUUUGUAUGCAAAAGUUAUGGUUGUUUUACAAACGGGCUCCGAAUUAGAGGACAAAACGGUCCGAAAGUGGGAAAAAUUUGCGGCGAUGGCUAGAAAUUGAUGGAAACGGUGGGGAAAAACAUAUGAACCGGACUCUAACAAGACCUAACCAGCAACAUCCUCGACCAGGACACAAACUCAAAACUGCGGACUCUGAAACUGAAAUAUGCAAAGGCUAUUGCGCGGAAGGGUUGUAGGACAAGAAAACGAUAUGGCACUGGACACUCGAAACUAAGGGUAGAUGUGAAUCUAACGGUAUACCUAAAGCUUUGAUUACCACUUGAUGAGAAUAAGGGUGGCCUGAUCUUCCGAAAGGUUCUGGUAACUCUCGAUUUGGUGGAGACGAGACACAAAUCGAUACGGCUUCUGAACAAUACGAUCCGAAACCUUGCAAUUUUUCUUAUUUUUUUGAUAUUUUUAUUUUACUUAGGAGCACUAAAGUAGUAACCACAGAAAAUUUGAGCUUAAACAAGUGAAAGACAUGGCCUGUGGAAUUUUCUGAAGAUUGUAAAAAAUGUGAAAAAAACUUCACAUAUUGAAAACUCAAAAACUUCGGAGGCGAAUUUCAUGAUUCUAAAAUUGUCAAACCUGCGAAAGUUAGGGACAAAUAGAUCUGAAAUUUUUUUCUGAUCGAUUUUGAUAUAUGGAACGUUGAAAUCGGAGUUCGUAUGCGAAAGUUAUGGUUGUUUUACGAACGGUGGGGAAAGCACAUGAUUUGUACUCUAACAAGACAUAACCAGCAACAAGACCUCGACCACGACACAAACUCAGCACUGCGGACUCUGAAACUGAAAUAUGCAAAGGCUAUGGCGCGGAAGGGUUGUAUUACAGGAAAACGAUAUGGCACUGGACUUAUUGGAUGAACAUAAGAACACUCAAAACUAAGGGUAGAUGUCAACCUAACGGUAUACCUGAAGCUUUGAUUACCACUUGAUGAGAACAAGGGUGGCCCGAUCUUCCGAAAGGUUCUGGUAACUCUCGCUUUGGUGGAGACGAGACACAAAUCGAUCCGGCUUCCGAACAACACGAUCCGAAACCCUGCAUUUUUUUUAUUUUUUUGAUAUUUUUCUUUUACUUAGGUGCACUAAAUAAGUAACCAUAGAAAAUUUGAGCUUAAACAAAUGAAAGACGUGGCCUGCGGAAUUUUUUGAAGAUUGCAAAAAAUGUGAAAAAAACUUGAGGAGGUGAAAACUCAAAAUUUGGAGGCGAAUUUGGAGAUUAUAAAAUUUUCAAACCCACCAAUGGUGAGUAUAGACAGAUCCGAAUUUUUUUCUGAUUGAUUUUGAUAUAUGGAACAUUGAAAUCGGAGUUCGUAUGUGAAAGUUAUGGCUGUUUUACGAACGGACUCCGAAUUAGAGUACAAAACGGUCCAAAAGUGGGAAUAAUUUGCGGCGGUGGCUAGAAAUUGAUGGAAACGGUGGGGAAAAAUAUACGAACUGGACUCUAACAAGACCUAACCAGCAACAUCCUCAAAAAGGACACAAACUCAAAACUACGGACUCUGAAAUUGAAAUAUGCAAAGGCUAUAGCGCGGAAGGGUUGUAGGACAGGAAAACGAUAUGGCACUGGACAUAUGGGACGAACACAAGAACACUCAAAACUAAGGGUAGAUGUGAACCUAACGGUAUACCUGAUGUUUUGAUUACCACUUGAUGAGAACAAGGGUGGCCCGAUCUUCUGAAAGGUUCUGGUGACUCUCGAUUUGGUGGAGACGAGACACAAAUCGAUCCGGCUUCCAAACAACAUGAUCCGACUCCCUGUAAUUUUUUGUAUUUUAUUGAUAUUUUUCUUUUACUUAGGAGCACUAAAGAAGUAACUAUAGAAAAUUUGAGCUUAAAUAAGUAAAAGACGUGGCCUGUGGAAUUUUCUGAAGAUUGCGAAAAAUGUGAAAAAAAACUUCACAAGGUGAAAACUCAAACUUCGGAGGUGAAUUUGGAGAUUCUAAAACUUUCAAACCCGCAAAUAGCAGGGACAGACAGAUCCAAAUUUUUUUCUGAUCGAUUUUGAUAUAUGGAACAUUGAAAUUGGAAUUCGUAUGCGAAAGUUAUGGUUGUUUUGCGAACGGACUCCGAAUUAGAGGACAAAACGGUCCGAAAGUGGGAAAAAGUUGCGGCGAUGGCUAGAAAUUGAUGGAAACGGUGGGGAAAAACACACGAACUGGACUCGAACAAGACCUAACCAGCAACAAGACCUCGACCAGGACACAAACUCAACACCACGGACUCAGAAACUGAAAUAUGCAAAGGCUAUGGCACGAAAGGUUUAUAGGACAGGAAAACUGUUGGGUACCAUAAAAAGGGGAUAUCCGGGUACCAUAAAAAGGGGAUAUCUAAAUCAGAGCAAUAAAAAACGCAAAGGACAAAGCAAAUCAUCCACAAUCACCAGGACGCGGGCCCCGGAACAUCAGUCUUCUUGAUCUCGGGCCCAAAUCGUGGCCCGCCCGACCCCCCAGGGCUCGGACGCAGACACCGCCUCGCCCGACCACCUUGGCCUCGGGCGUAAGUUCCGUCUCGCCCGACCCGUCCGGGGCUCAGGCGCUAAACGACGCUUCACCCAAUCAGGGCAAGGAUUCCGACGCACGGCGCCCGUACCCAUGACAUGAUAGGCGCAGUAACUUCUGUAUCACCGCAGGGCAUGGUGGCGACUAUUCCAACCACCCUGGUCACUGUAGCCUUACCUCUUUCACUAUGCAGCCUUACCUCUUUCACUGUGGUGUACUGCCUCACAGUAAAAGAGGAAUGGGGAAGGUUAACCAGCGUCACUGUUUGCUGUCUUCUCCCACUAUUAACAGGACGAUCAGCAGUAUCACCGAUCCGACCCCCGUGACUCUUACAGGGCUCGGUAACCCUCUACAGGAGCAGCCAUGCUGUCAGCCAUCCAUCAAGGACGAGAUGGACCAGCUUCCAUAGGGUCGGGACUGUGGCUUCACCAUUCAACAGAGGAAAUCUACUCAUGUAAAUACAUGUCUUCCCUUGAGGCUAUAAAAGGGGAGCCAGGGGUCACAACUAAGCACAGGUUCACAAGGUUUACACACGCACACGAACACCACACUCACUCACAGAGUGGCAACCAACACUCUGUCCACCACAAAGCCGAGACUUGGGACUUAGCCCUCUCUCGCGACCUGCUUGUACCCCCCCUACUACAAGCACCUUUGGGUGCAAGGCAAUAGAGAUCUUCGAUCUCACUAGACGUAGGGCAUCCUCAGCCCAAACCAGUAUAAAUUCUCUGUGUUCCACUUGCAUCACCACCCGGGCUUAGGCAGUCACGCAUACUUACACUCGUUUGUGUCUAGACCGCGAGUCUAGACGCCGACAGUUGGCACGCCAGGUAGGGGCCUUUUGCGUGACAUUCAUCUUUUCCUAUUGAGGGAAGGCUUGGAUGGCAGAUGGAUUUCACCCACUCCGCCGCGGCACCAUCAUGAUGUUUGGGAGUUUGGAGUUCUUGUCCCUCGGCUCCAGCUAUGACAUGGUCCUCCUCCCACCACGUGGUGAUGUCGAGCCUCGCCCCGAGCCGUUCCCACCACAGUCAGCACGUGGGAGGUGCUCGGGACACCAUGCGGGGGCUGCCCGGCGGGGGCGUCAGAGGUCCAGAAUCUCUGACCCUACCACUGAGGCGAGGGUCCGUCCGGCCCUCCCCCCGCAUAUUCCUCACCAGAUCGCCCACUCCUUCGGCUCGAUACGCGCUAGAGGCAGGGCCCGCGGAGCAUCAAGCUCCGCUUCACGAACCAACAGGGGAUCAUCACGACCUCCUGUUCCUCCCCGAUCAAAGGGGAUGGUACGGCUCCCGCCCGCUCCGCAGAAAGGGGACAAAGGGGCCUCAUCAUCUCGUCCCUCGCCACCUACGGAUGGGGGAGAGACAGCGGCACCUCCCGAGCUCCCUUUCGGGCUCAGGAACGCAGCCGUCAGUUACGCCUCUUCCGUGAGCACAUCGUCAAGUGCAUACGUGGACCUUCCAAGGCACCAUCUCAGGUCUACCCUGGACCUCAUCGCCUCACCGCCCGUUUCGUCGUACCCAGAGGACCCCGCCUCAGGCGAUGACGAGUGGGCCGACGCUGACUUUUCCGGGUGUGGUGACCCAGAGACCUUCAUGCGCUUCUUGGAAGCCAGCAACUAUUGCCUCGGCUACUCCGAUUCCGACGAUGGGAGCUACGACCCAUCAAGAGAGUGCUUCAACCUUGAGGUCGAAGGAGCACCCCACAAUGCUCAAGGGGGCGCAGGACCCUCUAGGCAAGGGAACGCCACUCCGCCACCCAAUCCAACUCCCGGGACUGAACCUGGACCUCGCGCAGCAGCAUCAGCCCCCGUAGGAGGACACCGCCCUGACCUCAAGCAGCUCGAUGAGCUAGAGGCCAGGCUCAAAGAAGAACGCGCAUGCCUCCGCCAACUCCGCGAGGCCCUGGUCCGAGACUCAUCCGGCCGCAGAGACGGGGGCGAGGCUAGACGCCGCGCCCGAGACGUUAACCACCGUAUUAUCGAGGACCAAGGGGGAGACGCCCCGGUCUUCAGCAUGGCCAGCCAGAAUGUAAUGGCUGCAGCACUCCUCCUCAGGGCGAUGCCUGAGCCAUCGACUCCCGAGGGAAGGAGAGUGUGCCAGGGGCUGCGAGGCCUCCUGGAGCAAGCCGUGGUGCAGAACGCAGAAAGUUCUGCAUCACAGUCCCACAGCACGAGGCGCCAAGAGAACCGGUCCCCUCCUAACAAGACACCAAUGGAGCAGGGCCCGCCGCCCCCUAACCCGCAAGGGGGCAACAGGGCCCCAUCAGUCCACGAACGUGUCGGGGCUGACGCGAACGUUCGGGCCACCCUCGAGGCCAGACGGCGCGACAGGGACGAGGCCGAAUCUCGACGCUAUCGACCGCGCCGAGGUGGAAGGUACGACCCCGACCAUGACCGCAGCAUGUCGCCAGAGCCUCCAGGUCCCCGCGUCUUCAGCGAGGCCAUAUGCAGAGCCAAGUUCCCGGCGCGAUUCCGACAGCCCGCCAACUUAAAAAAGUAUUCAGGGGAAACCAACCCUGAACUCUGGCUGGCGGACUACCGCCUAGCGUGUCAGCUAGGUGGAGCGGACGAUGACCUCCUCAUCAUCCGCAACCUUCCACUGCACCUGGCCGAUACGGCCAGGGCCUGGCUCGAGCAUCUCCCGGAGCGCAUGAUCCACGACUGGGCCGACAUGGUCAAGAUCUUCGUCGGGAACUUCCAGGGCACAUAUGUGCACCCUGGGAACUCCUGGGACCUCAGGAGCUACAGGCAGAAGCCCGAUGAGUCCCUUCGAGACUUCAUCAGGUGAUUCAACAAGCAGUGCACCGAGCUCCCCAACAUCACGGACUCCGACGUCAUCGGAGCCUUCAUUUCCGGUACCACCUGCAAAGAGCUGGUACACAAGCUCGGUCGUAAUACCCCCACGAGCACUAGCCAGUUGCUCGAAAUCGCCACCCACUUUGCCUCAGGCGAGGAGGCAGUUGGUGCCAUUUUCUCCGACGGCGUUGCCAAGGGGAAACAGAAGGCCGAGGCCACCGAGGUCUCAGGCUCACGCGACCCCAAGAAGAAGAAGAAGGGUCGCAAGGGGAAGCAGGGUCAGUCGGGUGACAACUUAGUCGCCGCAGCAGAUCGCAAGAACCCUAAGCGGGCUCCUGCUAGCCCCGGUCUCUUUGACGAGAUGUUGAAGAAGCCAUGCCCCUAUCACAGGGGACCAACCAUGCACACCCUCAAGGAGUGCACCGUCCUGCGUCGGUACUACACCAACCUCAUCUCCAAGGAGGGCGCUGAAGAGCCCCCCAAGGACGACGACCCUCAGGGGGAAGGUUUCCCCAAUAUCAAGAACUGUCUCUUGAUCUUUGGGGGACGUGCGGCUCGCCUUACAGCGAGUCAGAGGAAGCGCGAACUCUGUGAAGUUUGCGCAGUCAGCACAGCCACGCCAUCGUACCUCAAGUGGUCCGAGAGCGCAAUCACCUUCGACCAACAAGAUCACCCGGAUCGGAUCCCCAAUCUCGGGAGCUAUCCUCUGAUAGUCGACCCCAUCAUCGCCGAGACUUGUCUCACCAAGAUGCUGAUGGACGGAGGCAGCGGCCUCAACAUCCUAUACGCCGAGACUCUGGCCCUCAUGGGGAUCAGCAAGUCCCGGCUAAGGAACGACACUUCGCCAUUCCACGGAGUGGUACCGGGACAUCGAGCCCACCCCCUCGGGCAGAUCGAACUGCCCGUCUGCUUUGGGACCCCGACAACUUCAGACGGGAGGUCCUCACUUUUGACGUGGUCGGGUUCCCAAGAACCUACCACGCAAUCCUGGGACGACCGUGCUACGCCAAGUUCAUGGCCGUCCCCAACUACACUUACCUCAAGCUCAAGAUGCCAGGGCCAAAAGGCAUCAUCACAGCCAGCACGACUAGUCAGCACGCCUAUCAGUGCGACGUCGAGUGCAUUGAGCAGGCCGAGGCUCUGGCUGAGUCUCUAGCCAUCCUCACCGGCCUCGGCGACUGCGACCAAGACAUCCCCGACCCCAAGCGUCACGCCGGGAGCUUCGAGCCGGCGGAGGAGACCAAGCUAGUCUUCCUCGACCCCCAGACCUCUGCAGGCAGGGCGUUGAGGAUCAGCACCAGCCUCGACCCCAAAUAGGAAGUGGUGCUCGUCGACUUUCUCCACACAAAUGCCAAUAUAUUUGCAUGGAGUCCUUCAGACAUGCCUGGUAUACCGAGGGAAGUCGCCGAGCACUCCUUGGACAUCCGAGCCGGCUCCAAACCCGUGAAGCAACGCCUGCGCCGAUUCGACGAGGAGAAGUGCCGGGCCAUCGGGGAGGAGAUCCACAAGCUGCUGGCGGCCGGAUUCAUCAAGGAUGUAUUCCAUCCCGAGUGGUUAGCUAACCCUGUGCUAGUCAGAAAGAAAAAUGGGAAGUGGAGGAUGUGUGUGGACUACACUAGUUUAAAUAAAGCAUGUCCUAAGAACCCCUUUCCAUUACCUCGUAUCGAUCAAAUAGUUGACUCCACAGCGGGAUGCGAGAUUUUGUCUUUUCUUGAUGCUUAUUCCGGUUACCACCAAAUCAAGAUGAAAGAGUCCGACUAGCUCGCCACUUCUUUCAUCACCCCUUUCGGAAUGUACUGCUACGUAACCAUGCCUUUUGGCCUCAAGAACGCGGGGGCUACAUAUCAGCGAUGUAUGCUCCAGGUCUUUGGGGACCUUAUAGGCAAAACAGUAGAGGCUUACGUAGACGACAUUGUCGUCAAGUCCAGGAAAGCAAGCGGCCUAGUUGCCGACCUGGAAGAAACAUUCCAAUACCUCUGGGCAAAAGGGAUCAGACUAAACCCCGAAAAAUGCGUUUUUGGGGUCGCCCGAGGCAUGCUCCUCGGAUUUAUUGUGUCUGAGCGAGGGAUUGAGGCCAACCUAGAAAAGGUCUCGGCCAUCGCAAACAUGGGCCCGAUUCGUAACCUAAAGGGAGUACAGAGGGUCAUGGGAUGUCUAGCCUCUCUAAGCCGUUUCAUCUCUCGUCUCGGGAAAAAGGGCUACCUCUGUAUAGGUUACUAAGGAAAUCCGAGCAUUUUUCCUGGACCCCCGAGGCCCAGGAAGCCUUUGACAAGCUCAAGGCUUUGCUCACCAACCCUCCCAUUCUGGUGCCCCCCGCCGUGGGGGAACCACUUCUUCUCUAUGUCGCAGCCACUGAUCAAGUGGCCAACGCAGCUAUCAUGGUCGAAAGGAAGGAAGAAGGGCACGCCCUGCCGGUCCAGAGACCGGUGUACUUCAUCAGUGAAGUACUGUCCGACACCAAGACCCGAUACCCCUAAAUCCAAAAACUACUCUACGUAGUAGUUUUGGCCCGACGCAAGCUCCGCCAUUAUUUUGAGUCUCAUCAGGUCUCGGUUGUGUCAUCUUUUCCCCAGGGGGAAGUGGUUCAGAACCGAGAAGCUAAUGGUAGAAUCGCUAAGUGGGCCAUAGAGCUUAUGGGUGAUGGGAUCACCUAUGAGCCUCGGAAGGCCAUAAAAUCCCAAGUCCUAGCGGAUUUUGUGGCCGAGUGGACUGGGACUCAACUCCCCCCCCACAGAUCUAGCACGAGUGCUGGACCUUAUACUUCGACGGGUCCUUGAUGAAAACCGGGGCUGGCGUAGGCCUCGUCUUCAUCUCACCCCUCAGAGUAAGAAUGCGAUACGCAAUCCGGCUCCACUUCACCGCCUCAAACAAUGCUGCAGAGUACGAGGUCCUUGUCAAUUGACUCCACAUCACGAUCGAGCUUGGGAUCAAAUGGCUCGAGGUCCGAGGCGAUUCCAGACUCAUCAUCGACCAAGUCAUGAAAGAGUCUAGCUGCCACGAUCCCAAGAUGGACGCGUACUGCAAAGCGGUCCGACACCUGGAGGAAAAGUUCGACGGCCUCGAGCUUAACCAUGUGUUAAGGAAAGACAAUGAGGCCACCGAUGCACUCGCCAAGAUGGCAUCCGAGCGGGCCACGGUUCCCCCGGAUGUUUUCGUCAGCGAUCUCUACAAGCCUUCAGUCGAAUACAAGGACAACGGGGGUCGGAUGAACCCCUAAGCGAACCAGGCCCGACUCCAAUGACUCUGCAGCUCAGGAACAAGAGGCCAUGGACAUCGAAUCCAAGCCCCCUGCGCCUGACGACUCUCCAGACUGGCGUUACCCUUUGCUGCAACGCCUCGUCGACGGCACUCUGCCCCCAGACCAGGCUGAGGCAAGGCGCGUGGCUCAUCGCGCCAAGACCUUUGUCCUUCUUGACGGAGAGAUGUACAUGCGUAGCCCCUCGGGCAUCCUUAUGCGCUGCAUCCCACGUCAGGAAGGAAUCAAGCUCCUGGGGGACAUACACUCGGGGGCUUGCGGCCACCAUGCCGCGCCUCCAACGCUGGUAGGAAAUGCCUUCCGACAAGGCUUCUACUGGCCCACCGCCGUGGCCGACGCCACGGAGAUCGUGCAGACCUGUGAGGGAUGCCAGUUUUACGCUCGGCAGAUCCAUCUCCCCACUCAGGCCCUGCAGAUGAUCGCCAUCACCUGGCCCUUUGCUGUCUGGGGCCUCGACUUAGUCGGGCCUCUGCAAAAAGCGCCCGGGGGCUUCACCCACUUGUUUGUCGCAAUCGACAAGUUCUCCAAGUGGAUUGAGGUCCGACCCAUCACAAGGAUCAAGGCUAAACAAGAAGUGCUAUUCUUCAUAGAUAUCAUCCACCGAUUUGGAGUACCGAACUCCAUAAUCACCGAUAACGGCACACAGUUCACCGGGCGAAAGUUCCUGGAGUUCUGCGACAGACACCACAUACGUGUGGACUGGGCAGCAGUGGCUCACCCCAAGACUAACGGUCAAGUGGAGCGUGCCACUGGCAUGAUCCUCCAGGGUCUGAAACCCAGGAUUUUUAAUUGGUUGAACAAGUUUGGAAAGAGAUGGCUCAAGGAGCUACCGGCCGUGGUCUGGAGUCUAAGGACUUCCCGAAGCCGAGCCACAGGCUUCUCCCCGUUCUUCAUGGUCUACGGGUUGGAAGCCGUCCUCCCCACAGAUCUGGAAUACGGGUCCCCAAGGGUACAAGCCUACGACAAAAAUAGAUGCAAAACGUGCCAAGAAGACGCGCUGGACCAGCUGGAUGAGGCCAGAGAGUAGCCCUCCUACACUCCGCCAAAUACCAGCAGGCCCUCCGCCGAUACCAUGCGCGACGAAUCCGAGGCCGAGCCUUUCAAGUCGGCAACUUGGUGCUGAGGCUCAGGCAGAGCAACAAGGGUCGUCACAAGUUCACCCCGCCUUGGGAAGGACCCUUUGUCAUCAUCGAAGUCCUCCGACCCGGCACCUACAAGCUCGCCAAUGAAGCUGGGGAGGUCUUCAAAAAUGCAUGGAACAUAGAACAACUACGUCGCUUUUACCCUUAAUAUUUUGUAAAAAUUUUCCAUUUGUUCAUCACAUCAAAAGACUAAGUAAAGGUUUAAAUUAUAUGACCAUUUCUUUUGAGUAAGCUUCGGACCUGCUUUGUAGAGUGCAAGCCUUCCUCUGGGGCUACACGAGGGGAACCCCCUGUGGCAACUCCAAAUCUUCUUUACCUUUUUUCACACAAGUUAAAGAGAAUCCCGACCUAGCGUCUUUCUUCCCUUUCCUAAAAAGUAUUUAAGAAACCACAGAUCCAUCCCCUAAAACCUUAAGGCAUGAGCCCGAGGAAAGAUCUGCGCCCACGGGCAAGGACGACCUCUACUCACCCCCUAGGAUCGGGGGACGGAUCCGGACUUCUGAAAACUGCUAAGGAAAAGAAGAAUGACUUAGGCUCGGGAACUCUGAACAAGUGCAGACCCUAAAUAGAUCACCUGACCCCGCGCUGCCAAGGUCGGGUCAGCAUAAGGGGAAAGAAAACAAGAUAAUUAAGAAAAAGCUUAAAAGGAACAAUCAUAUAAACAUUCAUACUUAGCAUUAAUAUUGUAUAUACACAAUACAAGGCCCACUGGCCUUAACGUUUACCUAAAAAAAAGAAGAAAUCUAACUUGAAGGGCCUUGCUGCCCUGCCUGCCUAGGCUCCUACGCGCCAAGGGGGGGGAAGCUCCACCUCAGCGUCGAAGAUGGCGGCCAAGGCAUCUCCCGGGGCGGCCACCACGUCUUCAAGCCUCUGCACAUCCUCCUGGGCCUCCGUUUCAUCAUCAGGGAGGACGUAGCGCUCACAAACCGCCGGCAAAUCAAUUCCGACGUAGUGAGAGCUCACCACCGCCAGGGCUUUCUUCACCCCAGCAUGGAGCGCCUCCCUCAUCCUCUGCCCGGCCUAGGAGUAAAGGGCUUCGACUCGACUCCGCAACGACGACCCCGACGCCGGCACCCCGAGCCCCUCGCACGCCGAAGUGACCACGGCUUCCAAAGCCGAGCGGUCCGUGACCUCGGCGUCAAGAGACCUCUACAGGGCCUCGGCGACAGAGGCUGCCUCGGCCAUCUUCCUCUCCGACUCUGUUGAAAAAUAGGACAAAAAAGAAAAGUUAGAAAAGGCAAUCCAAGCACGAAGGGGGCCAUGGCAAAAGACGCAGCUCCUACCCUCGGCUCGCUUCUCGUUCUCCGCCGAGCUCCGAUGCCAGCAGGCCACUUCGCUCUGAGCAGUAGCAAGGUCAGCCUGAGUUUGGUUCAGGGCAAGGUCUUUUUCGGUGAGCAGAGCCUCAAGCCAAGCAACCUCGCCCUUGUACCUCUCGGCCGCCGCCCUCUGCACCUUGGAUUCCUGGGCUAGGUCCCCGACCCUCUUCUCCAGAGGGGCGACCUUUUCCCAGGCCUCUCGAGCCUCAGUAGCAAGGCCCGUACACUUUUGCCGAAGCUCGGCAGAGAUCUCGCAUUCCUUCGCGAGCUCCCCCUCAGCCGCGUCCCUAGCGGCCCUCUCGUUCUCGCAGAUCGCCCAGGCGUCUCUUUCCCUGCGGAGAAAUACUGACUUCUCCAGGGACGUAGCCUUGAGCGCCUAAAAAAUCUGAAGUCACACAGGGAGUCAGUAUCACAAAAUAAAACAAAAAACACCUCAUGAUAUGAGAAGAAGCCUCACCUAGGCCAACUUGUACAUGUCUCGACUCACGAGCUCGGAAGCUUGGUUGAUCGCCUCGACGUUGGCACGCCCGCACGCGUCCAGACCCUGCCAGAGGUAAGCCUCCGACGGAUCGUCCAGAACAAAUCUGGCCCCUCCCUCUGCGUCGUCGAGGUUGGGCUAGAACACGGGGCUCUUGCCCCAUCGGGCGUCGCCUUCCCCCCUGCCGCGGCAGCCUCGGGCGCCAUAUUGGACGCCACGAUGGCCCGGCCCUCCUCGAUCUGCGCAGGCCGAGCCGCACCCCCUAAGCCGGCAUUCGUAGGGGGAGGCAUAGCCCCGGGGACGAGGGCUGUCUCCACCGGCCCUUGGGGCCUCGGCGCCUCCAGCCCGUGCCCCGCCCGACGGGGCUCCACCUCUUCGCGGCCCGGGGGAGGCGGCGACUUGAGUCCGACCGACCAAGGGGUCGACUGCGCCCCCCUCUUCGCGGCCUUCAUGGGGGCCAGCGCCACUGAUGCCGCCUUUUGCUUUCGGCUGAAAAAAUAACACAAGUCAGAAGAAAGAGAAAAACAAAAAAAUCAAAGGAAAGAUCAUAAAUCCUAUACGCACCUCGCUCGGGGGGCAGAUUUGUUAGGGGAGCUUGGAGCUCCUCGGGGGCCUCCCGAAGCGCCAGGGGCCGUUGGCCGAACCCCCGUCUCGUCCGCGGAUGGUGCAGGGGCCUCAACGGUGGUCUCGGCCUACGUUACCUCCAACGAGCCGCCGGCUUCUGCCCCGGACGUGGGGCGGGGCUCGGCCCGGCCCUCCGGUGCUAUCGGCUGUGGGGGCACCUCAGAUUUGCCUCCCGACGCCUUCUCCCCUUGGAGACCCACGGGGACCGGGCCCUCCCGAGGGGCGCUCUCCUCGUCAUCCACAAUAAUGUGGGGGACGGAUUGACCGCCCCCCGGUGCUUGGAACCCCUCGGGGGCCUCCGACCCCCCUCGGGCCUUCGACCCCUCUGGGAUCUCAAUCCCCCCGCCGGAAGGGGGGAUUACGUCGACCUCCUCCGCCAGCUCAUCGAGCCAGUCCACAUUGUCUCCCCCACCCUCUAUCUCCGAGACCGAAGUCUCGUGAGUGGGGGGCGGGGCGACCCCCGCCUUCUCGGCUUCAUGGUGGUUCUUGGCGGAGAUCUCUCGCCGUUGCGCUUUCCGCGCUGCCUUGGCCUUCUGGUCUUCCUUGGCCUUCUUCUGUUCCUCAUUCCGGGCCCAAUUUUUGGCCCGGAUCUCCUUGUCCUCUGGGACAGGGGGGAGGGAAUCUCUGACGAUCCCCAUCCUCUGCAAACAAACGACAAUUAAGAAAAAGGCAGAAACAAAAAGGGAACAAGCGCGAAAGUCGACAUCUUACCAGAGAAGUAUAGCCCUUUUCAGGGCGCAUCGGCACCACCCGGGAAUUCUUCAUAUCCGGGUGCGUUGUACUCUCCACCCGGGCGGCGAUGUCCGAUGCCGAUAGAAAAUAAUCUAUUCUAUCCGCAAGCGCACAGAUAAAAUACCUCAUUGUAGCAUUUCACCAGGAAAAGUAUUUUGGGUAUCGUUAUUUAUAUUUUGCUUAAGAGAACGGGAAAGUGAAAACAGGGGUAAAAUCUAUCAAGUCAUAGACUAGAGAUAAACUUGCAAUAACAUGAUUACUAAUGAGGAACUCGUCACACAGUCACUUGCUUUAGCAAGGGGUAAGCCAUAAAAUAAAGAUAAUGAAAUAUAAGCUCAUGGGUAAAUAACACAGCGAUUAGGAAUAGACUACUCCACAUAAAUGUAAGGUGACGUUGGAUUAGCUAGAGAAUGGAUUCUGAGUAUCUACUAUCUACUAAGUCAUAAUCUACUCUAGUUAUAUACAAGAUCAUAUAUAGCAUAAAAGACUCUUUAUUCAUGUAUAAGGAACAUUGCUAAAGUAAAUCAGAACAUAGCAAGACUUACUCCGCAAAACAAAUUAUGCCUGUCCUAUCAACGGAGGCUAGACUAUAUAAGAAUCAACGAAGCUGUCACCAUCGCGAACUACCACACGACCCGGCCAAUAGGAUACAUUUGCAGGUAAAUAAUAUCUAAGAACCACACCCACAUAUGAUCUACCACUUAACUCCGUCAAGUCAAGUGCUAAGCGCUUUGCAAACUUAUACAUAAACUCAUUAUCAAUCAUAACUAUAUCAAAUAUAGAACUAGAGCAAACUAAGAACAUAAUAAAUAGAGACAUAAUGCAAUUAGAAUAAAAUAGUAGAGAAAGAUAUGAAAUAAUACCAAUCUUUAUUGAUGAAGAUCCGAAAUCAAGAGCACUAGGCUCUACUUCUCUAAUUCUAUCUAUUCAAUCCUAAAGAACUUGAAGGUAUUGGGAGUAGCUAGUUCUAAUUCUCUGUGGGAGAGAAGUUCCUAAACCCUAACUUCGAUGGCUUCCUCUGAUAAUGAUUUCUCCUCCCCCCUUGGGGUGGAGAGGCCUUGCUUAUAUAGCCCCCACAGAUGAAUUUGGGCCGUUGGAUCAAACCGACAUUAAUCGCACGGUUAUUCUUGAAGAUUAAAGGUGGUGGAGCACGAUCCAGGAGACGGAGCCUGAUUGGCUGUUGCAGGUGGGCGGGCGCCCAAGGGGGUUGGGCGGGUGCCCUACCCCCGGGGUCCGUUCAGCCUCCUGUUCGUUCCCGUGGCUUCUGGACUCUUCUAGAUUAAGGAAAAUUGUGCGGUACGUAAUUAUCUCGUUGUAAACCUGACAUGUGGGCGUUCUCUCCAUAUUUUCUGAUAACCCCCUGCAGAAAUAGACAAACACCAAAGCUCGUGGAAUUCUGUCAGAUAAAACCCUAAUUCUAGGUGUUUGAUGCAUAUUGACCCUUUUCCAUGUUUAGUUGAUGGUUAAAUUUAGUACUUAAGGACCGUCAAUAAACUCCCCCAAGCUUACCCUUUGCUCGUCCCUGAGCAAACAGCUAAACUUAGAUGGAUCAAGAGUUGCUUCGAUGUUUUCUUUCCUGACAGGCACACAUGCUUUCACAUAAAAAUUCUCCUAGAUUAGAAUGAAGUGUCAUGGAGCUUAGUACCUGCACUUAAGUCUUAAGUAAUUGAAAGACAAAAUACCUGCCCAUAAUAAUUAAGUCAAGCACCAUUCCUCCGGUUUAUACUUCACCUUUGUUCUGGAGUUUUGCAUACGUUUUCAAAAAUAAAGCUCAGAGUUCCCAUCUAUGAUAAUCUCAAGUCUCUCUAUAUAUGGUAUUUGUGGAUCCUUACCAAAAAUGUCACUUACCUAUAACUAAGGGAAUGUUUAUGUGAAGCUCAUAGGUGUGAAAAACAAAUCAUACAUAUGUUGUCUAAUCGAGCCAUGGAUCCGAAGGAACUCAACAUGUAAUUAAAUCAAGAUGUGCAUGUGUGGUGGAGUAAAUGAUAAUGAUGGUGAAAAUAUAUAAGUAAUGAUAAAGCUUACUUCUCAUUGCUUCUCAUAUUCCUAUCUCUCCUCUUCUUUGAUCUUUGCUUUGGGAGAACAUGGGCUAUCUUUUUUUAUUUUCUUUUUUUUCAGGUGGGUAGUAAAUACCCCUAAUUCUACUGUCGGACACUUGUCUAUUUUUCCCGCUCAGGUGGGCAUCUUUGUACCCCUAAUUAUACUCCGGACACUUGUCCAUUUUUACCUCUCGUCUCACUCGUUUUCUUUCUUUUUCGAGGUUCCAGGCACUUGCCCCUUUUUAUUUCCUCGCAUAUUUUUGCAUAACCCAUGCCUCUUCUGCAUUGAAUCUUUUUGGAGAGAGAGAAUAACAACACUUGGGACAGUGAGUGAUAAUAUUUUUAGCAAUUUUAAUAAAUGGUGGUGGAUGGUGUAGUAGAUGUGUGCAAGUGAAUAUCUUAAUUUAAUCACAUGAAAAGCUCCUAAGGGUCUACACAACUCGAUCAAACUCAAUGUGAAUAUAAGUAUCAAAAGAUGUUAUAGCAAGUAUGGCUGUGCUAGGAAUUUUGUCAUGCUAGGAACUCAUCAUGUUAUUUUCAAGUUUUCAAAAUAAAUCUCCAGAACUUAGUGUAGUAAGAACAAGAUAAACAGUAGCUCAAACUUUAUAUCAUGUCCUUCUCUUACCUAGACUUUGGUUUUAGGUUCAUGCUUCCCAUAGAUAGUAGAUUUUAGUUUUAGUAAUUCUUGGGAGAACUUUAAUAUAAAAGCUAGGUACUUGAAAGUAAGCAAACAGAGCAACUGUUCAUCAUUUCCAUCGUGCAUCUUUUUAAUCUUUAUAUUUUCCUAGAGAUUAACACUUAGCAGAUAAAUAAGCACACUUAUCUACACACUCUUUUUAUUUUGUUUUCAUAUUUAUAGAAUGCAGUAAAUUAAGGCAAGAAAAUAUUUGUUGAUUUUUCUAUGUUUUUUUGAAAAAAUAAAACACUAAAAUAAAUAAGAGGAGCAAAUAAAAACUUACUUGAUAAAACGGGGAGAAACUCCCCCAAGCUAGAUGUGGUUGUCGGUCUUACCCAAUGUUCCAGAAUCGCAUCAUGGUGGUGAUGUUGUCGUUCAUCGUCGUGGUGUCUUGCCUUAGUUCUUGUACUACAGCGGCGUGGUCCUGGUUCCACUUUUGUUGCUGUUCCAGGAGUCGUCCAUGUUCCGCUUGCGUAUUCUGGAUGUCGAGGAGGGUGUUGUCGGUACGGGUGAAGAAGGUGCCGGCCUCUUGGUAGUAGUCAUUCGUGAAAGAAUAAGAUGUGUCGGAGUACCGUCCUGCAUCGAAUUGGGGCUGGGGCCUAGACCCUGAAGCUCCAUAUGGAUCCGUGGAAUACCUACCCAUACUAAAAGGCGGGUUUGUCCACUGGUGAUCUUGGCCCUCCGGCCAUGUCUCCUGUGUUGGCUCUUGCGGCUGAGCAUGUCGAACCCAUGGGUCCCGAAGGACUCGGGGGGUUGUAGUCGCGGUAAUGCAGGUGCGCUACUUCUUCCGGCCCGGGAUCAGCUCCAUACUAGGUGCGUUCUUGAUGGGUGGUCAUCCUUUCAGAUGCCACUCGUUGUGGAGCUCUCUGGUUUACCGGUGUCACUGCAAUCUCAAUCAAAUAAUUUUGAACAACAUAGAGGCCAAGGUUCCUAAUGAGAUAAACUUGCAAUAACAUGAUUACUAUCAACAUAGAGGCCAAGUGAAAACAGGGGUAAAAUCUAUCAAGGCAUAGACUAUAGAUAAACUUGCAAUAACAUGAUUACUAAUGAGGAACUCGUCACAUAGUCACUUGCUUUAGCAGUGGGUAAGCCAUAAAAUAAAGAUAAUGAAAUAUAAGCUCAUGGGUAAAUAACACAGCGAUUAGAAAUAGACUACUCCACAUAAAUGUAAGCUGAUGUCGGAUUAGCUAGAGAAUGGAUUUUGAGUAUCUACUAUCUACUAAGUCACAAUCUACUCUAGUUAUCUACAAGAUCAUAUAUAGCAUAAAAGACUCUUUAUUCAUGUAUAAGGAACAUUGCUAAAGAAAAUCAGAACAUAGCAAGACUUACUCCGUAGUACAAAUUCUGCCUGUCCUAUCAACGGAGGGUGGACUAUAUAAGUAUCAAUGAAGCUAUCACCAUCGCGAACUACCACACGACCCGACCAAUAGGAUACAUUUGUAGGUAAAUAAUAUCUAAGCACCACGCCCACAUAUGAUCUACCACUUAACUCCCUCGAGUCAAGAGCGAAGCGCUUUGCAAACUUAUACAUAAACUCAUUAUCAAUCAUAACUAUAUCAAAUAUAGAACUAGAGCAAACUAAGAACAUAAUAAAUAGAGACAUAAUGCAAUUAGAAUAAAGUAGUAGAGAAAGAUAUGAAAUAAUACCAAUCUUUAUUGAUGAAGAUCCGAAAUCUAGAGCGCUAGGCUCUACUUCUCUAAUUGUAUCUAAUCAAUCCUAAAGAACUCGAAGGAAUUGGGAGUAGCUAGUUCCUAAACCCUAACUUUGAUGGCUUCCUCUGAUAAUGAUUUCUCCUCCCCCCUUGGGUGGAGAGGCCUUGCUUAUAUAGCGCCCUCAGAUGAAUUUGGGCCGUCGGAUCAAACCGACAUUAAUCGCAUGGUUAUUCUUGAAGAUUAAAGGCGGUGGAGCACGAUCCAGGAGACGGAGCCUGAUUGGCUGCUGCAGGUGGGCGGGCGCCCUGCCCCCGGGCCCGUUCGGCCUCUUGUUCGUUCCCGUGGCUUCACCUUUGGCGUAAUAAUUAAAAUUCGCCUUCGUUCGUUCCCCCGGGCCCAUUCGGACUCUAACAUUAACUAACCAGCAACAAGACCUCGACUAGGACGCAAACUCAACACUGUGGACUCUGAAACUAAAAUAUACAAAGGCUAUGGCGUGGAAGGGUCGUAGGACAGGAAAACGAUAUGGCACUGGACUUAUGGGACGAACACAAUAACACUCGAAACUAAGUGUAGAUGUGAAUCUAACCGUAUACCUGAAGCUUUGAUUACCGCUUGAUGAGAACGAGGGUGACCUGAUCUUCCGAAAGGUUUUGGUAACUCUCGGUUUGGUGGAGACGAGACACAAAUUGGUCCGGCUUACGAACAACACGAUCCGACACCAAGCAAUUUUUUAUUUAUUUGAUAUUUUUCUUUUACUUAGGAGCACUGAAGAACUAACCACAGAAAAUAUGAGGUUAAAAAGGUUAUAGUAACCACAUGAUAAGAACAAGGGUGGCCCGAUCUUCCAAAAGGUUAUAGUAACUCUCGACUUGGUGGAGACAAGACACAAAUCGAUCCGGCUUCCGAACAACACGAUGUGAAACCCUGUAAUUUUUUUUAAUUUUUUGAUAAUUUUCUUUUACUUAGAAUCACUAAAGAAGUAACCACAGAAAAUUUAAGAUUAAACAAGAGAAAGGCGUGGCCUGUGGAAUUUUGUGAAGAUUGCCAAAAAUGUGAAAAAAAACUUCACGAGGUGAAAAACUCCAACUUCGGAGGUGAAUUUAGAGACUACAAAACUUUCAAACCCGCCAAUUGCAAGGACAGACAGAUCUGAAAUUUUUUCUGAUCGAUUUUGAUAUAUGGAACAUUGAAAUCGUAGUUCGUAUGUGAAAGUUAUGGCUAUUUUACGAACGGACUCCGAAUUAGAGGACAAAACGGGCCGAAAGUGAGAAAAAUUUGCGGCGGUGGCUACAAAUCGAUGGAAACGGUGGGGAAAACACAUGAACUGGGCUCUAACAAGACCUAACCAACAACAAGACCUCGACCAGGACACAAACUCGACACUACGGACUCUGAAACUGAAAUAUGCAAAGGCUAUGGCGCGGAAUGGUUGUAGGACAAGAAAACGAUAUGGCACUGGACUUAUCGGACGAACACAAGAACACUCGAAUAAGGGUAGAUGUGAACCUAACGGUAUACCUGAAGCUUUGAUUACCACUUGAAAAGAAUAAGGGUGGCCCGAUCUUCCAAAAGGUUAUGGUAACUCUCGAUUUGGUGGAGAUGAGACACAAAUCGAUCCGGCUUCCGAAUAACACGAUCCGAAACCCUACAAUUUUUUUUAUUUUUUUGAUAUUUUUAAUUUACUUAGGUGCACUAAAUAAGUAACUAUAGAAAAUUUGAGCUUAAACAAGUGAAAGACGUGGCCUGCGGAAUUUUCUGAAGAUUGCAAAAAAUGUGAAAAAAACUUCACGAGGUGAAAACUCAAACUUCGGAGAGGAAUUUGGAGAUUAUAAAAUUUUCAAACCCAUCAAUGGCAAGGACAGACAGAUCCAAAAUUUUUUCUAAUCGAUUUUGAUAUAUGGAACGUUGAAAUCGAAAAUCGUAUGCGAAAGUUAUGGUAGUUUUACGAACGGACUCUGAAUUAGAGGACAAAACGGUCCGAAAGUGGGAAAAAUUUGCAGCGGUGGCUAGAAAUUGAUGGAAACGGUGAGGAAAACACAAGAACUGGACUCUAACAAGACCUAACCAGCAACAAGACCUCGAGCAGGACACAAACUCAACACUGCGGUCUUUGAAACUAAAAUAUGCAAAGGCUGUGGUGUGGAAGGGUUGUUGGACUUAUGGGACGAACACAAGAACACUCGAAACUAAGGGUAGAUGUGAACCUAAUGGUAUACCUGGAGCUUUGAUUACCACUUGAUGAGAACAAGGGUGACCCGAUCUUCCGAAAGGUUAUGAUAACUCUCGGUUUGGUGGAGACGAGACACAAACUCAUCCGGCUUUCAAACAACACGAUCUGAAACUCUGCAAUUUUUAUUAUUUUUUUGAUAUUUUUCUUUUACUUAGGAGCAGUAAAGAACUAAUUAUAGAAAAUUUGAGCUUAAACAAGUGAAAGACAUGGCCUGCGGAAUUUUCUGAAAAUUGUGAAAAAUGUGAAAAAAACAUCACGAGGUGAAGACUCAAACUUCGGAGGCAAAUUUUCAAACCAGCCAGAGGCAGCAACAGACAGAUCUGAAAUUUUUUUUGAUUGAUUUUGAUAUAUGGAAUGUUGAAAUCGGAGUUCGUAUGUGAAAAUUAUGGUUAUUUUACGAACGGACUCCGAAUUAGAGAACAAAACGGUCCGAAAGUGAAAAAAAUUUGCGGCGGUUUCUAGAAAUUGAUGGAAACGGUGGGGAAAAAUACACGAACUAGAUCUAACAAGACAUAACCAGCAACAAGACCUCGACCAGGACACAAACUAAAAACUGCGAAGUCUCAAAUUGAAAUAUGCAAAGGCUAUGGCGCGGAAGGGUUGUAGGACAGGAAAAUGAUAUGACACUGGACUUAUGGGACGAACACAAGAACACUCGAAACUAAAGGUAGAUGUAAAACCAACGGUAUACAUGAAGCUUUGAUUACCACUUGAUGAGAACAAGGGUGGCCUGAUCUUCCGAAAGGUUCUGGUACUCUCGAUUUGGUCGAGACGAGACACAAAUCGAUCCGGCUUCCGAACAACACGAUCUGAAACCCUGCAAAUUUUUUUUUAUUUUUUUGAUAUUUUUCUUUUACUUUGGAGCACUAAAGAAGUAACCACAGAAAAUUUGAGCUUAAACAAGUGAAAGACGUGGCCUGUGGAAUUUUCUGAAGAUUGCAAAAAAUGUGAAAAAAAAUCACAAGGCGAAAAACUCAAACUUCAGGGGCGAAUUUGGAGAUUAUAAAAUUUUCAAACCCGCCAAUGGCGAGGACAGACUGAUCCGAAAUUUUUUUUUGAUUGAUUUUGAUAUAACGGUAUACCUGAAGCUUUGAUUACCACUUGAUGAGAACAAGGUUGACCCGAUCUUCAGAAAGGUUAUGAUAACUCUCGGUUUGGUUGAGACGAGACACAAAUCGAUCCGGCUUUCAAACAACACGAUUCGAAAGUCUGCAUUUUUUAUUUUUUUGAUAUUUUUCUUUUACUUAGGAGCACUAAAGAACUAACCAUAGAAAAUUUGAGCUUAAACAAGUGAAAGACGUGGCCUGCGGAAUUUUAUGAAGAUUGCAAAAAAUGUGAAAAAACUUCACGAGGUGAAAACUCAAACUUCGGAGGCAAAUUUGGAGCUUCCAAAAUUUUCAAACCCGCCAGUGGUAGGGACAGGCAGAUCCAAAUUUUUUUUCUCAUCGAUUUUGAUAUAUGGAACAUUGAAAUCGGAGUUCGUACGUGAAUGUUAUGGCUAUUUUACGAACGGACUUCGAAUAAGAGAACAAAACGGUCCAAAAGUGGGAAAAUUUGCGGCGGUGGCUAGAAAUUGAUGGAAACGGUGGGGAAAAACACACGAACUAGACUCUAACAAGACCUAACCAGCAACAAGACCUCGACUAGGACACAAACUCAACACUACGGACUCUGAAACGGAAAUAUGCAAAGGCUAUGCGCGGAACGGUUGUAGGACAAGAAAACGAUAUGGCACUGGACUUAUGGGACGAACACAAUAACACUCGAAACUAAGGGUAGAUGUGAAACCAACGGUAUACAUGAAGCUUUGAUUACCAUUUGAGGAGAACAAGGGUGGUCUGAUCUUCCGAAAGGUUCUGGUACUCUCGAUUUGGUCGAGACGAGACACUAAUCGAUCCGGCUUCCGAACAACACGAUCUGAAACCCUGCAAUUUUUAUUAUUUUUUGAUAUUUUUCUUUUACUUAGGAGUACUAAAGAAGUAACCACAGAAAAUUUGAGCUUAAACAAGUGAAAGACGUGGCCUGCAGAAAUUUCUGAAGAUUGCAAAAAAUGUGAAAAAAAAAUCACGAGGCGAAAAACUCAAAAUUCAUGGGCGAAUUUGGAGAUUAUAAAAUUUUCAAACCCGCCAAUGGCGAGGACAGACUGAUCCGAAAUUAUUUUUUGAUUGAUUUUGAUAUAUGGAACGUUGAAAUCGGAGUUCGUAUGCGAAAGUUAUGGCUGUUUUAUGAACGGACUCCGAAUUAGAGGACAAAACUGUCCAAAAGUGGGAAAAAUUUGCGGCGGUGGCUAUAAAUUGAUUGAAAUGGUGGGGAAAAACACACGAACUGGACUCUAACAAGACCUAACCAGCAAUAACACCUCGACCAGGACACAAACUCGACACUGCGGACUCUGAAACUGAAAUAUGCAAAGGCUAUGGCGCGGAAGGGUUGUAGGACAAGAAAACGAUAUGGACUCGACUUAUGGGACGAACACAAGAACACUCGAAACUAAGGGUAGAUGUGAACCUAACGGUAUACCUGAAGCUUUGAUUACCACUUGAUGAGAACAAGGGUGACCCGAUCUUCAGAAAGGUUAUGAUAACUCUCGGUUUGGUGGAGACGACACACAAAUCGAUCCGGCUUUCAAACAACACGAUAUGAAACUCUGCAAUUUUUUUUUAUUUUUUGAUAUUUUUCUUUUACUUAGGAGCACUAAAGAACUAACCAUAGAAAAUUUGAGCUUAAACAAGUGAAAGACGUGGCCUGCGGAAUUUUCUGAAAAUUGUGACAAAUGUGAAAAAAACAUCACGAGGUGAACACUCAAACUUCGGAGGCAAAUUUGGAGAUUCUAAAAUUUUCAAACCAGCCAGAAGCAGGAACAGACAGAUCUGAAAUUUUUUUCUGAUUGAUUUUGAUAUAUGGAACGUUGAAAUCGGAGUUCGUAUGCGAAAGUUAUGGUUAUUUUACGAACGGACUCCGAAUUAGAGAACAAAACGGUCCGAAAGUGGAAAAAAUUUGCGGCGGUGGCUAGAAAUUGAUGGAAAUGGUGGGGAAAAAUACACGAACUAGACUCUAAUAAGACCUAACCAGCAACAAGACCUCGACCAGGACACAAACUCAAAACUGCGGAGUCUCAAAUUGAAAUAUGCAAAGGCUAUGGCGCGAAAGGGUUGUAGGACAGGAAAAUGACAUGACACUGGACUUAUGGGACGAACACAAGAACACUCGAAACUAAGGGUAGAUGUGAAACCAACAGUAUACAUGAAGCUUUGAUUACCAUUUGAUGAGAACAAUGGUGGCCUGAUCUUCCGAAACGUUCUGGUACUCUCGAUUUGGUCGAGACGAGACACAAAUCGAUCCGACUUCCGAACAACACGAUCUGAAACUCUGCAAUUUAUUUUUAUUUUUUGAUAUUUUCUUUUACUUAGGAGCACUAAAGGAGUAACCAUAGAAAAUUUGAGCUUAAACAAGUGAAAGACGUAGCCUGCAGAAAUUUCUGAAGAUUGCAAAAAAUGUGAAAAAAAAUCACGAGGCGAAAAACUCAAACUUCAGGGGCAAAUUUGGCGAUUAUAAAAUUUUCAAACCCACUGUUGGUGGGUACAGAUAGAUCCAAAAAAUUUUCUGAUCGAUUUUGAUAUAUGGAACGUUGAAAUCGGAGUUCAUAUGCGAAAGUUAUGGCUGUUUUACGAACGGACUACGAAUUAGAGGACAAAACGGUCCGAAAGUGGGAACAAUUUGCGGCGGUGGCUAGAAAUUGAUGGAAACGGUGGAGAAAAACACAUGAACUGGACUCUAACAAGACCUAACCAGCAACAAGACCUCGACCAGGACACAAACUCAACACUGCACACUCUAAAACUCAAAUAUGCAAAGGCUAUGGCGCGGAAGGGUUGUAGGACAGGAAAAUGAUGUGGCACUGGACUUAUGGGACGAACACAAGAACACUCGAAACUAAGGGUAGAUAUGAACCUAACGGUAUACCUGAAGCUUUGAUUUCCACUUGAUGAGAACAAGGGUGGCCAGAUCUUCCGAAAGGUUAUGGUAACUCUCGGUUUGGUGGAGACAAGACACAAAUCGAUCCGGCUUUCGAACAACACGAUCCGAAACUCUGCAAUUUUUUUAUUUUUUUGAUAUUUUUCUUUUACUUAGGAGCUCUAAAGAAGUAACCACAGAAAAUUUGAGCUUAAACAAGUGAAAGACGUGGCCUGCAGAAUUUUCUGAAGAUUGCAAAAAAUGUGAAAAAAAAUUCACGAGGUGAAAAACUCAAACUUCGGGAGCGGAUUUGGAGAUUAUAAAAUUAUCAAACCCGCCUAUCGCGAGGACAGACAGAUCUGAAUUUUUUUGAUCAAUUUUUAUAUAUGGAACAUUGAAAUCGGAGUUCGUACGCGAAAGUUAUGCCUGUUUUAUGAACGGACUCCGAAUUAGAGGACAAAACUGUCCGAAAGUGCGAAAAAUUUGCGGCGGUGGCUACAAAUUGAUUGAAAUGGUGAAGAAAAACACAUGAACUGGACUCUAACAAGACCUAACCAGCAAUAAGACCUCGACCAGGACACAAACUCCACACUGCGGACUCUGAAACUAAAAUAAGCAAAGGCUAUGGCGCACAAGGGUUGUAGGACAAGAAAACGAUAUGGACAGGACUUAUGGGACGAAUACAAGAACACUCAAAACUAAGAGUAGAUAUGAACCUAACGGUAUACAUGAAGCUUUGAUUUCCACUUGAUGAGAACAAGGGUGGCCCGAUCUUCCGAAAGGUUAUGGUAACUCUCGGUUUGGUGGAGACGAGACACAAAUCGAUUCGUCUUUCAAACAACACGAUCCGAAACUCUGCAAUUUUUUUAUUUUUUUGAUAUUUUUCUUUUAGUUAGGAGCACUAAACAACUAACCAUAGAAAAUUUGAGCUUAAACAAGUGAAAGACGUGGCUUGGGGAAUUUUCUAAAGAUUGCAAAAAAUGUGAAAAAAAACUUCACGAGGUGAAAACUCAAACUUCGGAGGCGAAUUUGGAGCUUCAAAAAUUUUCAAACCCACCAAUGGCAAGGACAGACAGAUCCGAAUUUUUUUCUGAUCGAUUUUGAUAUAUGGAACAUUGACAUCGAAGAUCGUAUGCGAAAGUUAUGGAAGUUUUACGAACGGACUCCGAAUUAGAGGACAAAACGGUCGGGAAGUGGGAAAAAUUUGUGGCGGUGGCUAGAAAUUGAUGGAAACGGUGGGGAAAACACACGAACUAGACUCUAACAAGACCUAACCAGCAACAAGACCUCGACUAGGACACAAACUCAAAACUGUGGACUUUGAAACUAAAAUAUGCAAAGGCUGUGGCGUGGAAGGGUUGUAGAACAGGAAAACGAUAUGGCAGUGGACUUAUGGGACGAACACAAGAACACUCGGAACUAAAGGUAGAUGUGAACCUAACGGUAUACCUGAAACUUUGAUUACCACUCGAUGAGAACAAGGGUGACCCGAUCUUCCGAAAGGUUAAGAUAACUCUCGGUUUGGUGGAUACGAGACACAAAUCGAUCCGGCUUUCAACAACACAAUUCGAAAGUCUACAUUUUUUUUAUUUUUUUGAUAUUUUUCUUUUAUUUAGGAGCACUAAAGAACUAAGCAUCGAAAAUUUGAGCUUAAACAAGUGAAAGACGUGGCCUGCGGAAUUUUAUGAAGAUUGCAAAAAAUGUGAAAAAAACUUCACGAGGUGAAAACUCAAACUUUGGAGGCAAAUUUGGAGCUUCAAAAAUUUUCAAACCCACGAGUGGUAGGGACAAGCAAAUCCAAAAUUUUUUUCUGAUCGAUUUUGAUAUAUGGAACGUUGAAAUCGGAGUUCGUAUGCGAAAGUUAUGAUUAUUUUACGAACGGACUCCAAAUUAGAGAACAAAACGGUCCGAAAGUGGAAAAAUUUUGCGGCGGUGGCUAGAAAUUGAUGGAAACGGUGGGAAAAAACACACGAACUAGACUCUAACAAUACCUAACCAGCAACAAGACCUCGUCCAGGACACAAACUCAAAACUGCGGACUCUGAAAUUGAAAUAUGCAAAGGCUAUGGCGCGGAAGGGUUGUAGGACACGAAAAUGAUAUGGCACUAGACUUAUGGGACGAACACAAGAACACUCGAAACUAAGGGUAGAUCUGAAACCAACGAUAUACCUGAAGCCUUGACUACCACUUGAUGAGAACAAGGGUGGCCUGAUCUUCCGAAAGGUUCUCGUACUGUCGAUUUGGUCGAGACGAGACACAAAUCGAUCCGGCUUCCGAACAACACGAUCUGAAACCUGUAAUUUUUUCUGAUCGAUUUUGAUAUAUGGAACGUUGAAAUCGGAGUUAGUAUGCAAAAGUUAUGGCUAUUUUACGAACGGACACUGAAUUAGAGUACAAAACGGUCCCAAAGUGGGAAAAAUUUACGGCAGUGGCAAGAAAUUGAUGGAAAUUGUGGGGAAAAUCACACGAACUGGACUCUAAGAAGACCUAACUAGCAACAAGACCUCGACUAGGACACAAACUCAACACUGCGGACUCUAAAACUGAAAUAUUCAAAGGCUAUGGCGCGGAAGGGUUGUAGGACACGAAUACGAUAUGACACUGGACUUAUGGGACGAACACAAGAACACUUGAAACUAAGGGUAGAUGUGAACCUAACGGUAUACCUGAAGUUUUGAUUACCACUUGAUGAGAACAAGUGUGGCCCGAUGUUCCGAAAGGUUCUCGUAACUCUCGAUUUGGUGGACAUGAGACACAAAUCGAUCCGGUUUUCGAACAACACGAUCCAAAACCCUACAUUUUUUUAUUUUUUUGAUAUUUUUCUUUUACUUAGGAGCACUAAAGAGGUAACCAUAGAAAAUUUGAGCUUAAACAAGUGAAAGACGUGGCCUCUGGAAUUUUCUGAAGAUUGCGAAAAAUGUGAAAAAAACUUCACGAGGAGAAAACUCAAUCUUCGGAGGCGAAUUUGGAGAUUAUAAAAUUUUCAAACCCACCAAUGGUAGGGACAGACAGAUCCAAAAUUUUUUCUGAUCGAUUUUGAUAUAUGGAACGUUGAAAUCAGAGUCCGUAUGCGAAAGUUCUGGUUGUUUUAUGAACGGACUCCGAAUUAGAGGACAAAACGGUCCGAAAGUGGGAAAAAAUUGCGGCUGUGCCUACAAAUUGAUUGAAAUGGUGGAAAAAACACAUGAAUUGGACUCUAACAUUUUCUAACCAGCAACAAGACCUCGACCAGGACACAAACUCAACACUGCGGACUCCAAAACUGAAAUAUGCAAAGGCUAUGGCGCGGAAGGGUUGUAGGACAGGAGAACGAUAUGGCAUUGGACUUAUGGGAUGAACACAAUAACACUCGAAACUAAGGGUAGAUGUGAACCUAACGGUAUACCUGAAGCUUUGAUUACCACUUGAUGAGAACAAGGGUGGCCCGAUCGUCCAAAAGGUUAUGAUAACUCUCGAUUUGGUGGAGACGAGACCCAAAUCAAUCCGGCUUCCGAACAACACGAUCUGAAACCCUAUAAUUUUUGUUAUUUUUUUGAUAUUUUUUUUACACAGCAGCACUAAAGGAGUAACCACAGAAAAUCUGAGCUUACACAAGUAAAAUUUGAGCUUACACAAGUGAAAGACAUAGCCUGCGGAAUUUUCUGAAUAUUGUGAAAAAUGUGAAAAAACUUCACGAGGUGAAAACUCAAACUUCGAAGGCGAAUUUGGAGAUUAUAAAAUUUUCAAACCCACCAAUGGCGGGGACAGACAGAUCGAAAAAAUUUUCUGAUCGAUUUUUAUAUAUAGAACGUUGAAAUCGGAGUUAGUACGUGAAAGUUAUGGCUGUUUUACGAACGGACUACGGAUUAGAGGACAAAACGGUCCGAAAGUGGGAAAAAUUUGCGACGUUGGCUAGAAAUUGAUGGAAACGGUGGGGAAAGACACAUGACCUGGACUCUAACAAGACCUAACUAGCAACAAGACCUCGAAAUCGGAGUUCGUAUGCGAAAGUUAUGGCUGUUUUAUGAACGGACUCCGAAUUAGAGGACAAAACUGUCCAAAAGUGGGAAAAAUUUGUGGCGGUGGCUAUAAAUUGAUUGAAAUGGUGGGGAAAAACACACGAACUGGACUCUAACAAGACCUAACCAGCAAUAACACCUCGACCAGGACACAAACUCGACACUGCGGACUCUGAAACUGAAAUAUGCAAAGGCUAUGGCGCGGAAGGGUUGUAGGACAAGAAAACGAUAUGGACUCGACUUAUGGGACGAACACAAGAACACUCGAAACUAAGGGUAGAUGUGAACCUAACGGUAUACCUGAAGCUUUGAUUACCACUUGAUGAGAACAAGGGUGACCCGAUCUUCAGAAAGGUUAUGAUAACUCUCGGUUUGGUGGAGACGAGACACAAAUCGAUCCGGCUUUCAAACAACACGAUACGAAACUCUGCAAUUUUUUUUUAUUUUUUUGAUAUUUUUCUUUUACUUAGGAGCACUAAAGAACUAACCAUAGAAAAUUUGAGCUUAAACAAGUGAAAGACGUGGCCUGCGGAAUUUUCUGAAAAUUGUGACAAAUGUGAAAAAAACAUCACGAGGUGAAGACUCAAACUUCGGAGGCAAAUUUGGAGAUUCUAAAAUUUUCAAACCAGCCAGAAGCAGGAACAGACAGAUCUGAAAUUUUUUUCUGAUUGAUUUUGAUAUAUGGAACGUUGAAAUCGGAGUUCGUAUGCGAAAGUUAUGGUUAUUUUACGGACGGACUCCGAAUUAGAGAACAAAACGGUCCGAAAGUGGAAAAAAAUUGCGGCGGUGGCUAGAAAUUGAUGGAAAUGGUGGGGAAAAAUACACGAACUAGACUCUAACAAGACCUAACCAGCAACAAGACCUCGACCAGGACACAAACUCAAAACUGCGGAGUCUCAAAGUGAAAUAUGCAAAGGCUAUGGCGCGAAAGGGUUGUAGGACAGGAAAAUGACAUGACACUGGACUUAUGGGACGAACACAAGAACACUCGAAACUAAGGGUAGAUGUGAACCUAACGGUAUAUCUAAAGCUUUUAUUACCACUUGAUGAGAACAAGGGUGGCCCGAUCGUCCAAAAGGUUAUGAUAACUCUCGAUUUGGUGGAGACGAGACACAAAUCAAUCCGGCUUCCGAACAACACGAUCUGAAACCCUACAAUUUCUUUUAUUUUUUUUGAUAUUUUUAUUUUACUUAGGAGCACUAAAGAAGUAACCACAGAAAAUUUGAGCUUAAACAAGUGAAAGACGUGGCCUGCGGAAUUCUCUGAAGAUUGCGAAAAAUGUGAAAAAAACUUCACAAGGUGAAAACUCAAACAUCAGAGGUGAAUUUGGAGAUUAUAAACUUUUCAAACCCACUGUUGGUGGGUACAGAUAGAUCCAAAAAAAUUUUCUGAUCGAUUUUGAUAUAUGGAACGUUGAAAUCGGAGUUCAUAUGCGAAAGUUAUGGCUGUUUUACGAACGGACUACGAAUUAGAGGACAAAAUGGUCCGAAAGUGGGAAAAAUUUGCGGCGGUGGCUAGAAAUUGAUGGAAACGGUGGAGAAAAACACAUGAACUGGACUCUAACAAGACCUAACCAGCAACAAGACCUCGACCAGGACACAAACUCAACACUGCGGACUCUGAAACUGAAAUAUGCAGAGGCUAUGGCGCGGAAGGGUUGUAGGACAGGAAAACGAUGUGGCACUGGACUUAUGGGACGAACACAAGAACACCCGAAACUAAGGGUAGAUAUGAACCUAACGGUAUACCUCAAGCUUUGAUUACCACUUGAUGAGAACAAGGGUUGUCCGAUCUUCCAAAAGGUUCUGGUAACUCUCGAUUUUGUGGAGACGAGGCACAAAUCGAUCCGGCUUCCGAACAACACGAUCUGAAACCAUGCAAGUUUUUUUUUUAUUUUUUUGAUAUUUUUCUUUUAUUUAGGAGCACUAAAGAAGUAACCACAGAAAUUUGAGCUUAAACAAGUGAAAGACGUGGCCUGCGGAAUUCUCUGAAGAUUGCGAAAAAUGUGAAAAAAACUUUACGAGGUGAAAACUCAAACUUCGGUGGUGAAUUUGGAGAUUAUAAAAUUUUCAAACCCCCCAAAGGCGGGGACAGACAGAUCCAAAAAAAUUUUCUCAUCGAUUUUGAUAAAUGGAACGUUGUAAUCGGAGUUCAUAUUCGAAAGUUAUGGCUGUUUUACGAACGGACUCCGUAUUAGAGGACAAAACGGUCCGAAAGUGGGAAAAAAUUGCAGCGGUGGCUAGAAAUUGAUGGAAACGGUGCGGAAAAACACAUAAACGGGACUCUAACAAGACCUAACCAGCAACAAGACCUCGACCAGGACACAAACUCAACACUGCGAACUCUGAAACUGAAAUAUGCAAAGGCUAUGGCGCGGAAGGGUUGUAGGACACGAAAACGAUAUGGCACUGGACUUAUGGGACGAACACAAGAACACCCAAAACUAAGGGUAGAUGUGAACAUAACGGUAUACCUCAAGCUUUGAUUACCACUUGAUGAGAACAAGGGUGGUCCGAUCUUCCGAAAGGUUCUGGUAACUCUCGAUUUGGUGGAGACGAGGCACAAAUCGAUCCGGCUUCCGAACAACAUGAUCUGAAACCAUGCAAGUUUUUUUUAUUUUUUUUUUGAUAUUUUUAUUUUACUUAGGAGCACUAAAUAAGUAACCACAGAAAAUUUGAGCUUAAACAAGUGAAAGACGUGGCCUGCGGAAUUCUCUGAAGAUUGCAAAAAAUGUGAAAAAAACUUCACGAGGUGAAAACUCAAACUUCUGUGGUGAAUUUGGAGAUUAUAAAAUUGUCAAGCAACCCAAAGGCAGGGACAGACAGAUCCAAAAAAAUUUUCUCAUCGAUUUUGAUAUAUGGAACGUUGUAAUCGGAGUUCAUAUGCGAAUGUUAUGGCUGUUUUACGAACGGACUCCGAAUUAUAGGACAAAACGGUCUGAAAGUGGAAAAAAUUUGCGGCGGUGGCUAGAAAUUGAUGGAAACAGUGGGGAAAAACACAUGAACUAGACUCUAACAAGACCUAACCAGCAACAAGACCUCGACCAGGACACAAACUCAACACUGCGGACUGUGAAACUGAAAUAUGCAAAGGCUAUAGUGUGGAAGGUUUAUAGGACAGGAAAACGAUAUGGCACUGGACUUAUGGGACGAACACAAGAGCACUCGAAACUAAGUCUAGAUGUGAACCUAACGGUAUACCUGAAGCUUUGAUUACCACUUGAUGAGAACAAGGGUGGCCCGAUCUUCUGAAAGGAUCUGGUAACUCUCGAUUUGGUGGAGACGAGACACAAAUCGAUCCGGCUUCCGAACAACACGAUCUGAAACCCUGCAAUUUUUUUUUAUUUUUUUUGAUAUUUUUCAUUUACUUAGGAGCACUAAACAAGUAACCAUAGAAAAUUUGAGCUUUAACAAGUGAAAGACGUGGCCUGAGGAAUUUUCGGAAAAUUGCGAAAAAUGUGAAAAAAACUUCACAAGGUGAAAACUCAAACAUUGGAGGGGAAUUUGGAGACUCUAAAAUUUUCAAACCCACCAAAUGCAGGGACAUACAGAUCAAAAAAAAAAUUUUGAUCGAUUUUGAUAUAUGGAACGUUGAAAUCAGAGUUCGUAUGCGAAAGUUAUGGCUGUUUUACGAACGGACUCCGAAUUAGAGGACAAAACGGUUCGAAAGUGGAAAAAUUUUGUGGCGGUGACUAGAAAUUGUUGGAAACGGUGGGGAAAAACACAUGAACUGGACUCUAACAAGACCUAACUAGCAACACGACCUCGACCAGGACACAAACUCAACACUGCGGACUCUAAAACUGAAAUAUGCAAAUGCUAUGGCGCGGAAGGGUUGUGGGACACGAAAACAACAUGGCACUGGACUUUUUUUAUGGGACGAACACAAGAACACUCAAAACUAAGGGUAGAUGUGAACAUAACGGUAUACCUGAAGCUUUGAUUACCACUUGAUGAUUACAAGGGUGGCCCGGUCUUCCGAAAAGUUCUGGUAACUCUCGAUUUGGUGGAGAUGAGGCACAAAUCGAUUCGGCUUCCGAACAACACGAUCUGAAACCCUACAAGUUUUUUUUAUUUUUUUGAUAUAUUUAUUUUACUUAGGAGCACUAAAGAAGUAACCAUAGAAAAUUUGAGCUUAAACAAGUGAAAGACGUGGCCUGCGGAAUUCUCUGAAGAUUGUGAAAAAUGUGAAAAAAACUUCACAAGGUGAAAACUCAAACAUCAGAGGCGAAUUUGGAGAUUAUAAACUUUUCAAACCCACUGUUGGUGGGUACAGAUAGAUCCAAAAAAAUUUUAUGAUCGAUUUUGAUAUAUGGAACGUUGAAAUCGGAGUUCAUAUGCGAAAGUUAUGGCUGUUUUACGAACGGACUACGAAUUAGAGGACAAAACGGUCCGAAAGUGGGAAAAAUUUGCGGCGGUGGCUAGAAAUUGAUGGAAACGGUGGAGAAAAACACAUGAACUGGACUCUAACAAGACCUAACCAGCAACAAGACCUCGACCAGGACACAAACUCAACACUGCGGACUCUGAAACUGAAAUAUGCAGAGGCUAUGGCGCGGAAGGGUUGUAGGACAGGAAAACGAUGUGGCACUGGACUUAUGGGACGAACACAAGAACACCCGAAACUAAGGGUAGAUAUGAACCUAACGGUAUACCUCAAGCUUUGAUUACCACUUGAUGAGAACAAGGGUGGUCAGAUCUUCCAAAAUGUUCUGGUAACUCUCGAUUUGGUGGAGACGAGGCACAAAUCGAUCCGGCUUCCGAACAACACGAUCUGAAACCAUGCAAGUUUUUUUUUAUUUUUUUGAUAUUUUUCUUUUAUUUAGGAGCACUAAAGAAGUAACCACAGAAAUUUGAGCUUAAACAAGUGAUAGACGUGGCCUGCGGAAUUCUCUGAAGAUUGCGAAAAAUGUGAAAAAAACUUCACGAGGUGAAAACUCAAACUUCGGUGGUGAAUUUGGAGAUUAUAAAAUUGUCAAACCCCCCAAAGGCGGGGACAGACAGAUCCAAAAAAAUUUUCUCAUCGAUUUUGAUAAAUGGAACGUUGUAAUCGGAGUUCAUAUUCGAAAGUUAUGUUGUUUUACGAACGGACUCCGAAUUAGAGGACAAAACGGUCCGAAAGUGGGAAAAAUUUGCAGCGGUGGCUAGAAAUUGAUGGAAACGGUGCGGAAAAACACAUAAACGGGACUCUAACAAGACCUAACCAGCAACAAGACCUCGACCAGGACACAAACUCAACACUGCGAACUCUGAAACUGAAAUAUGCAAAGGCUAUGGCGCGGAAGGGUUGUAGGACACGAAAACGAUAUGGCACUGGACUUAUGGGACGAACACAAGAACACCCAAAACUAAGGGUAGAUGUGAACAUAACGGUAUACCUCAAGCUUUGAUUACCACUUGAUGAGAACAAGGGUGGUCGGAUCUUCCGAAAGGUUCUGGUAACUCUCGAUUUGGUGGAGACGAGGCACAAAUCGAUCCGGCUUCCGAACAACAUGAUCUGAAACCAUGCAAGUUUUUUUUAUUUUUUUUGAUAUUUUUCUUUUACUUAGGAGCACUAAAUAAGUAACCACAGAAAAUUUGAGCUUAAACAAGUGAAAGACGUGGCCUGCGGAAUUCUCUGAAGAUUGCAAAAAAUGUGAAAAAAACUUCACGAGGUGAAAACUCAAACUUCUGUGGUGAAUUUGGAGAUUAUAAAAUUGUCAAACAACCCAAAGGCAGGGACAGACAGAUCCAAAAAAAUUUUCUGAUCGAUUUUGAUAUAUGGAACGUUGUAAUCGGAGUUCAUAUGCGAAUGUUAUGGCUGUUUUACGAACGGACUCCGAAUUAGAGGACAAAACGGUCUGAAAGUGGAAAAAAUUUGCGGCGGUGGCUAGAAAUUGAUGGAAACAGUGGGGAAAAACACAUGAACUAGACUCUAACAAGACCUAACCAGCAACAAGACCUCGACCAGGACACAAACUAAACACUGCGGACUCUAAAACUGAAAUAUGCAGAGGCUAUGGCGCGGAAGGGUUGUAGGACAGGAAAACGAUAUGGCACUGGACUUAUGGGACGAACACAAGAACUUCCGAACGUAAGGAUAGAUGUGAACCUAAUGGUGUACCUCAAGCUUUGAUUACCACUUGAUGAGAACAAGGGUGGUCCGAUCUUCCGAAAGGUUCUGGUAACUCUCGAUUUGCUGGAGACGAGGCACAAAUCGAUCCGGCUUCCGAACAACACGAUCUGAAACCAUGCAAGUUUUUUUUAUUUUUUUAAUAUUUUUGUUUGACUUAGGAGCACUAAAGAAGUAACCCCAGAAAAUUUGAGCUUAAACAAGUGAAAGACGUGGCCUGCGGAAUUCUCUGAAGAUUGCGAAAAAUGUGAAAAAACUUCACGAGGUGAAAACUCAAACAUCAGAGGUGAAUUUGGAGAUUAUAAAAUUGUCAAACCCGGCAAAGGCGGUGACAGACAGAUCCAAACUUUUUUUAUGAUCGAUUUUGAUAUAUGGAACGUUGAAAUCGGAGUUCAUAUGCGAAAGUUAUGGCUGUUUUACGAACGCACUCCGAAUUAAAGGACAAAACGGUCCGAAAGUGGGAAAAAUUUACGGCGGUGGCUAGAAUUUGAUGAAAACGGUGGGGAAAAACACAUGAACUGGACUCUAACGAGUCCUAACCAGCAACAAGACCUCGACCAGGACACAAACUCCACACUGCGGACUCUAAAACUGAAAUAUGCAAAGGCUAUGGCGCGGAAGGGUUGUAGGACAGGAAAACGAUAUGGCACUGGACUUAUAGGACGAACACAAGAACACUAGAAACUAAGGGUAGAUGUGAACCUAACGGUAUACCUCAAGCUUUGAUUACCACUUGAUGAGAACAAGGGUGGUCCGAUCUUCCGAAAGGUUCUGGUAACUCUCGAUUUGGUGGAGACGAGGCACAAAUCGAUCCGGCUUCCGAACAACACGAUCUGAAACCAUAUAAGUUUUUUUAUUUUUUUGAUAUUUUUCUUUUACUUAGGAGCACUAAAGAAGUAACCAUAGAAAAUUUGAGCUUAAACAAGUGAAAGACGUGGCCAGCGGAAUUCUCUGAAGAUUGCGAAAAAAGUGAAAAAAACUUCACGAGGUGAAAACUCAAACAUCAGAGGUGAAUUUGGAGAUUAUAAAAUUGUCAAACACGCCAAAGGUGGGGACAGACAGAUCCAAUUUUUUUUUCUGAUCGAUUUUGAUUUAUGGAACGUUGAAAUCGGAGAUAUUAUGCGAAAGUUAUGGCUGUUUUACGAACGGACUCCAAAUUAGAGGACAAAACGGUCCGAAAGUGGGAAAAAUUUACAGCGGUUGCUAGAAAUUGAUGGAAACGGUAGGAAAAACACACGAACUGGACUCUAACAAGACCUAACCAGCAAUAAGACCUCGACCAGGACACAAACUCAACACCGUGGACUCUGAAACUGAAAUAUGCACAGGCUAUGGCGCGGAAGGAUUGUAGGACAGGAAAACGAUAUGGCACUAGACAUAUGGGACGAACACAAGAACAAUCGAAACUAAGGAUAGAUGUGAACCUAAUGGUAUACCUGAAGUUUUGAUUACCACUUGAUGAGAAAAAGGGUGGCCCAAUCUUCUGAAAGGUUCUGGUAACUCUCGAUUUGGUGGAGACGAGACACAAAUCGAUCCGGCUUCCGAACAACACGAUCCGAAUCCCUACUUUUUUUAUUUUUUUUGUUAUUUUUGUUUUACUUAGGAGCAUUAAAGAAGAAACCACAAAAAAUUUGAGCUUAAACAAGUGAAAGCCGUUGCUUGCGGAAUUUUCUAAAGAUUGAGAGAAUUGUGAAAAAAAUAUCACGAGGUGAAAACUCAAAGGUCGGAGGCAAAUUUGGAGAUUCUAAAAUUGUCAAACCCGCCAAACGAGGAGACAGAUAGAUCCGAAAUUAUUUUCUGAUCGAUUUUGACAUAUGGAAUGUUGAAAUCUGAGUUCGUGUGUGAAAGUUAUGGCUGUUUUGCAAACGAUCUCCGAAUUAGAGGACAAAACGGUCCGAAAGUGGAAAAAAUUUGUGGCGGUGGCUAGAAAUUGAUGGAAACAGUGGGAAAAUACAAACGAACUAGACUCUAACAAGACCUAACCAGCAACAAAACCUCGACUAGGACACAAACUCAACACUGUGGACUCUGAAACUGAAAUAUGCAAAGGCUAUAGCGCGGAAGGGGUGUAGGAUAGGAAAACGAUAUGGCACUGGACUUAUGAGACGAACACAAGAACACUCGAAACUAGGGGUAGAUUUCAACCUAACCGUAUACCUCAAGCUUUGAUUACCACUUGAUGAGAACAAGGGUGGCCCGAUCUUCCGAAAGGUUCUGGUAACUCUCGAUUUGGUGGAGACGAGACACAAAUCGAUCCGGCUUCCGAACAACACGAUCCAAAACCCUACAAUUUUUUUUAUUUUUUUCAUAUUUUUCUUUUACUUAGGAGCACUAAAAAAGUAACCAUAGAAAAUUUGAGCUUAAACAAGUGAAAGACGUUGCCUGCAGAAUUUUCUGAUGAUUGCGAAAAAUGUGAAAAAAACUUCACGAGGUGAAAACUCAAAGGUCGGAGGCAAAUUUGGAGAUUCUAAAAUUUUCAAACCCGCCAAUGGCUUGGAGAGACAGAUCCAAAGUUUUUUCUGAUCGAUUUUGAUAUAUGGAACAUUGAAAUCGGAGUUCGUAUGCGAAAGCUAUGACUGUUUUACGAACGGACUCUAAAUUAGAGGACAAAAUGGUCCAAAAGUGGGAAAAAAUUGCAGCGGUGGCUAGAAAUUGGUGGAAAUGGUGGAGAAAAACACACGAACUGGACUCUAAUAAGACCUAACCAGCAAUAAGACCUCGACUAGGACACAAACUCAACACUGCGGACUCUGAAACUGAAAUAUGCAAAGGCUAUGGCGCGGAAGGGUUGUAGGACAGGAAAACGAUAUGACACUAGACUUAUGGGACGAACACAAGAACACUCGAAACUAAGGGUAGAUGUGAACUUAACGGUAUACCUGAAGCUUUGAUUACCACUUGAUUCGAACAAGGGUGGCCCAAUCUUCCAAAAGGUUCUGGUAACUCUCGAUUUGGUGGAGACGAGACAUAAAUCGAUGCGGCUUCCAAACAACACAAUCCGAAUCCCCGCUAUUUUUUAUUUUUUUUGAUAUUUUUAUUUUACUUAGGAGCAUUAAAGAAGUAACCACAGAAAAUUUGAGCUUGAACAAGUGAAAUACGUUGCCUACGGAAUUUUCUGAAGAUUGAGAAAAAUGUGAAAAAAACAUCACGAGGUGAAAACUCAAACUUUAGAGGCGAAUUUGGAAAUUAUAAAAUUUUCGAACCCACCAAAGGGGGGACAGACAUAUCCGAAUUUUUUUUCUGAUCGAUUUUGAUAUAUGGAACGUUGAAAUCGGAGUUCGUAUGUGAAAAUUUGCGGCGGUGGCUAGAAAUUGAUGGAAACGGUGGGGAAAAACACACGAACUGGACUCUAACAAGACGUAACCAGCAACAAGACCUUGACUAAGACAUAAACUCAAUUCUGUGGACUCUGAAACUGAAAUAUGCAAAUGCUAUGGCUUGGAAGGGUUGUAGGACAGGAAAAUGAUAUGGCACUGGACUUAUGGGACGAACACAAGAUCACUCGAAACUAGAGGUAUAUGUGAACCAAACGGUAUACCGGAAGCUUUGAUUACCACUUGAUGAGAACAAGGGUGGCCCGAUCUUCCGAAAGGUUCUAGUAACUCUCGAUUUGGUGGAGACGAGACACAAAUCGAUCCGGCUUCCGAACAACACGAUUCGAAACCCUGCAAUUUUUUAUUAUUUUUUUGAUAUUUUUCUUUUACUUAGGAGCACUAAAGAAGUAACCACAGAAAAUUUGAGCUUAAACAAGUGAAAGACGUGGCCUACAAAAUUUUCUGAAGAUUGCAAAAAAUGUGAAAAAACUUUAUGAGGUGAAAACUCAAAAGUCAGAGGCAAAUUUGGAGAUUCUAAAAUUUUCAAACCCGCCAAAGGCAUGGAGAGACAGAUCCGAAGUUUUUUUCUGAUCGAUUUUGAUAUAUCACUACUAACUUCUAACCCUAAUGCAACCAUUUUUUUGGUGCAACAGUGAGAUUUGGUUGCGAAAGGUGGUGUUCUCGCAACCAUUUUCAUUCUUGGUUGCGAUAGAUGGGAUUGUUGCCACCAAAAUUUUGUCGUGGCAAAAAGUAUGAUGGCCGUUGCAAUAAGUGGUUGUUGUCGCAACCAAAUAUAGAAUGGUUGCAAUACUUUGUGACUAUUGCCAUGAUUGGAUUAGCGUUGCAUAGAGUUAUUUUGGCGUUGCAAUACUAAGAUAAUAUUGCAACGUUUUUAUUUGGGUGGUUGCAACAAGUGGCUACUAUUGCAACGCUACGAAUGGUGUUGCAGGGAGUUCUUUUAGUGUUGCAAUACUAAAACGAUAUUGCAACGGUUGUAUUUGGUGGUUGCAAGAAUUGGCUUUUAUUGCCAUGAUAUGUUUUGCGUUGCAAUGAUUCCUUGCGGCAUUGCAAUAGUAAAAUAAUAUUGCAACGCUUUUUAGUUGAUGGUUGCAAUAGUAUACAUAUGUUGCAACAAAUUUAUUUCGUUGUAUGUAAUACUACCUUGCGUUGCAAAAAAUAUAUAUUGCAACUAAAAAUUGUAGUGCUGCAAUACCUAUUAUUUGACAAAAAGACAAAAAAUGAAAAAAAUACUGAGCCUACACAAAUUAAACCUGAGACCUUUUGAUUUAACUAGAUUACAAUAACCAGUUGAACCUCAAUGUGUUUGUGUCUUUACCUUAUAGAAAACACUAUAUUAACGAACGUAAAUAUAUAUAUUAUAAAUAAAGAGAUCUAAAAUUAAUUAACUCUUCAUGUUGUAGUAGACGUCGGACUCCUAUACGGGCGCGCGUGCCCUGACGCGAGCCGCCCUUCAUCCUUGCCCUGGCCGCGCCACGCCGCCACGCAGAGCUCCGUCGACGUCCCUCUCGCAGAAGAGAUCGCAGGUCAGCAAUACAGGUAUGCCGCCCUAACUCGAUCUCGAUCGGCCACCCUGCAGUAGCGAAAGCCGGCGCAAUGCCCUAACGACUCUUGAUCCGUCCCCUGCCCUUCCUUGCAGCUAGUGUCGAGGAACAGCAGGCCUUCCGUCCGUGGACGUCCUUCCAUGCAGCUAGCAUCGAGAAACUGAGGGCAGCAACCAUCACCAACAAUCACAGAGUAUCAGCAAGUAUGUGUAUGCAUGCACGCAUUGUAUAUAAAUAUAUAUAUUAUAUUAUAUAUAUAUUGUAGUAAAAUAAAAUUGGUCGUAACUUUCUGUGUUAAUUUUUACAUAAAUUAAUUAGCCUGAUCCCAUUAAUAAACAUGUUACAGGAAAAUCAAUCUCGAUAUAUUUGGAAUAUUGAAUCAAUGGCACGUGAUGAUGAUUGCCAAUGGAUGUUGUUGUCUCCGUCAACCGCUGAGUGCCAAGAUGGUCUCGAGAAAUUUAUUAGUACUAUUUUUGAAGGUAGCUAUGCAUCUGAAACUGCACCGUGUCCAUGUUCAAGGUGUCGUAACGUCGUGUACAAGACAAAAAAAGAGGUUCAGAUGGACUUGCUAACUAAAGGGUUUGAUGAGAACUUUGUCAAAGAGAAAGCUAAAGCUGAACCUUGCAAUGAUGAUAGGGAUCUAGCAGUCACAAGAGAUGAUGCAUCAUGUGCCAGCAAUCUGGUGUUCGCGUUAAUUAGGGGUGCAAACAAUGGUAAUGAUGAAGAGCCAAAUGAGAGUGCAAAGAAAUUCUUUGAAUUGUUGAAAGAAGCACAACAAGAGCUGUAUCCAGGUUGCUCCAAUCUUAGCAAGGUUUCAUUCAUGGUUAGGCUCUUUCAACUUAAGUGCAUGGGUGGAUGGAGUAAUGAGAACGCAGAGCAAACACUUAAGUUGUUCUCGGAUGCACUACCCCCGGGACAUUGUCUCCCUAACACUAUCAAGAAAGCACAAAAGAUUAUUCGCGACCUUGGCCUCACAUAUGUUAACAUUGAUGCUUCUGUGAAUGAUUGUGUGUUAUUUCGUGGACCAUUUGCCGAUAAGGACACAUGUCCCAUAUGUCAUGAGAGUAGGUGGAUGAAGGAUGACACUAGCGAGUCUAGUGAAAGUGGUGGACCGAAGCGCAGCUCCUUGCAAAAUUCUAAGGUAUUUUCCACUUGUUCCUAGAUUGCAAAGAUUAUAUAUGUCAUAGGAAACAUCAUCAUUGAUGCGGUGGCACAAGGAAGAAUUGAUCAGUGAUGGGAAAAUGUGGCACCCAGCAGACUCGCCAGCAUGGAAGCACGUCGAUCAAAGGUAUAAGAAAUUUGCUUCGGAUCCACGUAAUGUUAGGCUAGGACUUGCAUCGGAUGGCUUCAAUCCGUUUGGUAUGUUGAAUGUUAAUUACUCUUGUUGGCCUGUGAUAUUGAUUCCUUAUAACCUGCCUCCUUAGUUGUGUUUAAAACAACCUUAUUGGAUGAUGUCCAUGUUGAUACCUGGGCCUAAAUCUCCUAGAGUGAACAUUGAUGUAUAUUUGAACCUCUAAUUGAUGAGCUACAUGACCUGUGGGUUAAGGAGUUGAGACAUGGGAUGAGAAGGAGAAGAAGAACUUUACUCUACAUGCAAUUCUGUUGUGGACAAUUAAUGAUUUUCAUGCAUAUGCAAUGUUAUCUCGUUGGAGCACAAAAGGUAAAUUUUCAUGCCCUUAUUAUCAUAGGAAUACUAAUUACUUGUGGUUAAAAUAUGGAUCAAAGCAUUGCUACAUGGACAUCGCCGAUUUCUACCAAAGAACCACAAGUGGCGAAGAAAUAAGGUGAGCUUCAAUAAUAAGGCUGAAACCAGGGAAGCUCCUGUGCCGCUCACUGGUGAGCAAGUCCUGCGCGAGUUUGAGAGUUUCGAGCAAGUGAAAUUUGGGAAGGAUACAAGGAAAAGGAAGCAAUGUGAGGAAGAAAAUAGGUGGCACAACUGGAGGAAAAAGAGUAUUUUCUUUCAGCUUCCUUACUGGCAAUCAUUAAUUGCCAUUACUUGUACGACAUAAUUUGGAUGUCAUUCAUACUCAGAAGAACAUUUGUGAGAGCAUACUCGGGACUUUGUUGGAAUCACAAGGUAAAGAUAAGGACGGUGAGAAGGCCCGACUUGAUAUGCAACAUUUGAGUAUUAGGCAAGAUCAGCAUCUAGUGCUCGAAAAGGGUAAGUACACUUUGCCACCAGCAUUAUACUCACUAAGUAAGGAUGACAAGGAAAAUUUGUGCAAAUUUUUAUAUGUAGUGAAGUUCCCUGAUGGUUAUGCUGCAAAUAUUAGAAGAUGUGUAGACGUCAGUGGUUGUAAGCUUUCUGGACUUAAAACUCAUGACCUCCACAUCAUCUUGCAAAAACUGUUGCCCUUAGUGGUGCGCAACAUAUUGUCUGAAGAUGUGGUGAUCCCAUUGAUUGAGCUAAGUAGGUUCUUUAACUCAAUAUGUUGAACACAGUUGGAGCGUACAGAAAUUGAAAAACUAAGCACUUCAAUUAGGGAAACUCUUUGUCGGCUCGAGAUGAUUUUCCACCCACUUUUUUUUGAUUUUAUGAUGCACUUACCAGUUCAUCUUGCUGAUGAAGCUACACUUGGAGGCCCGGUUUGUUAUAGAUGGAUGUAUCCAGUUUAGAGGUACCUCCGUACUCUUAAAGGCUUUGUGAGGAACAAAGCGUACCCUGAAGGUUCGAUUGCAGAGGGGUAUAUAUCCGAAGAGUGCAUCACAUUUUGCUCUCUCUUCUUUGAUAAUAUUAGUACCAAGCUAAAUCGUCUAGAACGACAUGAAAGCGCCGCUGGUAGUGAACCACCAUCUAGGCUAAGUAUAUUUGGAAACAUUGACUACAGUAGAAAAGGAUGUACUAUAGAGGUCGUUUCUGAUAUUGACAUGCACAGGAUGAGGCAUUACUUAUUAACAAACUGUGAUGAGGUCACUCCAUGGAUAAAGUAAGCUAAAUUUGUUUAUAUAUAUUUUCAUAUUUUUUUGUUUCAUAUGUACAGUAAGCUAUAAAAUUUGUUUAUAUAUAUUUUCAUAUUUAUUUGUUUCAUAUGUACAGUAAGCUAUAAAAUUUGGUUAUAUAUAUUUUCAUAUUUAUUUAACGUAUUUUCAUUUUUUGUGGAAAGUGAGCAUAUGGAUGAGCUGAAAAAUCAAACACUCGACAGGUUGAUAAAAGACACAAACAGGAGUUUGUAUCAUGGUUUGAGCGUAAAGUGAGUCGGCCUUAUAUAUAUUAAAUUUGUUAUCCUUAUUUUGUCUAUAUAAUUUAUCCCUUAUAUUUUUUUAAAAAAAUUGAUAACUGCAGACCAUCACAUUGCGUGCACAAGGGAAAAUUGAUGACAUGAUUUAUUAUCUAUCUCGCGGUCCGGACCGUCAGGCUCGUGUGUUCAGCAGGUGCUUCAUCAAUGGCUUCCUAUUUCGGGUUUCUUCCGUAGAGAACUGCUUAACUAAUCAAAAUAGUGGUGUAUUUGUGAAAGGUGAUUGAAGUACAGGUGACAUGGGCUGGUAUGGCGUGCUUAAGAAAAUCAUCUGCCUUGAUUUUCCUGGUCAAAAGUAAGUAAUGUUGUUCCAGUGCGUUUGGUUUGAUAUCCCUACAGCAAGUACAAGCAGAUCGAGAGGGUACCAUCACGAUCGAUAUGGGGUCAUAGAUAUUAAUACCACUAGGUUCAGGUAUAAAGAUGAACCCUUAUACCUUGAGCAUACAGGCCGAGCAAGUCUUCUAUGCAAAAUACCCAGAUAAACCAGAUUGGUGUAGUGUCCUCAGAGUGCAGCCUAGAAACUUGUUUUCCAUGCCUGAAGGCGAAGGUAGUGACAACAUGGAGCUUGAUCUGGACUCAGUUGAUGUAGGUGUGGGAGAUAUGAAUGUUCAACGGCAAAUUGGAGAUGUCAUGACUUGGAGUAGGUCUGGCCUUGAUGGGGUUACUGUUCAAGCUUCUAUUAUUGAGCAUGCUCUUGCAACAGCAAUGCCUGAACCUGAACAUGAUUUCCUUGAUGAAGACGAAGACCCAUAUGACAUAUAAAUGAUGGAGUCAUCCCUCCUUUCAGUGUUUUGAGAGAUGAUUCACAUGAUGAUAUUUUUUGAUAAAUGAUUUAGCUUUUUCUAUUUCUUUGAUCCCUAUGUGGAUGCUUUCAGUGUUUUGAGAGAAAUUUAUAUUUCAGUAGACGCGAACUAUCAUUUUUUAAUUAAGCACUAUUAUUUUUGAAUUAAACACUAAAAUUUUUUACGGAGUCGUCCCUUUCAGUGUUUCUUUUAUUAUGCACAGUUCAUACAUAUUAACAAAUAUUUUUUUUGAACUAUUGGGCCACACCCCUGUCUUUUAACACAACUGCAAACAAGAGUAUGCCAACAGUAAAGUCUAAACCUCACAAAAACUAACAUCCAAAACUUUGAGCAAGUCAGACACAUAGGCAACACACAAAGCAAAGAAAUAUUAGGUCCAAGCAACUCAUUUCCCUUAUAUAUAUUAGGUCCAAGCAAGUCACAGACAACUCAGUUGCCAAACACUACAACAUUAGGUUUUGAAAACUAAUAACUUAAAACGACAUAGUUCUACUGAUUCCCAUCAGACAAGUCUUUUCCCUUCCUAACAUUUAUUUAUUUACAUCAAAAGAUAAGUACCACAUCAGCAGCACGCACUUUACUACUUCGGCUUGUACAUCUUGCUGAUCUGAGCGUACAACUUGUCAAACCUCUUUUCAGCUGAACGCCUAGUGUCCUUUAGAAACUGCUCGGCAUGGUAAUCCAUGGUGCCAAGGACAUCAGCUUUAGCCAGCUCAAUUCUCCAUUUCAGCUUGUCCAUGGGUUUCUCAUCACUGUCAUCACCAAAGGAACAGGUGGUGGAGUAGUCGUCACCACUGCCAUCCUCAUAAGGAUCAUAAAUGGGAGUAGUCGUCACCGUCACCUUCGAGAGACGAGGCCCUCCUUUGGCACGCUUGGUAGUGGACUUUGGCACCUUCUUGUUGGCAGUACAGGAUGCAGCAGCUUUGCCACGCUUGACAGCGGACACCGGGACCUUCUUCAAAUUGGUGUUAGAUGCCCUUUUGGUCCCCGACGCUGCUCCUAUGGUGUCUUUGCCACUGAUCUGCAAGAUACAUGUAAACAAGGUCAAAUAUUACUAAACAAUCCAAAGGAUUGCAUAAUAAAAUGGCUGACAGGGAUUCUAGAACAAUAUCUUAUCAAGAUAAUAAAAUGCCUGAAAUAAAAUUAUUUAACAAAAUAUACUAAAUGACAAAGCUAAAUCAUCCACUCCCAGAACAACUCAUGUUGGAUCAUUUACUACACAAUAAGACAGUGCAAAAAGACAUACAUACAUGCAUGUACGCCUUGUGACACUAUCUCCCAGGCGCUCUAAGCAUUCUAAUUGCUUAGCAAUCAAACAAGUCAGGAUGAGAUGCACAAUUUAGAAACUGAAAAUACACAAAAUUAAAUGCACUGGAGCAAUACAUGGAUGACCAAUAAAAUUAUCGAACUAUUUUCAUGCUACUGGACCAGUGACCUUAUGUCAUGAGUUUGGACAACAAAUGGUUCCCACAGAAUUAGGCAGAUAAGAGAAGUACAAUACAUAAUGUUAUGCCUCAGAUUUGGACAAAUAAAGUCAACAGCUGAUUGAACUGUUGAAUGUCAGUCAGCUCUCCUCUGUUCUCAUGUACAGCAUUCUAAUUUAGUCAUUCUAAUUGGGUGCUUGCAAGCCAUACUAAUUUUAGAGUUCUAUAAUCAUGUUUCCUUUCAAUCACAAAUAUAGUUCAAAGUUCUAUAUUCUAUGACCUGAAACUCUGAACAUAGCUAAUUUCAAAUAACUCUGAACUACUAUAAUUUAAUUUAAGCUAUCAACUCUAGCUAGACCGAACAAAUAAAAUUUAAUUUUCACAAACCGAAUGCUGAUCCUAGGACCUUCAAAACUGAAUUACUUGAAACCCUAAAUCCUGCAGAGGAAUUACUUAAAACCCUGGAAGGUAACAUCUGCACUAACUGGCCCUAAAUCCCCAUUGCAACACUACUGGCCCUAAAUCCCCAUUACAACCCUAAAUCCCCAUUGCACUAAGUCAGACCCAAUUGCAACAGUACUGGCCCUAGUCACCAUUGCAACCCUAAAUCCCGAAUGCCAAAUCUUACCUUGGUCGCCAGGCUUACCUUUGUCGCUGGUGUCACCAGGGUCAGUUUGGCCGCCGGGGUCAUCUUUGUCGCCAGCUUGACGUUGGAGUCUGGGUCGGACCCGCAGUCCGAUUCGGAGUCAGAGUCGGAGAAUAUCUCGAUGUAGACCGGCUCGGGGGCGAACUGACCGCAUGCAUUGCGCCUUUGGGUCCGAGCGUUGUGGCCACGCUUGUCGCUUCCCAUCUUCGCCGCCGAUGGAGACGCCGCCGAGGGAGACGCUAUCACCGCCUCGCUGCAGCCGCCCGUGGGUGGGGAAUGACGAAUGGGUAAUGGCACGCACGGGUGGGGGGAAGGGGAACGGCACCAUGGCCUGUUUUCUCUCCGCGAAAUCGAGUUGGGCCGUUGGUCGGCCCGUUAACCUGAGUUAGCCGCAACAAGGCAAGUGAGGUGGCCUCAUUGUUUUUAGUACCACCUCGCCAACUGAAGUUGUGGUAGCGUUGCUUAAAAGCGUAGAUGCCUAAGGUGGUUCGAACUCCUUGAUACGAAUACCGUGCUGACCUGUGUGCCCUUGUCUUAGGCCUGCUGGGCUUCAUUGGCUCGCUGGGCUCCCGUUUCGGUUUGAGCCCGUUGGGUUCCCUUGCGGUUGAGCCUGGCGAGCCUACUUGCCCUGCAGGCCUACAAACUUUUUGUUUUUAAAAUUUAAAAAUUAUUUUUCUUACCCUUUAUUAAACCAUUUUGUUUUACCAUAAAUUGUUUUUCUAACCCUUUCUUCAACAAUUUUAGAUUUUUUUCGAAAAUGUUUAUCUAAAUUAUUUAUUGCCAACCUUUUUAAAUUGUAGUGGGUGCCAUGUCAAGACCAACUUGGCAACCAAUCUCGUUCGAGAGUUUCAUCGUGUCCAACUAUGUUUUUCUAACACUUAAUUCAACAAUUUUAGUUUCUUUACUAAAUUGUUUGUCUAAAUUAUUUAGUGCCAACACUUUUAAUUCUAGUGAGUGCCAUGUCAUGAUCAACAACUACUAUGAGUGCCAUGUCAUGUCGUUACUGCUCGUCCACCUUCCGUCUCGCUUCCAUCUAGUAACUACUAUGUGUCAUAUUGUGUCGAUAUGCCACAUAGUGUCAUGUCGUUACUUGCGGAGCUUAGGCAUGGCCAUAAUGUGUCAUGGCCCCCUGCUAAAGCAAUAUCUCCAUUGAGUGAAUACUGAUUUUGGUACUGUUUAUAAGUUUAGUUGCUUAAUGAACACUGGCUGCCCCCCUGAAUUCUUCAUUAAGCUCCGCCACUAUAUAUCAUGACCAACAAAACUAACACUAUGCUAUAUAUCUUCCAUCAAGCGUGUUAUGUAUUCACCAAAAACUUGAUUUGUACUCUACUAUCAACUGCCAUGUACAAAUUUCUUCUGAGUGGUCAAAAGAAGUUAAUUAGUACCUUGAUAUAUCAAGUGUCAUGUCAUAUGCCAUCCAAUGCAAUGUAGCGAUGUAGCAAAAGACACAUCGAGUGUCCCAUCAUGAUAAAUAACCUUUCAUGGUGGCAUACCAAGGACGACACAUCAUAUGUAAGUCAUAAACCAUGAGUUCCCGAUGAUCAACAACAACUUCAUAUGCAAGUCGUAAACCAUGAAUUAUUAAUAUUUUGUGACUUGCGUGAAUCAAGAUCAUGAUAUUUUAAUAUUUUUUCACGUUAUAUACCUUCGUACUUAUUUGUAAAAUUAAUUUUCAAGAUAAUAAUUAUUUUUUGAGUUUCCUCAAAAAAGUGCGCCAAAUUUCCCACUUUCCUAAUCAAACCUUGACCAAAUCUAUUCCCAAACCCCCGUAACCCCCGUCCCCCACGCCCUCCUGGUCCUAAUCUAAUUUUCCUCCACGACGCCGCCAGUCAGCGGUUCUUACUUCUUCCUCCGUUGCUGUGAGGGGCAUGGCGCCCCAGCGGCCAUAUAGGACACCGCUGACGCCUCCGAGGUCCAUGACGACCACGACACCGGUGACACCACCAGGCAGGAUGUUGAUUUCUCAGCCUCCAAGCAACGACAACGACACCACCACCAUGGGUGCCCAUCGGUACACAGAAGCCACCCUCGAAAUCGAAGACGAUGAAGGUUUCACAACUCCAUAUAAGCCCAGGUACUAGUUGUAAUUAGGGUUUCAAAGCAUAUGUGUUAAUUAGGGUUUGCAGUUUAUACUGACUUAUAUAAGUUAAUUUGGAUUCGCAAUUUACUGACUGUAUUUAGGGUGUAGUUUCUUACUGAUUGUUUAUGUUGUAGAAUAAUUCUGUGCAAAAUUAUAGGUACUACUUUUAGGUAUAUUUUCUUACUGAUUGUAGUUUCUUAAAUUUUUCCUUAAAUUUCUUACUGAAUGUAGUUCAAUUGAGUGCAAAUUUAGGUGUUGUUUCUUACUGAUUGUUUUCAUUGUAGAAUAAUUGCUUAAGUUUCUUUUUAAUUGUAGUUUUCUAGAAUAAUUGAGUGUAAAUUUAUGUGAAGUUUCUAAGUAGUUCUUUAUGUUCUAGAAUAAAUUGUAAGUUCACAUUCUCGUUACAAUGGCUUACAGUGACUUUAUUUAUUGAAAAUUAACUAACAGUGGCAUAGUGUUAGUUAAUGAAUCUCCUUAUUUAAUACUUCUUUAUUUGUCUACACUUGUACUAUGAAUACAGUGACUUGUUUAUUUGUCAAACUUUAUCCUCUAAAUCUCCUUUUGUAAUAAUUGUUUAUUUAUCAACCAUCAUUCUAUGGGUACAGUGGUAAAGGUGAACUCUAGACUCUAUAUGUUCAUUGCAAGAAUGGACUUCCAAACCAGGAGUAUGUCAUGUUCAGAAUUCAAAAGAGUGAUCUAAGAUUCAAAACAUUGUCAUCUCUUAAGGACCAGCUUGGGUACGCUGUCCGGGAUUUUUUAUACUACAAGAAGCGUUGUGGAAGAGAUGUAGCUACUCUUGAGCCCAUAGAUUAUAUCAAACAUGCAAAGAUUAUGAUACAAGAAAAUGAAAUGGAGAAGGAAAUCAGAUUAGUACUCAGAACCAGUUAGCAUAACACCAAUGAAGCGACCAAGGCAACACACCGAAGAAGAAGAUGAUGAUGACCAUCCGUUUAUGGAUGAUGAACUUAAUGCAUACAAGGUCUGGCUAGAAAACCUACCACUAGAGAGAAAGAAAGGUAUACUGUACUAUAUUUUUUUUUGUUUGUAUUGUUACUGUUCAUAAUUUACACCCUUAUAUAAACUACACUAUAUCUAACAUAUUUUGGUGACUAACAGAUUUGAAGGAUACUACCAAUAGGACAGAAACAACUGACACGUAUAGGGAAUUUUUAAAGAUGAAAGGGGAUUUGCCAGAAAUAAGUAAUUAAAUAUCCUUUUUAUAGCACUAUAUAUUUCACUUCUAUGUUUUUAAUAACUAAAGCUUUUAACCUUGUCCAGUGGCAUAUCUUGAGCAACCUAAAAUGGAUGGCAUCAUAAAUGAUGAAGAUGAAAGUAAUGGAAGCAGCUUGACACCACCCUCAAAUAGGCCAAGUCAUGCAAGGAGGCCAAGGGGACAGGAAAAUGGUUUGUGAUGAUACAUAUACUUUUAAUAUUGUGUUUACUUUCUUCAAUUGAGAGCUAAGACAGUUGGAGUUUAUUGUUGCCUUUUUUUGCAAGGAGGUGGCCCCAAUCAACCUAAGAAAAAAGGUUGUGGUACAGUCAAAGGAAAAACAGUAAUCAGUAGGAGAGUUAAGGAACGCACACAAAAACUCUCAAUUGAAUUUUCAGCAACCCGUGGAGGUCCAAUUGGACCGAACGCCCGUGCAUUUGUGGAUGAAAUCAUGCUGUUUACAAGGAAAUGGGCACCGCUGAUUGGAGUAAAUAGUUGGUAGGGUAUAAAGGAGGAAGUCAAAGAGCAAAUUGCUGAAGAGAUGCUGGUAUGCUUCGUACAACGUUUUUUGUACUUGUGUCUUAUAUUAAUUUUGUUAAACAUUUGAUUGCUUUUAAAUUAUAAGCAGCUUACGUGGAACUUCACCAACAUUAGCACUUUGGAAAAAAAAAGAUGAAGAUAUGGGGCAUUGUUAGGGAGCGGUACAAAGGAUGGCGAGCAGCUCUGAGUGCCACAUACAGGGCUUACAAUACCUAUGCUGAGAGAAUAAUGAAUAAACCUGAAGAAAUAGACAUUGUUGAGUGGCACUAUCUGCUAUUGUAUUUUUUAUCUGAUGAAUUCAAGGUCAGUUCAAGUAAAAUGUACUUUCUCAAACAAGCUUUGUGAACCAAUGUUGCAUUCUCACAUAUGCCACUUGUACUCAUUUUGCAGAAGACUAGCAGCCAGAACUCCUCCAACCGUAAGCAACAAAGAACCACACAUCUGAUGGGUUCAAAAAACUUCUCUCAGUGUAGCUACGAGCAGGUAUCCAUAUGGUUCACUAGUCUGGUCUUUCCAUUUUAUUAUGCAACACUAUUUUUCAAAUAUGUAUUGGCAUUCUAGAGAAACGAAGAAACUGGUGAAGAGCCAAACGAUCUUCUUCUUUGGAGGAGCACUCACACAAAACAUGCCAAAUGGUCAAAUUCUAUAUCAGCUGCAGUAUAUGUGAGUAAAUCUUUCCAAAAGCCUUUUUAUAUAAGUGCUGUUUCUAUCAAGCAACUUGUAACAAACUUUGUUCUUUUACUUAGGAAAAUGCAGCCAUGAAAAUUGGUGAGAUUGCUUUACAACCUGAUGCACAAUCACUUUCAUCUGCUGAGGAGAACAUGAUUUUCCAAUCAUGCUACAAAGAAACCAAACAAAUCAAAUCAUCCAAAUUACAUGGGCGUGGAUAUUUGGCUAAGUAUCGAACUCGCAGAGAACAUAUGGAAGAGAAUCUUGAAGUACAUUCACGUGUUAAAGCUGCAGCUAGAGAAGAGCAUUGCUUUUCAAGCAGAGGUUGAGAAGCUAAAAGAACAGAUUGCAAACGAAGCUAUAGAAAGGGAGAGGGAGAUAGAAGAAGAUAGAAGGAAGAUGCAACAGGAACCUGAAGAGGCUAAGAUAAAAAUAAGAUAAGAAAUGAAGCAAUACAUGGUUAAUAUGUUAGCACAUCACAAGGAAGCAAAUAUGAAUAUGGUAAAUUUUCAAAAAAAAAAUCCUUCUUCCUCAUAACAAACUUAUGAUUAUGAUGGUGACUAGUCUUUUACCUCAAUAUUUGUUGUGUAGAGUACCCCUCAAAACAUUGACACUAUACAAGUUGCACCAGCCAUACAAGGCGACGAUGAGACUGCUGAACAUGAUCAAGAAAAUGAGUUACAGCAGGUAAUGACACUGUUGCACUAAUUUUCAUGUGAUCUUGAGUACCAUGAACUGUAGCUAAAAAUAUUUUAUUGUUUGUAAACUCAGCCUCAAAGUGUUGUGACUGUACAAAAAGAUGCAGCUACUCCUUCUAAUAGAAGUACUAGUCUUGUGAGCAAAAACCUUUUCGACGAAAACUCUACAAAUGUGGCACCAUCGAAGACAUAUAUCACACAGCAACAGCUCAUGAAUAGAACAAGAAGUAACAAAAAGAGGAAGGUAAUUAGAAUCUAAAUUUUGAUCAUUUUUACUUGCUGCCACUACAUUUUAUAUUUAUGUGAGCUUGAAUGGCUGUUGUGAGCUUGAAUGGUUGCUGUGAGCUUUCAAUUUCUUUUGUGAUGUGAGCUUGCAUGUAUAACUAGAAGCAAGUUUGAUAUUCCCCUAGGCCAUUAAUUAAUGGAUCAAGGUGAGAUGCUUUUGAUGUAUUCCCCUAUUUUUGGAAGAGUUUUAGGGCACUGAUAUAGCAUUUUUCGUUGGAUUUGUUGGGGCAAUAGAGUUUGAUCUUGUGUGUCAUCCCUGCUAGGUGACAGUUUUGGCAGUUUCUGUUUCUCUUUGAAUAUGGAUGUGUUACAUCCUGAAUUAAAUUUACCACAUGUUGAAGUAUUUGUAGAAGACUUAGAAUUUUAUCUAGGAAGGUCGAGAUCAUAAUUUUUGGCCUUGUGGUUUAAGAGACAUUGUAGUUCAAAGUUGGCUGUCUUGUUCUGACUAGUUUCUGAACAGUUUUAGAUGUAAUCUGUUUUUGGCUAUCUUAAUGGAUGAAUUUGAAACUAUGAUCUAAACAAAAGUUGUAGGGUUUUUAUCAAGCUUUCCAUAUUGGUACAGAUCACAAUUUUUGGAUUCCUAGAACUACACAUAUGAAAUUUAAAGUGGACUGUCAGAUUUGUGUUGUCAGAUUCAACACUUAGGGUUCCCACUAUGGUUAAUGGAUCUUAUUGAUCUUUUACUGCAUAGAGCUAUAUAACUAAAGUUAUGAAUAAGAAAAUUGUGCAUUCUCUGGUGAAGUUUCAUAAUUUUUGGAUGAGUGGUUUAGUAGAUAAUCAAGGUGUCACCAUUGACUAUCAAACCUCAAGACAGAUUUCAUAGUCUUGACUGAGCUGAAUAUUAGGAUAGUUUCCUAAGCAAAUAAAAAUGUUUUGACUAGUGAAAGUUGUUCACCUUUCUCUUUAAAUUCUGAAAGUUUUUUUACUUACUAGCAUUACUUUUGUAGAUUAAAAGAUAUAAAAAAGAUAAGUAUGGUUUCUCUUGUAGGAUGAUUGUGGUGUUGCUGAUUUUGUGAAGUUUGAUGUUCAGUUUUGGAUGUCAGAAAUUAAAAGAUAUGAUUUAGAAUUUGAAUGCUUCACUGAUCUUAUUUAAGUUUUCCUAAUAUCAUAUUCUUACUGUUUUUGCAGUGACUGCAGAAGGAUUCAGUGGGAGGCGAGGCGAUGAAAUGUUGGGCUGAUUGUGAUGUACUGAAGGCUACAUAGAUGUUUUUGGAAGUGUCGUCUAGUUACAAAGUUUCUUUAAAUUGUCCAAAUAUCAGUGAACUACAUUUAUGGUUUUACUUACUAUUUGAAUUGUUUGUCAGAAUAUUGAAUUGGAUGUUUCAUUGAAGUUAACAUAUGCGAGUGCAAACUUUUUUAUUAUGGUCUCUUGAUAUUGCAACAGAAAGCAUAGUCACUACUAGCAUUGUAAUAAACACUAUUACCACGGCAUUGCUAUCGUUGCAAAAAAAACAUUUACAUAUUGCCACGGCAUUGCUAACGUUGCAAAAACAUUUAAACUACCACAACGAUAAAAUUGCGUUGCAACAAUGGUUGUAGCAAUAGCGAAUGGUCUGUUGCAACGGUGAACAAUUCGAUGCAAAAAUACUAUUGCCAUGAAAAAAACAACCGUAGCAAUAACAUAUCAUAUCUUGCAACCAAUAAAAAUCGUGGCAAGAGGUAAUAUUGCAACGCCAGAGUUUUCAUGGCAAUAAUGCAAACGUUCUCGCAACGAGUGCAAUGUUGUGGCAAUAAACUAUUUGGCAACCAAAUUUUAUCAUGGCAAUAAAUGAUAUUGCAACGCAUCAAUUAAACUCUUGCAACAAAGCCUAGUGUUGCAAGUGUUCCUAUUGCAACGUGUCAAACGACCUCUUGCAACGAAGUCUAGCAUUGCGAGUGCUCAUAUUGCAACGCAUCAAUUCAGCUUUUGCAAUGAAUCCUAGUGUUGCAAGUGUUCCUAUUGCAACGUGUCAAAUGACCUCUUGCAACGAAGUCUAUCGUAGCGAGUGCUCAUAUUGCAACGCAUCAAUUCAGCUUUUGCAAUGAAUCUUAGUGUUGCAAGUGCUCGUAUUGCAACGCAUCAAUCAAACUCUUGCAACGUAACCUAGUGUUGCAAAUGCUCAUAUUGCAACUCCAUGGGCGUUGCGACAACAUUCAAUUGCAACGCUUCGCAACGAACCACUACGGUUGCAAUACACAUUAGCACUGACAACGCCAAACUAAAAACGGUUGCAGUAACUUAUUGCAACCAUUGGCAAUGCCAGUGUUUUGGUGGCAAUUGCUACAUAUUGCAACCAAAUAGGGCCUAUUGCAACGCUUUUGCAGAGUUGUGAUAGACAUAGAAGUUAGUAGUGUAUGGAACGUUGAAAUCAGAGUUCGUAUGCGAAUGUUAUGCCUGUUUUACAAACGGACUCCAAAUUAGAGGACAAAACGGUUCGAAAGUGGAAAAAAUUUGCGGCGGUGGCUAGAAAUUUAUGGAAACGGUGGGGAAAAACACACGAACUGGACUCUAACAAGAGCCAACCAGCAAUAAGACCUCGACCAGGACACAAACUCAACACUGUGGACUCUGAAACUAAAAUAUGCAAAGGCUAUGGCGCGGAAGGGUUGUAGGACAGGAAAACGAUAUGGCACUAGACUUAUGGGACGAACACAAGAACACUCGAAACUAAGGGUAGAUGUGAACCUAACGAUAUACCUGAAGCUUUGAUUACCACUUGAUGAGAACAAGGGUGGCCUGAUCUUCCGAAAGGUUGUGGUAACUCUCGAUUUGGUGGAGACAAGACACAAAUCGAUCCGGCUUCCGAACAACAUGAUCCAAAACCUUGCAAUUUUUUAUUUUUUUGAUAUUUUUCAUUUACUUAGGAGCACUAAAGAAGUAACCACAGAAAAUUUGAGCUUAAACAAGUAAAAGACGUGGCCUGUGGAAUUUUCUAAAGAUUGAGAAAAAUGUGAAAAAAAACUUCACGAGGUGAAAACUCAAAGGUCGGAGGCAAAUUUGGAGAUUCCAAAAUUUUCAAACUCGCCAAAGGCAUGGAGAGACAGAUCCAAAGCUUUUUUCUAAUCGAUUUUGAUAUAUGGAACGUUGAAAUCGAAGUUCGUAUGUGAAAGUUAUGGCUGUUUUACGAACGAACUCCAAAUUAGCGGACAAAACGGUCCGAAAGUGGGAAAAAUUUGCGUCAAUGGCUAGAAAUUGAUGGAAACGGUGGGGAAAACACAUGAACUGGACUCUAACAAGACCUAACCAGCAAUAAGACCUCGACCAGGACACAGACUCAACACUGUGGACUCUGAAACUGAAAUAUGCCAAGGCUGUGGCGCGGAAGGGUUGUAGGAUAGGAAAACGAUAUGGCACUCGACUUGUGGGACGAACACAAGAACAUUCAAAACUAAGGGUAGAUGUGAACCUAAUGGUAUACCUGAAGCUUUGAUUACCACUUGAUGAGAAAAAGGGAGGCCCAAACUUCUGAAAGGUUCUGGUAACUCUCGAUUUGGUGGAGACGAGACACAAAUCGAUUCAGCUUCUGAACAACACGAUACGAAACCCUUCAAUUUUUUUAUUUUUUUGAUAUUUUUAUUUUACUUCAGAGCACUAAAGAAGUAAGCAUACCAAAAUUGAGCUUAAACAAGUGAAAGACGUGGCCUGCGGAAUUUUCUAAAUAUUGCAAAAAAUGUGAAAAAAAACUUCACGAGUUGAAAACUCAAAGGUCGGAGGCAAAUUUGGAGAUUCUAAAAUUUUCAAACCCACAAAAGGCAUGGAGAGACAGAUCUAAAGUUUUUUUCUGAUCGAUUUUGCUAUAUGGAACGUUGAAAUCGGAGUUCGUAUGCGAAAGUUAUGGCUAUUUUACGAACGGACUCUAAAUUAGUGGACAAAACGGUCUGAAAGUGGGAAACAUUUGCGGCGGUGGCUAGAAAUUGAUGGAAACGGUGGGGAAAAACGCACGAACUGGACUCUAACAAGACCCAACCAGUAAUAAGACCUCGACCAGGACACAAACUCAGCACUGUGGACUCUGAAACUGAAAUAUGCAAAGGCUAUGGCGCGGAAGGGUUGUAGGACAGGAAAACGAUAUGGCACUAGACUUAUGGGACGAACACAAGAACACUCGAAACUAAGGGUAGAUGUGAACCUAACGAUAUACCUGAAGCUUUGAUUACCACUUGAUGAGAACAAUGGUGGUCUGAUCUUCUGAAAGGUUGUGGUAACUCUCGAUCUGGUGGAGACAAGACACAAAUCAAUCCGGCUUCCGAACAACAUGAUCCGAAACCUUGCAAUUUUAUUAUUUUUUUUGAUAUUUUUCUUUUACUUAGGAGCACUAAAGAAGUAACCAUAGAAAAAUUGAGCUUAAACAAGUGAAAGACGUGGCUUGCGGAAUUUUCUGAAGAUUGAGAAAAAUGUGAAAAAAAACUUCACAAGGUGAAAACUCAAAGGUCGGAGGCAAAUAUGGAGAUUCCAAAAUUUUCAAACCCACCAAAGGCAUGGAGAGACAGAUCCAAAGUUUUUUUCUAAUCAAUUUUGAUAUAUGGAACGUUGAAAUCAAAGUUCGGAUGUGAAAGUUAUGGUUGUUUUACGAACGGACUCCAAAUUAGAGGACAAAACGGUCCGAAAGUAGGAAAAAUUUGCGACAAUGGCUAGAAAUUGAUGGAAACGGUGGGAAAAAACAUAUGAACUGGACUCUAACAAGACCUAACCAACAAUAAGGCCUCGACCAGGACACAACUCAACAUUGUGGACUCUGAAACUGAAAUAUGCCAAGGCUAUGGCGCAGAAGGGUAGUAGGAUAGGAAAACGAUAUGGCAGUGGACUUAUGGGACGAACACAAGAACACUCGAAACUAAGGGUAGAUGUCAACCUAAUGGUAUACCUAAAGCUUUGAUUAUCACUUGAUGAGAAGAAGGGAGGCCCAAUCUUCUGAAAGGUUCAGGUAACUCUCGAUUUGGUGGUGACGAGACACAAAUCGAUUCGGCUUCCAAACAACAUGAUCCGAAACCCUACAAUUUUUUUAUUUUUUGAUAUUUUUCUUUUACUUCGGAGCACUAAAGAAGUAAGCACAGAAAAUUUAUGCUUAAACAUGUGAAAGACGUGGCCUGCAGAAUUUUCUGAAGAUUGCAAAAAAUGUGAAAAAAAACUUCACGAGUUGAAAACUCAAAGGUCGGAGGCAAAUUUGGAGAUUCUAAAAUUUUCAAACGCACGAAAGGCAUCGAGAGACAGAUCUGAAGUUUUUUUCUGAUCGAUUUUGCUAUAUGGAACGUUGAAAUCGGAGUUCGUAUGCGAAAGUUAUGGCUGUUUUACGAACGGACUCCAAAUUAGUGGACAAAACGGUCCGAAAGUGGGAAACAUUUGCGGCGGUGGCUAGAAAUUGAUGGAAACGGUGGGGAAAAACGCACGAACUGGACUCUAACAAGACCCAACCAGCAAUAAGACCUCGACCAGGACACAAACUCAACAAUGUGGACUCUGAAACUGAAAUAUGCAAAGGCUAUGGCGCGGAAGGGUUGUAGGACAGGAAAACGAUAUGGCACUAGACUUAUAGGACGAACUCAAGAACACUCGAAACUAAGGGUACAUGUGAACCUAACGAUAUACCUGAAGCUUUGAUUACCACUUGAUGAGAACAAUGGUGGUCUGAUCUUCCGAAAGGUUGUGGUAACUCUCGAUCUGGUGGACACAAGACACAAAUCGAUCCGGCUUCCGAACAACAUGAUCCGAAACCUUGCAAUUUUUUUAUUUUUUUUGAUAUUUUUCUUUUACUUAGGAGCACUAAAGAAGUAACCACAAAAAAUUUGAGCUUAAACAAGUGAAAGACGUGGCUUGUGGAAUUUUCUGAAGAUUGAGAAAAAUGUGAAAAAAACUUCACAAGGUGAAAACUCAAAGGUCGGAGGCAAAUUUGGAGAUUCCAAAAAUUUCAAACCCACCAAAGGCAUGGAGAGACAGAUCCAAAGUUUUUUUCUAAUCAAUUUUGAUAUAUGGAACGUUGAAAUCGGAGUUCGUAUGCGAAAGUUAUGGCUAUUUUACGAACGGACUCCAAAUUAGUGGACAAAACGGUCUGAAAGUGGGAAACAUUUGCGGCGGUGGCUAGAAAUUGAUGGAAACGGUGGGGAAAAACGCACGAACUGGACUCUAACAAGACCCAACCAGAAAUAAGACCUCGACCAGGACACAAACUCAGCACUGUGGACUCUGAAACUGAAAUAUGCAAAGGCUAUGGCGCGGAAGGGUUGUAGGACAGGAAAACGAUAUGGCACUAGACUUAUGGGACGAACACAAGAACACUCGAAACUAAGGGUAGAUGUGAACCUAACGAUAUACCUGAAGCUUUGAUUACCACUUGAUGAGAACAAUGGUGGUCUGAUCUUCUGAAAGGUUGUGGUAACUCUCGAUCUGGUGGAGACAAGACACAAAUCAAUCCGGCUUCCGAACAACAUGAUCCGAAACCUUGCAAUUUUAUUAUUUUUUUUGAUAUUUUUCUUUUACUUAGGAGCACUAAAGAAGUAACCAUAGAAAAAUUGAGCUUAAACAAGUGAAAGACGUGGCUUGCGGAAUUUUCUGAAGAUUGAGAAAAAUGUGAAAAAAAACUUCACAAGGUGAAAACUCAAAGGUCGGAGGCAAAUAUGGAGAUUCCAAAAUUUUCAAACCCACCAAAGGCAUGGAGAGACAGAUCCAAAGUUUUUUUCUAAUCAAUUUUGAUAUAUGGAACGUUGAAAUCAAAGUUCGGAUGUGAAAGUUAUGGCUGUUUUACGAACGGACUCCAAAUUAGAGGACAAAACGGUCCGAAAGUAGGAAAAAUUUGCGACAAUGGCUAGAAAUUGAUGGAAACGGUGGGAAAAAACAUAUGAACUGGACUCUAACAAGACCUAACCAACAAUAAGGCCUCGACCAGGACACAACUCAACAUUGUGGACUCUGAAACUGAAAUAUGCCAAGGCUAUGGCGCAGAAGGGUAGUAGGAUAGGAAAACGAUAUGGCAGUGGACUUAUGGGACGAACACAAGAACACUCGAAACUAAGGGUAGAUGUCAACCUAAUGGUAUACCUAAAGCUUUGAUUAUCACUUGAUGAGAACAAGGGAGGCCCAAUCUUCUGAAAGGUUCAGGUAACUCUCGAUUUGGUGGUGACGAGACACAAAUCGAUUCGGCUUCCAAACAACAUGAUCCGAAACCCUACAAUUUUUUUUAUUUUUUGAUAUUUUUCUUUUACUUCGCAGCACUAAAGAAGUAAGCACAGAAAAUUUAUGCUUAAACAUGUGAAAGACGUGGCCUGCAGAAUUUUCUGAAGAUUGCAAAAAAUGUGAAAAAAAACUUCACGAGUUGAAAACUCAAAGGUCGGAGGCAAAUUUGGAGAUUCUAAAAUUUUCAAACGCACGAAAGGCAUGGAGAGACAGAUCUGAAGUUUUUUUCUGAUCGAUUUUGCUAUAUGGAACGUUGAAAUCGGAGUUCGUAUGCGAAAGUUAUGGCUGUUUUACGAACAGACUCCAAAUUAGUGGACAAAACGGUCCGAAAGUGGGAAACAUUUGCGGCGGUGGCUAGAAAUUGAUGGAAACGGUGGGGAAAAACGCACGAACUGGACUCUAACAAGACCCAACCAGCAAUAAGACCUCGACCAGGACACAAACUCAACACUGUGGACUCUGAAACUGAAAUAUGCAAAGGCUAUGGCGCGGAAGGGUUGUAGGACAGGAAAACGAUAUGGCACUAGACUUAUAGGACGAACUCAAGAACACUCGAAACUAAGGGUACAUGUGAACCUAACGAUAUACCUGAAGCUUUGAUUACCACUUGAUGAGAACAAUGGUGGUCUGAUCUUCCGAAAGGUUGUGGUAACUCUCGAUCUGGUGGACACAAGACACAAAUCGAUCCGGCUUCCGAACAACAUGAUCCGAAACCUUGCAAUUUUUUUAUUUUUUUUGAUAUUUUUCUUUUACUUAGGAGCACUAAAGAAGUAACCACGAAAAAUUUGAGCUUAAACAAGUGAAAGACGUGGCUUGUGGAAUUUUCUGAAGAUUGAGAAAAAUGUGAAAAAAACUUCACAAGGUGAAAACUCAAAGGUCGGAGGCAAAUUUGGAGAUUCCAAAAAUUUCAAACCCACCAAAGGCAUGGAGAGACAGAUCCAAAGUUUUUUUCUAAUCAAUUUUGAUAUAUGGAACGUUGAAAUCGAAGUUCGGAUGUGAAAGUUAUGGCUGUUUUACGAACGGACUCCAAAUUAGAGGACAAAACGGUCCGAAAGUAGGAAAAAUUUGCGGCAAUGGCUAGAAAUUGAUGGAAACGGUGAGGAAAAACAUAUGAACUGGACUCUAACAAGACCUAACCAACAAUAAGGCCUCGACCAGGACACAACUCAACAUUGUGGACUCUGAAACUGAAAUAUGCCAAGGCUAUGGCGCAGAAGGGUUGUAGGAUAGGAAAACGAUAUGGCACUGGACUUAUGGAACGAACACAAGAACACUCGAAACUAAGGGUAGAUGUCAACCUAAUGGUAUACCUGAAGCUUUGAUUACCACUUGAUGAGAACAAGGGAGGCCCAAUCUUCUGAAAGGUUCAGGUAACUCUCGAUUUGGUGGUGACGAGACACAAAUCGAUUCGGCUUCCAAACAACACGAUCCGAAACCCUACAAUUUUUUUAUUUUUUGAUAUUUUUCUUUUACUUCGGAGCAAUAAAGAAGUAAGCACAAAAAAAUUUAUGCUUAAACAAGUGAAAGACGUGGCCUGCAGAAUUUUCUGAAGAUUGCGAAAAAUGUGAAAAAAACUUCACAAGGUGAAAACUCAAAGGUCGGAGGCAAAUAUGGAGAUUCCAAAAUUUUCAAACCCACCAAAGGCAUGGAGAGACAGAUCCAAAAUUUUUUUCUAAUCAAUUUUGAUAUAUGGAACGUUGAAAUCAAAGUUCGGAUGUGAAAGUUCUGGCUGUUUUACGAACGGACUCCAAAUUAGAGGACAAAACGGUCCGAAAGUAGGAAAAAUUUGCGACAAUGGCUAGAAAUUGAUGGAAACGGUGGGAAAAAACAUAUGAACUGGACUCUAACAAGACCUAACCAACAAUAAGGCCUACAACUCAACAUUGUGGACUCUGAAACUGAAAUAUGCCAAGGCUAUGGCGCAGAAGGGUAGUAGGAUAGGAAAACGAUAUGGCAGUGGACUUAUGGGACGAACACAAGAACACUCGAAACUAAGGGUAGAUGUCAACCUAAUGGUAUACCUGAAGCUUUGAUUACCACUUGAUGAGAACAAGGGAGGCCCAAUCUUCUGAAAGGUUCAGGUAACUCUCGAUUUGGUGGUGACGAGACACAAAUCGAUUCGGCUUCCAAACAACACGAUCCGAAACCCUACAAUUUUUUUAUUUUUUGAUAUUUUUCUUUUACUUCGGAGCAAUAAAGAAGUAAGCACAGAAAAUUUAUGCUUAAACAUGUGAAAGACGUGGCCUGCAGAAUUUUCUGAAGAUUGCAAAAAAUGUGAAAAAAAACUUCACGAGGUGAAAACUCAAAGGUCGGAGGCAAAUUUGGAGAUUCUAAAAUUUUCAAACGCACGAAAGGCAUGGAGAGACAGAUCUGAAGUUUUUUCUGAUCGAUUUUGCUAUAUGGAACGUUGAAAUCGGAGUUCGUAUGCGAAAGUUAUGGCUGUUUUACGAACGGACAAUAAAUUAGAGGACGAAACGGUCCGAAAGUGGGAAACAUUUGCGGCGGUGGCUAGAAAUUGAUGGAAACGUUGGGGAAAAACACACGAACUGGACUCUAACAAGACCCAACCAGCAAUAACACCUCGACCAGGACACAAACUCAACACUGUGGACUCUGAAACUGAAAUAUGCAAAGGCUAUGGCACGGAAGGUUUGUAGGACAGGAAAACGAUAUGGCACUGGACUUAUAGGACGAACAUAAGAACACUCAAAACUAAGGGUAGAUGUGAACCUAACGGUAUAACUGAAGCUUUGAUUACCACAUGAUGAGAACAAGGGUGGCCCGAUCUUCCGAAAGGUUCUGCUAACUCUCGAUUUGGAGACGAGACACAAAUCGAUCUGGCUUCGGAACAACACGUUUCGAAACCCUGCUAUUUUCUAAAAAAAUUUUGAUAUUUUUCUUUUACUUAGGAGCAUUAAAGAAGUAACCACAGAAAAUUGGAGCUUAAACAAGUGAGAGACGUUGCCUGUGGAAUUUUCUGAAGAUUGAGAAAAAUGUGAAAAAAACUUCAUGAGGUGAAAACUCAAACUUCGGAGGUGAAUUUGGAGAUUUUAAAAUUUUCAAACCCACCAACAGCAGGGAUAGACACAUCCGAAAUUGUUUUCUGAUUGAUUUUGAUAUAUAGAACGUUGAAAUCGAUGUUCGUAUGCGAAAGUUAUGGCUGUUUUACGAACGGACUCCAAAUUUGUGGCGGUGCCAAGAAAUUAAUGGAAACGGUGGCGAAAAACACACAAACUGGACUCUAACAAGACCUAACCAGCAACAAGACCUCGACUAGGACACAAAUUCAACACUGUGGACUCUGAAACUGAAAUAUGCAAUGGCUAUGGCGCGGAAGAGUUGUAGCACAGGAAAACGAUACGGCACUAGACUUAUGGGACGAACACAAGAACACUCGAAACUAAGGGUAGAUGUGAACCUAACCGUAUACCUGAAGCUUUGAUUACCACUUCAUGAGAACAAGGGUGGCCCGAACUUGCGAAAGGUUCUGGUAACUCUCCAUUUGGUGGAGACGAGACACAAAUCGAUCCGGCUUCCGAACAACACGAUCCGAAUCUCUUCUAUUUUUUUAUUUUUUUGAUAUUUUUUUACUUAGGAGCAUUAAAGAAGUAGCCACAGAAAAUUUGAGCUUAAACAGGUGAGAGACGUUGCCUCUAGAAUUUUCUCAUGAUUGGUAAAAAUGUGAAAAAACUUAACGAGGUGAAAACUCAAACAUCAGGGGCGAAUUUGGAGAACUUAAAAUUUUCAAACCCACAAUAGGUGUGGACAGACAGAUCCAAAAAUUUUUUCUGAUCGAUUUUGAUAUAUGAAACUUUGAAAUCAAAGCUCGUAUGUGAAGGUUAUGGAUGUUUUGUGAACGGUCUCCGAAUUAGAGGACAAAAUGGUCCAAAAGUGGGAAAAAAUUUGCGGCGGUGGCUAGAAAUUGAUGAAAACGGUGGGGAAAUACACACGAACUGGAAUCUAACAAGACCUAACCAGCAACAAGACCUCGACCAAGACACAAACUCAACACUACGGACUCUGAAACUGAAAUAUGCAAAGGCUAUGGCGUGGAAAGGUUGUAGGACAAGAAAACAAUAUGACACUGGACUUAUGGGACGAACACAACAACACUCGAAACUAAGGGUAGAUGGGAACUUAACGGUAUAGCUAAAGCUUUGAUUACCACUUGAUGAUAACGAGGGUGGCCCGAUAUUCCGAAUGGUUAUGGUAACUCUUGAUUUGGUGGAGACACAAAUCGAUCCGGCUUCCGAACAACACGAUCCGAAACCUUGUAAUUUUUUUAUUUUUUGAUAUUUUUCUUUUACCUAGGAGCACUAAAAAAGUAACCACAGAAAAUUUCAGCUUAAACAAGUAAAAUAUGUGGCCUACAGAAUUUUCUGAAGAUUGCAAAAAAUAUGAAAAAAACUUCACGAGGUGAAAACACAAACUUCGGAGGCGAAUUUGGAGAAUUUAAAAUUUUCAAACAUGCCAUUGACAGGGACGGACAGAUCUGAAUUUUUUCUGAUCGAUUUUGAUAUAUGGAACUUUGAAAUCGGAGUUCGUAUGUGAAAGUUAUGGCUGUUUUGCGAACGGUCUCCUAUAUAGAGGACAAAACGGUCUAAAAGUGGGAAAAAUUUACGGCGGUGGCUAGAAAUUGAUGGAAACGGUGGGGAAAUACACACGAACUGGACUCUAACAAGACCUAACCAACAACAAGACCUCGACCAAGACACAAACUCAACACUGCAGACUCCGAAACUAAAAUAUGCAAAGGCUAUGGCGUGGAAAGGUUGUAGGACAGGAAAACGAUAUGGCACUGGACUUAUGGGACGAACACAAGAACACUCGAAACUAAAGGUAGAUGUGAACCUAACGAUAUACCUGAAGCUUUGAUUACCACUUGAUGAUAAUAAGGGUGGCCCGAUCUUUCGAAAGAUUCUGUUAACUCUCGAUUUGGUGGACACGAGACUCAAAUCGAUCCGGUUUCUGAACAACACGAUCUGAAACCCUGCUAUUUAUUUUAUUUUUUGAAUUUUUUCUUUUACUUAGGAGCAUUAAAGAAGUAACCACAAAAAAUUUGAGCUUAAACAAGUGAAAGACGUUGCCUGCGGAAUUUUCUGAAGAUUGAGAAAAAUGUGAAAAAACUUCACGAGGUGAAAACUCAAACUUUGGAGGCGAAUUUGGAGAAUUUAAAAUUUUCAAACCCGCCAAAGGUGUGGACAAACAGAUCCGAAAUUUUUUUCUGAUCGAUUUUGAUAUAUGGAACGUUGAAAUCAGAGUUCGUAUGUGAAAGUUAUGGCUGUUUUACGAACAGACUCCGAAUUAGAGGACAAAACAGUUCGAAAGUGGGAAAAUUUGUGGCGGUGGCUAGAAAUUGAUGGAAACGGUGGGGAAAAACACACGAACUGGACUCUAACAAGACCUAACCAGCAAAAAGACCUCGACCAGGACACAAACUCAAUAUUGUGGACUCGAAAACUCAAAUAUGCAAAGGCUAUGGCGCGGAAGGGUUGUAGGACAGGAAAAGGAAAAAGUCUAAAUAACCCUCUGAAGUAUUGAUGGGUGUCUAGUUUUGGGCUUGACCUAUAAAACCGGGUAUAUAGGACAUUAAACUUUGGAUGUUGGUUUAGUUUACCCCCUGGGUGGUAUUCCAGGGCGGUUUUCGCCUACGUGGCGGCCAGCGUGGCAGCCGACGACGCAUGGGCCUUGAACACGACCGCCCACUCUGCUUCUGUUCCCUUCCUCGUCGGACGUUCCUCGUCGUCAGUAAUGGCAGCACAGGAGCGCUCGGUGGUCAUCCCUGUGCGCACGCUCGACGGAGGCACCACGUCCGUGCGUGUGCCCGCCACGGCCUCCGUGCGAGACCUCAAGGCGGCGCUGCGUGUCUGCUUCCCGCCCGCGCAGGCCGCCUUGGGUUCCACCUCUUCCUCCACAGCGGCAAGCUCCUCCGGCGUAGAGGAGCGUUUCGGCAUCAGGAAGGGACACCGCCGACACGUCAUCUUGACCACGUCGACAACCAUGAUGUACUUGUCUUCGGCCUGCAGUUUGUACAUGACAUCGCUGACGACGACUGAUGGGCCUUGACAGGGGACCAGGUUCCGGUGAACCGGUCCGGUGGCAGACUCCCAAGCGGAGGAUACCGAUGAGUAGAUCAGAACCUCGAAGUGAUUCGGGUCGGUGCUGAAGAGGACAACCAUGACGCGGAACGCGACACCUUCCCUAGGGAUGAGCACGCAGCACGCCACCCUGUGCCCGACGAUGAAGAGGGGCGGCACUCGAACGUACAUCUUCUCCAACGGCCUGCAGACGAGGAGCCUGAGUUCGCAGGGGUAGCUAGGGCCGGCCGAGCUCCCGCAGGAGCAGUCGCCAGUUGCGGGCGUCGACGAGGACCGCGCCGCACAUGGGCAGCACUUGGAGGAAACCGAGGUCGAGGGAGAUGCCUGCGGUGGGCACGAACGGGGGCAGCGGCGACGUGCCGUAGUUGCGGAAGAAGCCGAAAUGGGUAGGCGGCCUGGGGAGACAUGCCGCUCCGGCGCCGGAGACGACGCGACGCCAGCGGCGGCACACCGCGGCGCAGCGGACGACGUCGCGUGUGGGCGGCAGCCGCUUGAAGACCUCUAGGAGCAUGUCGUCGGGAAGUGCUGCCGCCGCCGCCGCGGCCUCGCCCUCUCCCGUCGGCUCCACCUCCAUCGUCGGGUGCGCGCGCUUGCAGAGUGCGUAGUCGAAACCGCAAGGCGGAGGCCCGGGGCGCUUGGGGCCGACGUCGACGGAGGACGGCACAAGGCGCUCCUAGGGCAGCACCUCGCCUGUGCUGCUUUCGAGAAGCCGCUGUGCCCUGAGCCUUGCACUUGGGGCGGCCGCGUUCAAGGCCCAUGUGCCGUCGUCUGCCACGCUGGCCGCCACGUAGGCAAAAACCACCCUGGAAUACCACCCAGGGGGUAAACUAAACCAACAUCCAAAGUUUAAUGUCCUAUAUACCCGGUUUUAUAGAUCAAGCCCAAAACUAGACACCCAUCAAUACUUCAUGGGGUUAUUUAGACUUUUUCCGACAGGAAAACGAUAUGGCACUAGACUUAUGUGACGAACACAAGAUCACUCGAAACUAAGGGUAUAUGUGAACCUAACAGUAUACCAAAAGCUUUGAUUAUCACUUGAUGAGAACAAGGGUGGCCCGAUCUUCCGAAUGGUUCUGGUAACUCUCGAUUUGGUGGAGACGAGACACAACGAUCCAGCUUCCGAAUAACAUGAUCCGAAACUCUGUAGUUUUUUUUAUUUUUUUUAUAUUUUUCUUUUACUUAGGAGCACUAAAGAAGUAAUUCUAGAAAAUUUGAGCUUAAACAAGUGAAAGACGUGGCCUGCGGAAUAUUCCAAAGAUUGAGAAAAAUGUGAAAAAAACUUAACGAGGUGAAAACUCAAACUUUGGAGGCGAAUUGAGAGAUUUUUAAAUUUUCAAACCCGCAAAAUGCAAGGACAGACAGAUCCGAAAUUGUUUUCUGAUCGAUUUUGAUAUAUAGAACGUUGAAGUCAGAGUUCGUAUGUGAAAGUUAUGGCUGUUUUGCGAACGGUUUUCGAAUUAGAGGACAAAACGGUCCGAAAGUGGGAAAAAUUUACGGCGGUGGCUAGAAAUUGAUGGAAAUAGUGGGGAAAUACACAAGAACUAGACUCUAAUAAGACAUAACUAGCAACAAGACCUCGACUAGGACACAAACUCAACACUGCGGACUCUGAAACUGCAAUAUGCAAAGGCUAUGGCGCGCAAGGGUUUUGUAGCACAGAAAAACAAUAUGGCACUAGACUUAUGGGACGAACACAAGAACACUCGAAAUUAAGGGUAGAUGUGAACCUAACGGUAUAGCUGAAGCUUUGAUUACCACUUGAUGAGAACGAGGUUGGCCCGAUCUUCCGAAAGGUUAUGGUAACUAUUGAUUUGGUGGAGACACAAAUCGAUCCGGCUUCCGAACAACACGAUCUGAAACUCUGUAAUUUUUUUUCUUGAUAUUUUUCUUUUACCUAGGAGCACUAAAAAAGUAACCACAGAAAAUUUGAGCUUAAACAAGUGAAAGAUGUGGCCUGCAGAAUUUUCUGAAGAUUGCGAAAAAUAUGAAAAAAACUUCACGAGGUGAAAACUCAAACUUUGGAGGCGAAUUUGCAGAUUUAAAUUUUUCAAAUCUGCGAAAGGCAGGGACAGACAGAUCCGAAUUUUUUUCUGAUCAAUUUUGAUAUAUGGAACGUUGAAAUUGGAGUUUGUGUUCGAAAGUUAUGGCUAUUUUACGAACGGACUCCGAAUUAGCGGACAAAACGGUCGGAAAGUGGGAAAAAUUUGCGGUGGUGGCUAGAAAUUGAUGGAAACGAUGGGGAAAAACACACGAACUGGACUCUAACAAGGCCUAACCAGCAACAAGACCUCGACCAGGACACAAACUCAACACUGUGGACUCUGAAACUGAAAUAUGCAAAGGCUAUAUCCCGGAAGGGUUGUAGGGCAGGAAAACGAUAUGACACUGGGCUUAUGGGACGAACACAAGAACACUCAAAACUAAGGGUAGAUGUGAACGUAAUGGUAUACCUAAAGCUUUGAUUACCACUUGAUGAGAACAAGGGUAGCCUGAUCUUCCGAAAGGUUCUGGUAACUCUUGUUUUGGUAGAGACGAGAAACAAAUCGAUCCGGCUUCCGAGCAACACGAUCUAAAACCCUGUAAUUUUUUUAUUUUUUUGAUAUUUAUCUUUUACUUAGGAGCACUAAAGAAGUAACCACAGAAAAUUUGAGCUUAAACAAGUGAAAGACGUGGCCUGUGGAAUUUUCUAAAGAUUGCAAAAAAUUUAAAAAAACUUCACGAGGUGAAAACUAAAAUUUCGGAGGCGAAUUUUAGAUUCUGAAAUUUCCAAACCCCCUAGAGGUAUGGACAGACACAUCUAGAAAUUUUUUCUUAUCGAUUUUGAUAUAUGGAACGUUGAAAUUGGAGUUCGUAUGCCAAAGUUAUGGGUGUUUUACGAACGGACUCCGAAUUAGAGGACAAAACGGUCCGAAAGUGGGAAAAAUUUGCGGCGGUGGCUAGAAAUUGAUAGAAAUGGUGGGGAAAAACACACGAACUGGAGUCUAACAAGACCUAACGAGCAACAAGACCUCGACCAAGACACAAACUCAACACUACGGACUCUGAAACUGAAAUAUGCAAAGGCUAUGGCGCAGAAGGGUUGUAGGACAGGAAAACGAUAUGGCACUGGACUUAUGGAACGAACAUAAGAACACUCGAAACUAAGGGUAGAUGUGAACCUAACGGUAUACCUGAAGCUUUGAUUACCACUUGAUGAGAACAAAGGUGGCCUGAUCUUCCAAAACGUUCUGGUAACUCUCGAUUUGGUGCAGACGAGACACAAAUCGAUCCGGCUUCCGAACAACACGAUCCGAAACCCUACAAUGUUUUUUAUUUUUUUGAUAUUUUUCAUUUACUUAAGAGCACUAAAGAUGUAACCACAGAAAAUUUGAGCUUAAACUAGUGAAAGACGUGGCCUUGGAAUUUUCCGAAGAUUGCGAAAAAUGUGAAAAAACCUUCAUGAGGUGAAAACUCAAACUUCGGAGGCAAAUUUGGAGAUUCUAAAAUUUUCAAACCCGCCAAAGGCACUAAAGGCAUGGAUAGACAGAUCCAAAUUUUUUUUGAUCGAUUUUGAUAUAUGGAACGUUGAAAUCGGAGUUCGUAUGCGAAAGUUAUAGCUGUUUUACGAACGGACUCCAAAUUAGAGGACAAAACGGUCCGAAAGUGGGAAAAAUUUGCGGUGGUGGCUAGAAAUUGAUGGAAACGGUGGGAAAAAACACACGAACUGGACUCUAACAAGACCUAACCAGCAACAAGACCUCGACAAGGCCACAAACUCAACAAUGCAGACUCUAAAACUGAAAUAUGCAAAGGCUGUGGCGCGGAAGGGUUGUAGGACCGGAAAACGAUAUGGCACUGGACUUGUGGGACAAACACAAGAACACUUGAAACUAAGGGUAGAUGUGAACCUAGUGGUAUACUUGAAUCUUUUAUUACCACUUGAUGAGAACAAGGGUGGCCCGAUCUUCCGAAGUGUUGUGGUAACUCUCGAUUUGGUGGAGACGAGACACAAAUCGAUCCGGCUUCUGAGCAACACAAUCCAAAACCCUGCAAUUUUUUUAUUUUUUUGAUAUAUUUCUUUCACUUAGGAGCACUAAGGAAGUAACCACAAAAAAAAUUGAGCUUAAACAAGUGAAAGACGGCCUGUGGAAUUUUCUCAAGAUUGUGAUGUGAAAAAAACAUCACGAGGUGAAAACUCAAACUUCGGAGGCAAAUUUGGAGAUUCAAAAAAUUUCAAACCCACUAAAGGCGUGGAUAGACAUAUCCAAAGAAAUUGUCUGAUCGAUUUUGAAAUAUGGAACGUUGAAAUCAGAGUUCGUAUGUGAAAGUUAUGGUUGUUUUACGAACGGACUCCAAAUUAGAGGACAAAACGGUCCGAAAGUGAGAAAAAUUUACGGCGGUGGCUAGAAAUUGAUAAAAACGGUAGGGAAAAAAUACACGAACUGGACUCUAACAAGACCUAACCAGUAACAAGACCUCGACCAGGACACAAACUCAACACUGCAGACUAUGAAAUUGAAAUAUGCAAAGGCUAUGGCGCGGAAGGGUUGUAGGAUAGGAAAACGAUAUGGCACUGGACUUAUGGGACAAACACAAGAACACGUGAAACUAAGGGUAGAUGUGAACCUAACGGUAUACCUGAAGCUUUGAUUACCACUUGAUGAGAAGAAGGGUGGCCCGAUCUUCCGAAGUGUUCUGAUAACUCUCGAUUAGGUGGAGACGAGAUACAAAUCGACCCGGCUUCCGAGCAACACAAUCCAAAACCCUGUAAUUUUUUAUUUUUUUGAUAUUUUUCUUUUACUUAGGAGCACUAAGGAAGUAACCACAAAAAAUUUGAGCUUAAACAAGUGAAAGACGUGGCCCAUGGAAUUUUCUCAAGAUUGCGAAAAUGUGAAAAAAACUUCACGAGGUGAAAACUCAAACUUUGGAGGCGAAUUUGGAGAUUCAAAUUUUUUCAAACCCACUAAAGGCAUGGAUAGACAUAUCCAAAAAAAUUUUCUGAUUGAUUUUAUUAUAUCGAACGUUGAAAUCAGAGUUCGUAUGCGAAAGUUAUGGUUGUUUUACGAACGGACUCCAAAUUAGAGGACAAAACGGUCCGAAAGUGGGAAAAAUUUGCGGCGGUGGCUAGAAAUUGAUGAAAACAGUGGGGAAAAAACACUGGACUCUAACAAGACCUAACCAGCAACAAGACCUCGACCAAGACACAAACUCAACACUGCAGACUCUGAAAUUGAAAUAUGCAAAGGCUAUGGCGCGGAAGGGUUGUAGGACAGGAAAACGAUAUGGCACUGGACUUAUGGGGCGAACAUAAGAACACUCGAAACUAAGGGUAGAUGUAAAGUAACGGUAUACCUGAUGCUUUGAUUACCACUUGAUGAGAACAAGAGUGGCCCGAUCUUCCGAAAGGUUCUGCUAACUCUCGAUUUGGUGGAGACAAGACACAAAUCGAUGCGGCUUCCAAACAACACGAUCCAAAACUCUGCAUUUUAUUUAUUUUUUUGAUAUUUUUCUUUUACUUAGGAGCACUAAAGGAGUAAGCACAGAAAAUUUGAGGUUAAACAAGUGAAAGACGUGGCCUGCAAAAUUUUCUGAAGAUUGAGAAAAAUGUGAAAAAGACUUUACGAGGUGAAAACUCAAACUUUGGAGGCAAAUUUAGAGAUUGUAAAAUUUUCAAACCCGCCAGACACGGGGACAGACAGAACAGAAAUUUUUUCUAGUCGAUUUUGAUAUAUGAAUGUUGAAAUCAGAGUUCGUAUGCGAAACUUAUGACUGUUUUACGAACGGACUCCGAAUUAGAGGACAAAACAGUGCGAAAGUGGGAAAAAUUUAAGGCGGUGCUAGAAAUUAAUGGAAACAUUGGGGAAAAACAUACGAACUAGACUCUAACAAGACCUAACAUGCAACAAGACCUCGACCAAGACACAAACUCAACACUGCAGACUCUAAAACUGAAAUAUGCAAAGGCUAUGGCGUGGAAAGGUUCUACGACAGGAAAACGAUAUGGCACUGAACUUAUGGGACGAACACAAGAACACUCGAAACUAAGGGUAGAUGUGAACCUAACGGUAUACCUGAAGUUUUGAUUACCACUUGAUGAGAACAAGGGUGGCCCGAUCUUGCGAAAGGUUCUGGUAACUCUCGAUUUUGUGGAGACGAGACACAAAUCGAUCUGGAUUCCGAACAACAGGAUCUGAAACCCUGCAAUUUUUUUAUUUUUUUGAUAUUUUUCUUUUACUUAGGAGCACUAAACAAGUAACCAUAGAAAAUUUGAGCUUAAACAAGUGAAAGAUGUGGCCUGCUGAAUUUUCUGAAGAUUGAGAAAAAUGUAAAAAAAAACUUCAUGAAGUGAAACUGAAACUUCGGAGGCAAAUUUGGAUAUUUUAAAAUUUUGAAACCCGCCAAAGAUGGGGAUAGACAGAUCUGAAUUUUUUCUCAUCAAUUUUGAUAUAUGGAACGUUGAAAUCGUAUUUCGUAAGCGAAAGUUAUGGCUGUUUUACGAACGGAUUCCGAAUUAGAGGACAAAACGGUGCGAAAGUGAGAAAAAUUUGCGGCGGUGGCUAGAAAUUGAUGGAAACGGUGGGGAAAUACACACGAACUGGACUCUAACAAGACCUAACCAGCAACAAGACCUCGACUAUGACACAAACUCAACACUGUGGACUCUAAAACUGAAAUAUGCAAAGGCUAUGGCGCGGAAGGGUUGUAGGACUGGAAAACGAUAUGGCACUGGACUUAUGGGACGAACACAAGAACACUUGAAACUAAGGGUAGAUGUAAAUCUAAUGGUAUACCUGAAGCUUUGAUUACAGAACAAGGGUGGCCCGAUCUUCCGAAAGGUUCUGGUAACUCUCGAUUUGGUGGAGACGAGACACAAAUCGAUCCAGCUUCCGAGCAACACGAUCUGAAACCCUGUAAUUUUUUUAUUUUUUUGAUAUUUUUCAUUUACUUAGGAGCACUAAAGAUGUAACCACAUAAAAUUUGAGGUUAAACAAGUGAAAGACGUGGCCUGCAAAAUUUUCUGAAGAUUGAGAAAAAUGUGAAAAAACUUCACGAGAUGAAAACUCAAAUUUCGGAUGCGAAUUUGAAGAUUAUAAAAUUUUCAAACUCGCCACAGGCAGGGAUAGACACAUCCAAAAAGUUUUUCUGAUCGAUUUUGAUAUAUGGAACAUUGAAAUCGGAGUUCGUAUGUGAAAGUUAUGGCUGUUUUACGAACGGGCUCCGAAAUAGAGGACAAAACGGUCCGAAAGUGGGAAAAAUUUGCGGCGGUGGCCAGAAAUUGAUGGAAAUAGUGUGGAAAAACACAUGAAAUGGACUCUAACAAGACCUAACCAGCAACAAGACCUCGACCAGGACACAAACUCAACACUGCAGUCUCUAAAACUGAAAUAUGCAAAGGCUAUGGCACGAAAGGAUUGUAGGACAGGAAAACAAUAUGGCACUGGACUUAUGGGAUGAACAUAAGAACACUCGAAACUAAGGGUAGAUGUGAACCUAAUGGUAUACCUGAAGCUUCGAUUACCACUUGUUGAGAACAAGGGUGGCCCGAUCUUCCGAAAGUUUAUGGUAACUCUCGAUUUGUUGGAGACGAGACACAAAUCGAUCCGGCUUCCGAACAACACGAUCUGAAACUCUACAAUUUUUUUAUUUUUUUGAUAAUUUUCUUUUACUUAGGAGCACUAAAGAAGUAACCACAGAAAAUUUGAGCUUAAACAAGUGAAAGACGUGGCCUGCUGAAUUUUCUGAAGAUUAAGAAAAAUAUAAAAAAACUUCACUAGGUGAAAACUCAAACUUCGGAGGCAAAUUUGGAGAUUUUAAAAUUUUCAAACCCGCCAAAGAUGGGGAUAGACACAUCCGUAAUUUUAUUCUGAUCGAUUUUAUAUAUGGAACAUUGAAAUCGGAGUUCGUAUGCGAAAGGUAUGGCUGUUUUACGAACAGACUCCAAAUUAGAGGACAAAACGGUGCGAAAGUGGGAAAAAUUUGCGGCGGUGGCUAGAAAUUGAUGGUAACAGUGAGAAAAUACACACGAACUGGACUCUAACGAGACCUAACUAGCAACAAGACCUCGACUAGGACACAAACUCAACACAGUGGACUCUGAAACUGAAAUAUGCAAAGGCUAUGGCGCGGAAGGGUUGUACGACAGGAUAACGAUAUGACACUCGACUUAUGGGACGAACACAAGAACACUCGAAACUAAGGGUAGAUGUGAACCUAACGGUAUAUCUGAAGCUUUGAUUACCACUUGAUGAGAACAAGGGUGGCCCGAUCUUCCGAAAGGUUCUGGUAUCUCUCGAUUUGCUGGAGACGAAACACAAAUCGAUCCGACUUCCGAGCAACACGAUCUGAAAGCCUGCAAUUUUUUUUUAUUUUUUUGAUAUUUUUCAUUUACUUAGGAGCACUAUGGAAGUAACCACAAAAAAAUUUGAGCUUAAACAAGUGAAAGACGUGGCCUGCGGAAUUUUCUGAAGAUUGCGAAAAAUGUGAAAUAACUUCACGAGGUGAAAACUCAAAUUUUGGAGGCGAAUUUGAAGAUCCUAAAAUUUUCAAACUCGCCAAAGGCAGGGAUAGACACAUCCAAAAAAUUUUUCUGAUCGAUUUUGAUAUAUGGAACAUUGAAAUCGGGGUUCGUAUGUGAAAGUUAUGGCUGUUUUAUGAACGGGCUCCGAACUAGAGGACAAAACGGUCCAAAAGUGGAAAAAAUUUGCGGCGGUGCCUGGAAAUUGAUGAAAACGGUGGGGAAAGACUCUGAAACUGAAAUAUGCAAAGGCUACGGCGCAGAAGGGUUGUAGGGUAGGAAAACGGUAUGGCACUGGACAUAUGGGACGAACACAAGAACACUCAAAACUAAGGGUAGAUGUGAACCUAAUGGUAUACGUGAAGCUUUGAUUACCACUUGAUGAAAACAAGGGUGGACCGAUCUUUCGAAAGGUUCUGGUAACUCGAUUUGGUAGAGACGAGACAAAAACCAAACCGGCCUCCGAACAACACGAUCCAAAAACCUACAAUUUUUUUUAUAAUUUUCUUUUACUUAGGAGCACUAAAGAAGUAACCAUAGAAAAUUUGAGCUUAAACAAGUGAAAGACGUGGCCUGCGGAAUUUUCUGAAGAUUGAGAAAAAUGUGAAAAAAACUUCAUGAGGUGAAAACUCAAUCUUUGGAGGUGAAUUUGGAGAUUUUAAAAUUUUCAAACCCGCCAAGCGCAGAUCCGAAAUUUUUUUCUCAUAGAUUUUGAUAUAUGGAACGUUGAAAUCGGAGUUCGUAUGCGAAAGUUACGGCUUUUUACGAACGGACUACGAAUUAGAGGACAAAACAGUGCGAAAGUGGGGAAAAUUUGCGGCGGUGGCUAGAAAUUGAUGGAAACGGUCAGGAAAUACAGACGAACUAGACUCCACAAACAACAAUGCGGACUCUGAAACUAAAAUAUGCAAAGGCUAUGGCGCGGAAGGGUUGUAGGACAAGAAAACGAUAUGGCACUGGACAUAUGGGUGUUGACGGUUCUUAAGUAUUAAUUUUAAUUAUCAAAUAAAUAAGAGAAAGGACCAAUAUGCAACCAACACCUAGAAUUAGGGUUUGAUCUGACAGAAUUCCACAAGUUUUGUUGUUUAUGUGUUUCUGCAGGGGGUUAUCAGGAAAUAAGGAAGAAAAGCCCACAUAUCGGGAUUACAUAGAGAUAUCAACGCACCGCACGAUUUUCUACCAUCUAGAAGACUCCAGAAGCCACGGGAAGAAGACGGAGGCCGAAAGGGGCCAGGCCCAGGGCGCCCGCCCCCCUCUGGAUUACAUUCGGGACUCUCUUCGCACGGGAUAUUCCACCGACCUAUUGGAUCAAGGAAAACAUAGUACCACCUCGCCUACCGACCCAAAAACGCAUAGAAGGGAAGGACUAUAUAAGGAGACCCCCCUGGCCCCUGGAGAAGACAUGAAGAAAUUAUCAUUGAGACUGAGGGGUGCCCUCGAAGGAAAACCUCUUCUCUAAUUAAUAUUUCUUUUUAGGCUUAGCAACCAAUGUAAGGUAGAAAUAGAUCUUCUAGUUUCUACUAGAUUGAGAGAGAUAGAGUGGAGGUGUAGAUUGGAGGAAGCCCGGCCUGUCGGUGUCUACUCCAAGCUUGUACCUGCAGGAUCAAGUUCUCCUAACCCGAAGCUUGCUCCUAGGAUUCUUCAGUAUUUCGACUUCUAAAUUCUAGUAAGUUCUUGUUUUAUUGUUCUUAUGGUUUAUGAGUUUACUUUAAUCUCUUCGCGUAGAGUUUAGAGUAAUCAUUGCUGGCGUAAACGUGGUGUUUAGGCUGGGGUACUCAUAGAUAUUCCCUGACUAGCUGGACCGUGGUAGUAGUGAGGAACGUGACAAUUCCGAGUUACCUUUGUAGAUCACAUCUCGUUAGCAGGAAGGAUAGGGUUUAUAGGUGCGGGUUGAACAUCCUUUGUGGUGUCUAGAUUCCGUUAGCCUCCCCAUUAGAACAAUAGAUUAUCCUUACCAAGGUUAGAAGGAGACUACGGUUGCAGUCUUCUCUAUUUAUCACUCACAUCGAAAGACAUUCUUUGUGCCUAAAGGUUAGUAGUAAUAGACCGGUUAGUCAGAUGCACUCUUUCUCCUAGUGGUAGAAAAAUAAAUACGAUACUCUGGAUAAUUUCCCGGGUGAAGUGCUCACCGAUAUCCGUGCGCUUGCGGAUCAAUUCCUUAUUGCGUUCCCAAAUAUCAACAAGCAUUUCUGGCGCCGUUGCCGGGGAGAAAGACGGUUGCUGAGAUAACCUGAGUCUUACUACUAGCUUGUAUCUAUACUUUUAUCUUUUCUUAUCUUUUAUAUUCUUUAUUUAUUUUCUUUAAUCUUACCUUAUGGAAAACCAAAAUUCUAAAUCGAUCCAUGAAUCUGCAAUCCCUUCAGCAACUGACCUUUUACCAUGGGAAUCAUCACAGCCUAUCCAAACAUCCCAGUAUAAGUUAAGUUCUAGGUUGAUUGCCAUGAUUCAAAACCUAUCUUUUUCGGGAAAGGAAGACGAAAACCCUUACCUUCAUAUUAGAGAUUUUGAGCAAACAUGUGAUUGUCUUCGCAUUGAAGGCAUUUCUGAUAAAACUUUACGUUGGAAGCUUUUUCCUUUUUCCUUAAGGGGAGAAGCUAGACAAUGGUACAGUCAGAAGGUAAGUCAACAACAAGGUGAAUGGGGAGUUUUACGAGCCAACUUUUGUCUAGAUUUCUAUUCCCUUGACCGUAUAGCCGACCUUAGACUCGAAGUCCUAUCUUUUAAACAAAAAGAUAAUGAAACUUUGGGAAAAUCCUGGAAACGUUUUUCUGAUCUUUUAGAAUCUGGUCCAAACCUUAAUCUUGAAGACCCUAUUCUUUUAUUCCACUUUUUCGAGGUCUUCAUAAAAAUCACAAACAAAUGCUGCACACAAUGUCUAGAGGUUCUUUCUUUUGCAUCCCUGCUGAUGAAGCUAGAGUGAUCCUAGAUAGAAUCCUAGAAGCUGAGAUGAAUAAUACCCUUCAUGAUGAAACCCACGAAGCCGAAGUAGACACUCUUCCAAAUUCUUCAGCUACUUUAGCUAUCCCAAGUUCUGAGCCACAAGAGGAAGAAAUUCUACCACCGGACUUCAUGCUGGAUAUAGAAUCCAAUCUUUUUGCCGAUUUUGGAAAUAUUUCAAACUACCAUUCUAUUGACAAACCCCAAAACGGUCAGUUUAGCAUUUAUUUGCCAAGUGAAUAUCAAUUGAGAGAGCUUAUCUCAGUCAUGAGUAGCGAAUGGUUGGAGGAAUCAGAGCUUUCCUCUGAUGUGAUCCGUUUGGACACACCCUCUAUAACUAUACGCUGUGCUUAUAAUUCUGAUCGAUUUAAUGCUCUUUAUAAUCCUGUUGUGGGGAUCAACGUCAUGUCUGAAUCUUUUGCACUUAAACUAUUUAAAAAGCUUGUCUUAACCCCCACAACAAAGGUCAUAAUGGAAUCUUCGGGACGGUUAGUCCCCAGUCUUGGAAUUAUUAAUGUCCUACCUCUUACGGUAGAAGGCUCCAUGGUUCAUUUGAACUUCUAUAUCUUUGAUACAUGGGACUUCGACCUGUUGAUAGGACAACCUUUUAGAAGACUCCUUUAUGAAGGUCAUACUGGAAAGCUACACAUUACUUUUGGAAAAACUUUUAAAUUCCCGAUAACAAUUUCACAAUCCUUAAACAAUAAGGCCGAGUCAUAUCUUUUGCCUGAUCCUAUGGAGGAGGUAAAGGCUGCAUCUCUAGAGCUUUUAGAUGAACCAGAUUUAGAAGACGAAACUCCUUUCUUCACUGAAGAAGAAGAUGAACCUUCUGAGCCUGAACCCUUAGAUGAGUUUGCAGAAGCACCUAGACCUCCCAUUGAACUUAAAACUUUACCACCCGGUCUUACCUAUGCUUUCUUAAACAAUAAUCCAGAGUUCCCUGUAAUCAUUAGCAAUAAACUCACUCAGGAUCAAACUCUGCGAUUAAUGACCAUUCUUGAAAAACAUCACUCAGUUUUUGGCUACUCACUUCAAGAUCUUACAGGAAUCAGUCCUAUGAUUUGUACCCAUCGUAUUCCAACAGAUCCUUCUGUUACACCCUCUCGAGAACCCCAACGUAGACUUAACAACACUAUGAGAGAGGUAGUUAAAAAGGAAGUUAUAAAGUUGCUGCAUGCAGGGAUUAUAUAUCCUGUGCCGCACAGUGAGUGGGUAAGCCCAGUGCAUGUUGUGCCUAAAAAGGGAGGCAUGACUGUUAUUAUGAAUGAAAAGAAUGAGCUAAUUCCGCAACGCACCGUCACAGGAUGGCGGAUGUGCAUAGACUAUAGAAAACUAAACAAAGCCACGAGAAAGAAUCACUUUCCUUUGCCUUUCAUAGAUGAGAUGCUAGAGCGGUUAGCAAACCAUUCGUUCUUCUGUUUCUUAGAUGGAUAUUCAGGAUAUCACCAAAUCCCGAUCCAUCCCGAUGAUCAAAGCAAAACCACUUUUACAUGCCCAUAUGGAACUUAUGCUUAUCGUAGAAUGUCUUUUAGGUUAUGUAAUGCACCAGCUUCUUUUCAAAGAUGCAUGAUGUCUAUAUUUUCUGAUAUGAUUGAAGAGAUUAUGGAAGUUUUCAUGGAUGAUUUCUCUAUUUAUGGAAAAACUUUUGAUAGUUGUAUUGAAAACUUAGACAAGGUUUUGGAAAGAUGUGAAGAAAAGCACUUAAUCCUUAAUUGGGAAAAAUGUCAUUUUAUGGUUAGGGAAGGAAUAGUGCUGGGACACCUAGUGUCUGAAAGAAGUAUUGAGGUAGACAAAGCUAAAAUUGAAGUAAUUGAACAACUACCUCCACCUGUGAACAUAAAAGGAAUUCGAAGCUUUCUUGGCCAUGCUGGUUUUUAUCGUAGAUUCAUAAAAGAUUUUUUAUUUAUUGCUAGACCACUUACUCUUUUGCUAGCCAAGGAUGCUCCUUUCGAAUUUGAUGAUGCAUGUCUAACAUCUUUCAAUUUAUUAAAGAAAGCACUCAACUCUACACCAAUCAUUCAACCCCCUAAUUGGUCGUUGCCUUUUGAAAUUAUGUGUGAUGCUAGUGAUUAUGCUGUGGGGGCAGUAUUGGGACAAACUAAAGAUAAGAAGCAUCAUGCAAUUGCUUAUGCCAGUAAAACUUUUACAGGAGCUCAACUUAAUUAUGCAACCACUGAAAAAGAGCUUCUGGCUGUUGUCUUUGCCAUUGAUAAAUUUAGAUCUUAUUUAGUUGGAGCUAAAAUAAUUGUUUACACUGAUCAUGCUGCACUAAAAUAUUUGCUCACUAAAAAAGAUGCUAAACCUCGUCUAAUUAGAUGGAUCUUAUUACUCCAAGAAUUUGACUUAGAAAUAAAAGAUAAAAAAGGAGUAGAAAAUUCUGUUGCAGAUCACUUGUCUAGAAUGUAUUUUAAGAGUCCAUAGGAAACCCCCAUUAAUGAUUCACUCCGGGACGACAUGCUCUACGGGAUUAACAGGUCUGACCCCUGGUAUGCAGAUAUUGUUAAUUUUAUGGUUUCAGGGUAUGUACCACCAGGAGCAAACAAGAAGAAGCUUAUUCAAGAAAGUCAUUCACAUAUAUGGGAUGAGCCAUACCUCUUCCGAGUAUGCUCUGAUGGCUUACUCAGGAGAUGUGUGACCACUGAGGAAGGAUGGAAGAUCAUCGACAGAUGUCAUUCAUCACCAUAUGGAGGCCACUAUGGAGCAUUCCGUACACAUUCAAAAAUCUGGCAGUGUGGAUUCUACUGGCCUACAAUGUAUGAAGACACGAAGCAAUAUAUCAGAAGAUGUGGGCCAUGUCAAAGACACGAAAACAUAAAUACAAGGGAUGCAAUGCCACUCACCAACAACCUUCAGAUUGAGCUCUUUGAUGUCUGGGGAAUAGACUACAUGGGUCCAUUUCCUCCAUCAAAGAAGUGUGAGUACAUCUUGGUGGCAGUUGACUAUGUCUCCAAGUGGGUAGAGGCAUUACCUUGCAAGCAUGCCGACAACGUCAGUUCAAAGAGGAUGUUUGAAGAAAUUAUAUUUCCAAGAUUUGGAGUUCCCAGAGUAGUGAUAAGUGAUGGAGGAGCACACUUCAUCGACAAACGCUUCAAGCAAUAUCUAUCAAGACAUGGAAUCCGUCACAACGUCGCUACCCCCUAUCAUCCUCACACAAGUGGCCAAGCAGAGACUUCCAACAAACAAAUCAAGAAUAUUCUUCAGAAGACAGUAAAUGAAAUGGGAACGGCGUGGAAAGACAAGUUACCCGAUGCACUCUGGGCAUACCGGACAGCAUACAAGACCCCAAUCGGAAUGUCUCCAUACCAAUUGGUGUACGGGAAGACUUGCCAUCUACCCGUUGAACUAGAGUUCAAAGCACACUGGGCCAUAAAGAGAUGGAAUAUGGACCUAGAUGUUGCUGGAGAUUAUAGAAGAAUGCAACUAUCAGAAUUGGAAGAAUGGCGAGAGAAGGCAUAUCACAACUCAAAGAUUUACAAAGAAAGAGUCAAAAGGUGGCAUGACAAGAGAAUCAAGAAGAAGGAGUUCACACCCGGAGAUAAGGUAUUACUUUUUAAUUCCAGGGUGAAGCUUUUCGGGCAUGGAAAACUCCGAAGCAAAUGGGAAGGACCAUUCAAGGUAAUUAAUUCAUAAUCCCACGGAGCUAUCACACUUCAAAAUAGCGAAGGUACGUUAUUCAAUGUAAAUGGUCAAUGUCUUAAAUUAUUUUUAGAGCCCAAUGAGGAAUUUGAAGAAAUAGACGUAGUCCAUUUUUACCUUCCCAUGGAGAAUUAGAGCCCGACACUUUUAGUCUGAUGUUUUUGGGUCAUAUAUAUAUUUUUCUAAAUAAUUUCGUAUCUAGAAACGCGCUCGGAAAAGUGGGCCCACAGAGGGGCCAGAGAGAGGGCGGGCGCCCAGCUCAGGUGGGCGGGCGCCCAGCUCCUGUUCCCCCUCGGUCCCGACUUUCUCUGUUAUGGAAAAUGCACUUAUGGUAAUUCGAAUAAUCCCUCGGAUGGAAAGUUUCGCACGCACGUCGACGGGAGAAACCCGAACAACCCAUAGAGGCACUUUUUGACCCCUAUAUAAACACACCCCUGACCUCAGUUUUCAAACACCAAGCCACCAAGCCUUCUCUCCUCCAAUUAGAGCUUGAUUAGUUCUCCUUCAAUUAGAGCUUGAUUAGUUCUUUGCUACUCCAAUGGCCGAGAAGUACCACGAUGAUUGGGAAGUCGUCCCCUUCAACCUCAACAUGGAGCCUGUGGAAGACCCCGAUGCCUGUGCUCUCAUCCCGGCCAACACAGAGCGACAGCUAGAAGCCAUGCCAUUACGCCAGCGCAGCUCUGCCCAAUCCUACCAUGCUCAACCAGUUCUCACCGCACCACCACAACCCCUACUCCUCAAAGGAUCAUCAUCCAAGACGAAGACCACCAAGGUGCCAAUCGGCACAAGGAUCCUUCCACCUAGACCCAAUGAGAGGGUCGUUGGAGUCAAGACCAACCGGAGCGGCAAGAUCAGCAGUGUUCGCUACACUACAGAGGAGGAAAGGCCUUACUUUGGAGGGAUUAGAGCAGCCAAAGUCUGUUUCAUCCCUCCAAAGGCAGCCCCGAAGCACGCUCUCAAUGCUUUUGAGACACCUCCCAAGCGUCGCAAGACUAUAAUGGAUAUUUAUGAGGAAGUUCGCAGACUAGAUAGAGUUAUCAUAGACCUCCAGUCCUCGAUUAAUUCCCUCACUAGGUAGCUCUCUAACCACAAAACCAUUAUACUAGGUCUUAGGCAGGAUCUUGCCAGUGCCAACAAGAAGAUCAAGGAAUUAGAGCGCCGCUAAGUUAUCUAGAUUAGACCUUGAGGCAAUACAUCUUAGUCAUUUAUCUUUAAAUUCAGUUUAGGUUUGAUAUUAUCAUCAGUUUACUAUUAUCAUCAGUUUGCUAUCAGUUUGCUACUAGUCUUUUGUAAUAAAUGCCUCAAGAUUAAUAAAGAGUAUUAUUAUUAUUAUGUCUUGUGUAUCUCUACUUAAUUUUUUGUGCAAGAAAGCAGAAAACAAGUAUGGGGGAGAUCCCUCGACAUGCCAAACACACUCCGACCACACCACUCCACGAUUCAGGUACACACUCUGCACACCUUACUUUACACAUACAUAUAUUUUGGAUUAUGCAGAUUACUGUUUCCGACAUGAUAAAUUAAAAAGAUUAAAAUAUUUCUAAUCAUGAUUAAUCUCAAUCUGUGAUAUUUCCUGAAAACUUGCAAUUAUUAUAAAAUCAUUUUAAAAACCCUGUGUUACUUAAGUCUUUGUGGAGUAUGUGAUGGUAGAGUAUGAGUUUCUUAUUCUUGAUAUCAUUGUUGCUUGGAGAAUUUAUUUCAAAAUAUUCAAAAUUCUAGCUACCAUCCUCAGUGUUUUAUAUGCCUGAUAAAACUGAAAAUAUUAAUUAUGAUUAUAAAAGCUAUCUAGUCUGUAUUGAGUUUGUUCAAAAUGAGUUAGACCCUUGUUGAGAGAUUUAUCAUGCUCCUCAGAUCAAGACAUUAUUUCAGAAAGAUUCACUCUUCCGAAGUAUUAUUGCAUUAGAGGCAUGAGCUAUGAAAAAAUAGAGAUAUUUUCGAGGAAAGAAAAAGGAGCAAGUGCUCGACAACCUCGCAGAAAAAAAUGGACAAGUGUCCGGCAGUAGAAUUAGGGGUACCUCGGUAUCCACCUAAAAAAAUGAUAGCCCAUGGUCCCUCUAAUAAGCAAUAUGCCAGCAAUAGUUGACAAAGAUUUUAAUUUCCAAUGUCUUUGAUCUAAGAGUAUGACAUUCCCCUCCCCGGAUCCCGUUUUGAUCAGGCAAUAAAUGCAAAGUAAGUAUGCUUGAGAAUUUUUGCAAAUUAAAACAACCUCAGUGAGAUAUAUAUAUAUAAAAUAAUGAGUGAUCUGAGAGAACCUAUGAGGAUAAAAAGGUAUGCUAACUUUCUUUCAAAAAUAUACAAAAGCUCCAAGUGACAGGAUUGAGAAGAAAGGAUCUUUACUCUUAACCAUAAACAUCCCUGACUAUGGUACACAGUGGAUUUUUAACACCCUGCAAAUAUAAAGAAUGUUUUAAAUGUUUACCCCAGAUAUUUUUCUUAACCAUCCUUUUCUCGAGGACGAGUAAAAGCCUAAGUAUGGGGGUAUUUGUUGACGGUUCUUAAGUAUUGAUUUUAAUUAUCAAAUAAACAAGAGAAAGGACCAAUAUGCAACCAACACCUAGAAUUAGGGUUUGAUCUGACAGAAUUCCAUGAGUUUUGUUGUUUAUGUGUUUCUGCAGGGGGUUAUCAGGAAAUAAGGAAGAAAAGCCCAAAUGUCGGGAUUACAUAGAGAUAUCAACGCACCGCACGAUUUUCUACCAUCUAGAAGACUCCAGAAGCCACGGGAAGAAGACGGAGGCCGAAAGGGGCCAGGCCCAGGGCGCCCGCCCUGGUGACCUGGGCGCCCGCCCCCCUCUGGAUUGCAUUCGGGACUCUCUUCGCACGGGAUAUUCCACCGACCUAUUGGAUCAAGGAAAACAUAGUACCACCUCGCCUACCGACCCAAAAACGUAUAGAAGGGAAGGACUAUAUAAGGAGACCCCCUGGCCCCUGGAGAAGACAUGAAGAAAUUAUCAUAGAGACUGAGGGGUGCCCUCGAAGGAAAACCUCUUCUCUAAUUAAUAUUUCUUUUUAGGCUUAGCAACCAAUGUAAGGUAGAAAUAGAUCUUCUAGUUUCUACUAGAUUGACAGAGAUAGAGUGGAGGUGUAGAUUGGAGGAAGCCCGGCCUGUCGGUGUCUACUCCAAGCUUGUACCUGCGGGAUCAAGUUCUCCUAACCCGAAGCUUGCUCCUAGGAUUCUUCAGUAUUUCGACUUCUAAAUUCUAGUAAGUUCUUGUUUUAUUGUUCUUAUGGUUUAUGAGUUUACUUUAAUCUCUUUGCGUAGAGUUUAGAGUAAUCAUUGCUGGCGUAAACGUGGUGUUUAGGCUGGGGUACUCAUAGAUAUUACCUGACUAGCUGGACCGUGGUAGUAGUGAGGAACGUGACAAUUCCGAGUUACCUUUGUAUAUCACAUCUCGUUAGCAGGAAGGAUAGGGUUUAUAGGUGCGGGUUGAACAUCCUUUGUGGUGUCUAGAUUCCGUUAGCCUCCCCAUUAGAACAAUAGAUUAUCCUUACCAGGGUUAGAAGGAGACUACGGUUGCAGUCUUCUCUAUUUAUCACUCACAUCGAAAGACAUUCUUUGUGCCUAAAGAUUAGUAGUAAUAGACCGGUUAGUCAGAUGCACUCUUUCUCCUAGUGGUAAAAAAAUAAAUACGAUACUCUGGAUAAUUUCCCGGUUGAAGUGCUCACCGAUAUCCGUGCGCUUGCGGAUCAAUUCCUUAUUGCGUUCCCAAAUAUCAACAAUGGGACGAACACAAGAACACUCGAAACUAAGGGUAGAUGUGAACCUAACGGCAUAUCUGAAUCUUUGAUUACCACUUGAUGAGAACAAGGGUGGCCCGAUCUUCCGAAAGGUUCUGGUAACACGAUUUGGUGGAAACGAGACACAAACCGAUACGGCUUCCGAACAACACGAGCCGAAACCCUGCAAUUUUUCUUAUUUUUUAAUAUUUUUCUUUUACUUAGGAUCACUAAAGAAGUAACCACAGAAAAUUUGAGCUUAAACAAGUGAAAGACGUGGCCUGCGGAAUUUUCUGAAGAUUGUGAAAAUUGUGAAAAAAACUUCAUGAGGUGAAAAAUCAAACUUCGGAGGUGAAUUUAAAGAUUCUAAAAUUUUCAAACCCACCAAAGGCGUGGAUAUAUAGAUCCAAAAUUUUUUUUCUAAUCGAUUUUGAUAUACGGAACGUUGAAACCUGAGUUCGUAUAUGAAAGUUAUGGCUGUUUUACGAACGGACUCCAAAUUAUAGGACAAAACGAUCCGAAAGUGGGAAAAAUUUGCGGUGGUGGCUAGAAAUUGAUGGAAAUGUUGGCGAAAAACACACAAACUGGACUCUAACAGGACCUAACUAGCAACAAGGCCUCAGCCAAGACACAAACUCAAUACUGCGGACUCUGAAACUGAAAUAUGCAAAUGCUAUGGCGCGGAAUGGUUGUAGGACAUGAACACGAUAUGGCAGUGGACUUAUGGAACGAACAUAAGAACACUCGAAACUAAGGGUAGAUGUGAACCUAACGGUAUACCUGAAGUUUUGAUUACCACUUGAUGAGAUCAAGGGUGGCCCAAUCUUCCGAAAGGUUCUGGUAACUCUUGAUUUGGUGGAGACGAGACACAAAUCGAUCCGGCUUCCGAACAACACGAUCCGAAUCCCUGCAACUUUUUUUUAUUUUUUUGAUAUUUUUCUUUUACUUAGGAGCACUAAAGAAGUAACCACAGAAAAUUUAAGCUUAAACAAGUGAAAGACGUGGCCUGUGGAAUUUUCUGAAAAUUGCGAAAAAUGUGAAAAAACAUCACGAGGUGAAAACUCAAACUUCGGAGACAAAUUUGGAGAAUCUAAAAUUUUCAAACCCGCCAAAGGCACCAAAGGCAUGGACAGACAGAUACGAAAUUUUUUUCUGAUCGAUUUUGAUAUAUGGAACGUUGAAAUCGGAGUUCGUAUACGAAAGUUAUGGCUGUUUUACGAACGGACUCCGAAUUAGAGGAUAAAACGGUGCGAAAGUGGGGAAAAUUUGCGGCGGUGGCUAGUAAUUGAUGGAAACGGUAAGGAAAUAGACACGAACUGGACUCCAAACAACACUGUGGACUCUGAAACUGAAAUAUACAAAGGCUAUGGCGCGGAAGGGUUGUAGGACAGAAAAAUGAUAUGGCACUGGACAUAUGGGACGAACACAAGAACACUCGAAACUAAGAGUAGAUGUGAACCUAACGGUAUACCGGAAUCUUUGAUUACCACUUGAUGAGAACAAGGGUGGCUCGAUCUUCCGAAAUGUUCUGGUAACUCGAUUUGGUGGAGACGAGACACAAACCGAUCCGGCUUCCGAACAACACGAGCUGAAACCCUGCAAUUUUUCUUAUUUUUUUUAAUAUAUUUCUUUUACUUAGGAGCACGAAAGAAGUAACCACAGAAAAUUUAAGCUUAAACAAGUGAAAGACGUGGCCUGCGGAAUUUUGUGAAGAUUGUGAAAAAUGUGAAAAAAAACUUCAUGAGGUGAAAAAUCAAACUUAGGAGGCGAAUUUGGAGAUUCUAAAAUUUUCAGACCCACCAAAGGCGUGGAUAUAUAGAUCCAAAAAUUUUUUCUAAUCGAUUUUGAUAUACGGAACGUUGAAACCAGAGUUCGUACGUGAAUGUUAUGGCUGUUUUACGAACGGACUCCAAAUUAGAGGAAAAACGGUCCGAAAGUGGGAAAAAUUUGCGGUGGUGGCUAGAAAUUGAUGGAAACGGUGGCGAAAAACACACGAACUAGACUCUAACAAGACCUCGACCAGGACACAAACUCAACACUGCAGACUCUGAAACUGAAAUAUGCAAAGGCUACGACGCAGAAGGGUUGUAGGGUAGGAAAACGGUAUGGCACUGGACAUAUGGGACGAACACAAAAACACUCAAAACUAAGAGUAGAUGUGAACCUAAUGGUAUACGUGAAGCUUUGAUUACCACUUGAUGAGAACAAGGGUGGACCGAUCUUUCGAAAUGUUCUGGUAACUCGAUUUGGUAGAGACGAGACAAAAACCAAUCCGGCCUCCGAACAAUCCAAUAACCUACAAUUUUUUUUAUAAUUUUCUUUUACUUAGGAGCACUAAAGAAGUAACCAUAGAAAAUUUGAGCUUAAACAAGUGAAAGACGUGGCCUGCAGAAUUUUGUGAAGAUUGAGAAAAAUGUGAAAAAAACUUCACGAGGUGAAAACUCAAUCUUUGGAGGUGAAUUUGGAGAUUUUGAAAUUUUCAAACCCGCCAAGCGCAGAUCCGAAAUUUUUUUCUGGUAGAUUUUGAUAUAUGGAACGUUGAAAUCGGAGUUCGUAUGCGAAAGUUACUGCUUUUUACGAACGGACUACGAAUUAGAGGACAAAACAGUGCGAAAGUGGGGAAAAUUUGCGGCGGUGGAUAGAAAUUGAUGAAAACAGUGAGGAAAUACAGACGAACUGGACUCCACAAACAACAAUGUGGACUCUGAAACUAAAAUAUGCAAAGGCUAUGGCGCGGAAGGGUUGUAGGACAAGAAAACGAUAUGGCACUGGACAUAUGGGACGAACACAAGAACACUCGAAACUAAGGGUAGAUGUGAACCUAACGGUAUAUCUGAAUCUUUGAUUACCACUUGAUGAGAACAAGGGUGGCCCGAUCUUCCGAAAGGUUCUGGUAACUCGAUUUGGUGGAAACGAGACACAAACCGAUACGGCUUCCGAACAACACGAGCCGAAACCCUAUAAUUUUUCUUAUUUUUUUAAUAUUUUUCUUUUAGUUAGGAGCACUAAAGAACUAACCAUAGAAAAUUUGAAUUUAAAGAAGUGAAGGCGUGGCCUGCGGAAUUUUCUGAAGAUUGUGAAAAAUGUGAAAAAAACUUCUUGAUGUGAAAACUCAAAAUUCGGAGGCGAAUUUGGAGAUUCUAAAAUUUUCAAACCCACCAAAGGCGUGGAUAUAUAGAUCCAAAAAUUUUUUCUAAUUGAUUUUGAUAUACGGAACAUUGAAACCGGAGUUCGUAUGCGAAAGUUAUGGCUGUUUUACGAACGGACUCCAAAUUAGAGGACAGAACGGUCCGAAAGUGAGAAAAAUUUGCGGCGGUGGCUAGAAAUUGAUGGAAACGGUGGGAAAAAAUACACAAACUGGACUCUAACAGGACCUAACCAGCAACAAGACCUCAGCCAAGUCACAAACUCAAUACUGCGGACUCUGAAACUGAAAUAUGCAAAGGCUAUGGCGCGGAAGGGUUGUAGGACAAGAAAACGAUAUGGCACUGGACUUAUGGGACGAACAUAAGAACACUCGAAACUAAGGGUAGAUGUGAACCUAACGGUAUACCUGAAGUUUUGAUUACCACUUGAUGAGAACAAGGGUGGCCCGAUCUUCCGAAAGGUUCUGGUAACUCUUGAUUUGGUGGAGACGAGACACAAAUCGAUCCGGUUUUCGAACAACACGAUCCGAAUCCCUGUAAUUUUUUUGUUAUUUUUUUGAUAUUUUUCUGUAACUUAGGAGCACUAAAGAAGUAACCACAGAAAAUUUGAGCUUAAACAAGUGAAAGACGUGGCAUGUGGAAUUUUCUGAAGAUUGCG
This 95920-nucleotide long non-coding RNA is filed under the name Sorghum bicolor (sorghum). Its description in RNAcentral is "long non-coding RNA (SBIC_LNC004794)". Lineage: Eukaryota; Viridiplantae; Streptophyta; Magnoliopsida; Poales; Poaceae. The record is from RNAcentral.